Molecule: long non-coding RNA, 119221 nt
Filed under: Lactuca sativa (garden lettuce)
Lineage: Eukaryota; Viridiplantae; Streptophyta; Magnoliopsida; Asterales; Asteraceae
Description: long non-coding RNA (LSAT_LNC003120)
Source: RNAcentral
CCGUUGAAAAUAGUUUUCUAGUAGUGUGAUUCCAUAUAACUGUGAGUCUUACAAGGUUAAAUUUAAUCAUUCUUUUCAUGAUUGGGACACUUUUAGUAAGCGUAAGGAAAGUUCAACAAAAGUUGAGGCGACUUCCGCUUCAAGUCCAAAGGAAUAAAAUCUAUGAAGAAGUCAUAUUGUUUUUUCUCACUGUAUAAACUAAUGCAAACAGUUUUCCUCAAACUCUAUUUUAAUAAAAAAAAGAUAUAAAAAGCAAAUCCCAUACACUUUUAUACAGUACAAUCAAGACCCAUCUUUACGUGAAAUACAUUGCUCGGUAAAAACAACUCAAACUUUGAUUUGAGGUAGUUUAUUUACGCAUACGAUACAUAUAGAGAAUGUUAAAGGGAAAAUGAAUUCAGCAAUUGAUCACAUUUUAUGGUACCAAAAAACACCUUUGUGUUCGCUAGCUUGGUCAGGCUCGAUAUACAUGCAUUCUUUAGCUUCCCUCCACAUGGCUUUAAAGAUUGGAGUCCUAUCGAUCUUAUAAAACUCACCCAAAACUGGAAUGAUUGCAUCUCUUGCCUCCUUUGCAUGAUAAUGUGGAAUGUAUGAAAUCAAAUGAUGCAAAACAUGGGUGUGUGUAACAUCAUGGAAAACCCUAUUCAGAAAUCCAAAGUCCCUAUCAAUUGUUGACAGGGCCCCUUUGAUCCAGUUCCAUUCGGUUGAAUCAUAAUGAGGCAAUGAUAGAUGAGUGUGGUGCAAAUACGUUAUAAUAACGAAAAACAUAUGAACUCCUAGCACCGGAACGCCAUAUAUGCACGUUACCCAAGCAGCUCCUUUUGCUGCUACAGCAAGCUUGAUUGCAUAAAAGACGGCAAGAAGGCCAAUAUCUGAUAGCAGAACCUGAAUUCGCUCACGCUCUGUGAAAAUUGGACUCAUGGGAUCAAAGUGGUUCGCAAACCUUCCGUAUUUCUUGCCAGAAAUAUUAGUUAAAAGGUAUAAAGGAAAUCCUAGGGUGAACCUAAACACUAAAGUGAAUACUCGACCAGGUGGGUUGUUAAGAAUUUUUGAGUACCACCUGACUUUCGACUUCCGUUUAGGAAUAUAAACUUCAUCAUUAUCAAGUGAAUUUGUGUUGGCAUGGUGAUUUCGAUGGCUAUAUUUCCAUGAAAAAUAGGGUGUCAUGAGAGCUGAGUGGAGGAUAAAGCCGAUAGUGUCAUCAAUCCACUGGUAUUCGCUAAAGGCAUGGUGACCGCAUUCAUGACCGAUGACCCAUAAGCCAGUGAGGAUGCUAGCUUGACAGAACCAGUAAACUGGCCAAGCUAAGUAAGCUAGAGAAGGAGGAAGAAAAGGAAUGUAUGUAUUUGCAAGGAAGUAGAAAACGUAGGCAACAAUGAGGUCGUGAACAACAUAGUAAGAUGAACGGAUGACAGAUCGUUUGAAGCAAUGGGCAGGGAUCGCUUUCUUUAAAUCACUUAACGAAAAUGGCGGACCAACCGGGACUCGUUCCAAAAUCUUUUUAUCAUCAAAUUGGUCUGACAUUCGACCACCAGCACCCAUGUUGUUGAUAGUCUAUUAACCUGCGAAUGUCAAAAGUAUUGUGAGAUUUAUGUAAACUAAACAUAGAUAAUAUUAAUUACAAUAACGUAAAUCGCAUGGGAAAAAGAAAGACCUUUAGAGAGAAGUUAUGUAUGAGUGAUUGAUUAGUUCACCAGGUGAUGCUCUUUGGGGUUGGCUGUCCUCUUAUUUAUAGUCAAGAGUAGCGAAAUUUAACGACAUACUUGCGCUACUGGGUACUGACUUUUAUUGUUUAGGAAACACCACCAUUCAAAUUUGGCGGCUCUAAAUGAUAGACCCAUUUUUUAAUGGGAGAUUCUAAAUAUAUUAAUGAAAAAUUACACUUGCGUAUAUUUAUUACAUUGACUCAUUAAAUCUCACGUGAUUGAUUUUCGUAAUGCUUAUUUUUAUAUUAAGAUCCUAAUAUAUUAAAUAGUAAAUUCUAUGUCACUAUGGUUUAGGUAAUAUAUUAAAUAGUAAAUUCUAUGUCACUAUGGUUUAGGUAGUUUAUGUAUUUGGUCCCUAACUUAUUUUUUAAUUUGGAAAGUCCCUAUUAUUUGUUUUGUUACGCGUUUGGUCAUUUUCAUACCUAAAAAGACAAUAUUUUCAUUGAUUUUUUAAUUUAUUUAAAUAAACACAACCUCUCCCCAGGUGGCCACCUUACCUUACCACCCACUAUUUUUCUCUAUUUAACUAAUAUUCUUUUAAAUAAGACAUGGACCAAAUACGUAACAAAAAGAAACAACAGGGACCAAACGCAUGAAAAAAACAAACAGUAGACAUUUCAAGUUAAAAAAUAAGUUAGGGACCAAGCACGUAAAUUACCCCAAACCAUAGAGACCAUUCGUGUAAUUACUCUAUAUUAAAAAAAAGUUUUAACAUAAAGUUAUAAAUAUAACUUUAACUACAAUUUACGUCUCAAAUUUCAAUGGAAAAUUAUAUUUAUAUAUAUCUAGAUGUUGCGCAUAGUUAUAUGUCUUGAUGCUGAAAUGUUAACAUGAAGCACAAAUAUUAUUAUAUAUUUAUAGAUGGUCCAAAUGAUUGUUAGUUGGAGAAAUAUUAACUAUUUUAUUUUAUAUAUGAAUUGGUUUUUGGUAUUUGUGGUCUAGUUAUUAAAAGUAUAUUGAAUUGUAUUCCAUAUUUGUAACACGAAGCACCAUUACAUGAAAUAUUGGCAGUUGCAACUACCGUUUUCACUACAAGAAAUAUACUUUUUACUGACGACACUAUUACCGGCGACAAGAGGCUUUACCGGCGACUCUAGAUAUUGUCGCCGCUAAAGCCCUUUGUCGCCGGUAAUAGUGUCGCNGGGUUGGCACCCAGAUCCGCUCUUUCCCCCUCUGUUGCAUAUGAACCGUUCGAUGAGAUAUCUAAUCCAACGGGUGGGGUGUCUUAUCGUAUCAAACCUAAUAGCGGCGACAUAUUUGUCGCCGCUAAAGAGUUAAAAUAGUCGCCAGUAAUAGUUAACGAAAAAACACGCGGAACCCUUCCCUCCAGUUUGUCGUCGCUAUUGCUAAAAGUUGCCGGUAAAGAUCAAGUUGUCGCCGCUAAAGGUGUCGCAACUAUUGCCUCUCGAAGAUAAAAAAAAACGCACGACGACGGUUCAUUUCUCCAUCUCCUUUUUGUUUGCUGCUUCUUUCCUUCCCCAAUUCCAACUUCAUCCGAUUUUAAGCACUCUAUUUCUCCAUUUGCAAGCAAAUUUCUUCCCUCAUUGUGUCCUAUUAAAAAUCUAGGUGUGGUUAAAGUUUUGGGAACAAUUUAUAACUCCAUUUCUUCAACAAAGGUAUGUUGAUUUUGUAAUUUCCUUUUCAAUUUGUAUGUUAAUUUGAAUGGUAAUAAAUUAUUCAUAUAUUUGUUUUUGGUGGUGUUGUUUUGGAUUAGGUGUAGUUAAAGCUUUUGGGACCAAUUUCUAACUUUAAUUCUUCAACAAUGGUAAGUUCAUUUGCUAAUUUUACUUUUAAUUUGAUUAUAUGUGAAUUUGUUGUAUAUAUGCCAAUGUAUGUGUAUUUGAUGUAUAUAUGUGGUAUAUGAGUAUUUGGUAAAAAUGAUAUGUAUUUGUUAUAAGUAGGAUAUUAUUGGGUGUAUAUGAAUGUAUGUAUGUUUGUUGUAAAUGUGAUAUAUUAUUGUGAAACUUUUGUAUUUGCUAUAAAUAGGAUGUUAUUAUCUAUAUGUGAAAUUAUGUGUAUUUUGUUUAAGUAGGAUGUUAUUUUGUGUGUAUGUGUAUGUAUUUGUAUUUGGUGUAUAUGUGGUAUAUGUAUGUAAAAGUAUAUGAAUUUCAUCCUCUUAUAUAUUAUGUAAAAGUAUGUGGUUUUGGUAUAAGUAGGAUGCUAUAAUUGAAUAAAAAAUUAUUGUUAUAAUUUGAAAAAAUAACAAAAAAUUGUUUGAAAACUUAUAUACAAAAACUAGAAAGUUUAUAGUUUUUACCCAAGCUAACUCCAAAUUAAUUAACCAAUAAGUUAUAUAGUUUACUUAUAAUCUUCAAAUUAAUUCAUAAGAUUAUAUUUUCUAUAACCAAUAAUAAUCGGUUACCAUAAAAAUAAGUUAAAGGAUGCUAUAAUUGAAAAAAAAAUAAUAAAUUAUUGUUAUAAUUGGAAAAAAACACAAAAAAAAUUAUAAAAUUGUUUAAAAACUUAUAUAUAUNNNNNNNNNNNNNNNNNNNNNNNNNNNNNNNNNNNNNNNNNNNNNNNNNNNNNNNNNNNNNNNNNNNNNNNNNNNNNNNNNNNNNNNNNNNNNNNNNNNNNNNNNNNNNNNNNNNNNNNNNNNNNNNNNNNNNNNNNNNNNNNNNNNNNNNNNNNNNNNNNNNNNNNNNNNNNNNNNNNNNNNNNNNNNNNNNNNNNNNNNNNNNNNNNNNNNNNNNNNNNNNNNNNNNNNNNNNNNNNUUGUUUAAAAACUUAUAUACAAAAACUAGAAAGUUUCUAGUUUUUACCCAAGCUAACUCCAAAUUAAUUAACCAAUAAGUUAUAUAGUUAACUUAUAAUCUUCAAAUUAAUUCAUAAGAUUAUAUUUCUAUAACCAAUAAUAAUCGGUUACCAUAAAAAUAAGUUAAAGGAUGCUAUAAUUGAAAAAAAAAAAAUUAUUGUUAUAAUUGGAAAAAAAACACAAAAAAAAAAUUAUAAACUUGUUUAAAAACUUAUAUAUAUUUUAAUCUCGACGGUAAAAAAGAACAAUACAACAACAUAAUAUGUAUGUAAAAGUAUGUGAAUUUCAUGUUCUUAUGUAUUAUGUAAAAUUAUGUGGUUUUCUUAUAAGUAUGAUGCUAUAAUUGAAAAGAAAAUAAUAAUUAAUUAUUGUUAUAAUUGGAAAAAAAAAACCACAAAAAAUAUAUAUAUAAAAAAUUGUUUAAAAACUUAUAUACAAAAACUAGAAAGUUUCUAGUUUUUACCCAAACUAACUCCAAAGAGUUGUCAGUUCUUGCAAUGGGCCCGCAAAUGAAUGCAUAUUCUUACACCGCAUGCAUAGUUACUUGUGUUAUGUAUAUGGUACUUAGUCGUGACACACAACGUACAACCCAAAACUCUGGGGUUUUAGCGGUGGGUGAGAAAGGCGAGAAAUAUUAUGGCCAGUUAGAAGAGAUUAUAGAGUUGAGGUAUACACAUGAUUAUUCAACUAUACUAUUUCGUUGCAAGUGGUUUGAUACUUGAACAGGAGUUAUUUCUAGUGAUAGUUUCACCAGUAUCGACACACGACGCGAAGCAUACAGAGAUGAUCAACUCAUAUAUGCAUCACAAGCCAAACAAGUGUUUUACAUCAGAGAGCCAAACAAUAACCAUCGGUGUGUUGUCGAGCAUGUUAAUCAUCGAAGUAUUUGGGAUCUACCAUCGAACGAUGACCUUGUUCAAAAUGUUGACAAUGUCUCACACGAAAAUGUAGACGAUGUCGAUGUACUUCAAAAUAUCUCUUCAUCCGAUGCUCCACUUUUUAUUGAUUUCAGCAUGUACUUUUAAAACAUUCCUAGAGUCAUUGUUGAUGUAGAAAGUGCAUCUGAAGUUCCUCCGCCAACUGGUAGAGUCAAUGAUGUUUCUGAUUGCGAGACUGAUUACGAUGACACCGAUUCUGACUAUGAUACCAAAGAAGACACCGAAGGAUAUGAGGAAGAUUCUGAUUAGAAUAGUUCUUAUGUAAUGUGUAUUUGUAAUAUGUGUUUGUAAUAUGAACUUUAUUUGGAUUUCUAGUUUAAAUAGAAAUUUUUAUUCUUAUCUAAAUGUUUAUUCCUAUCUAAAUGUUUAUUUCUAUGUAAUGUGUUUCUAUAAUAAAAAUUGUAUUUGUAUAUCUUAUAAUUUUUAUGGAAAUGAUGAGAGUGUGGCUUUUGUUUAUGUUUACCAUGGCUGCUGCCAUGGGUUGUGGACAUGGGGGAGACGGAGCUGAGGACCCACCUUUCCCAGGUGGUAGAGGUCUUGGCCAGCACGAGCAGGACGGUAAGUCUUAUCAUGAAUUUUUAUUUACUAUUUUUGUUCAAUUAUCAUAAAUUAAAUGUCGUUUCUAAUAAUUUUUAAUUACAUUUGUAGUUGAGGGACGUGCCCGAAGGAAAGUUCGAGGAAAAGCAAAAAAUAUAAAGCUUGAAAAAGCAAUCUUGCAGAACCAGGGGAAACCAAUAGGCAUGCAAUAUGAUAGGGAUAUCACAUUUAAUCCCGUAGGAGAGGCGGGAGACAUGUUUUCCCGAGAAGUUGGGAAAACAAUGUGGCAGAUGGUCCCUUUCGACAAAUGGAGUUGGAAAAGAGUUUCCCCUGAUAUAAAGGACACUGUAUUACAACAUUUAGUGGUAAUUAUUUGUUUAAAUAUAUUUUAUAGGUUUAACUAUAAUUGUUUUUUACUUGGUUAACUUUUUUUUUUGUAGACAAAGUUUGAUCUCAAUCAAAUGUACCAGGAUACACAAGCUACUCUAUUGACAGAGAGUUUUCAAGCAACCUUGUUAAAAGGUUUUCGAGAGCGUAAAGCCGAUGCAAAAGAAUAUUUCAAGAUGGUCGGAGGGUAUGAAGAUAUCCCGAGAGCAUUGGCAAAUCCUCCGGAUGGUAUGCUUGUUGAUAACUGGGCGAAGACAGUUGACUAUUUUCAAACUGACGAACACAGAAUUGCUUCAGAAAGGAACAAAAAAAUUCGUGAAAAGCAAACAAAUGUGAAUCGUGGGGGUUCGAGCUCGUAUAGCAGCACUUGCUAUAAGAAGGUAUCGUACGAUACAUGUAAUUAUUUAUUUAAAAUAUAAUCUAAUUUUUAAACUUAAACAGAACCUUAAGAGAGUGGAAAAUUUCGCAAAGCUCAUACCGAUAAGAAUGGUGUAUUUGUUACUGCUGAAUCGGAACAACAAUAUGUAAGUAUUUAAUUAUAAUUUUAUCAUAUAUUUAAAUGUUUAUUUAUACUUAAUUGUUACUCACUUUUGGGAGUUACAGAUCGGUUAGUUGAAGAGUUGUUAGAACAAACUCAAGGUGAAAGUGAGUUAACGCCUGCUCAAGUAAGAGCUACGUUCGAGAAAUUAUUAUGAGAGCGACGUGGCCACAUUAGAGGCAUUGGCCGCAAACCUUUUGGUCUCCCGACGAUUCCACAGCCUUCGCAACCAUCACAACCACCAUCACAACCAUCACAGGUAAAAUAGCAAUCUACUUUAGCAUCGUAAAAUGCAUGUUGAUUUGGUAGUUUUGGUUUUGUGGUGGUUAUUUGCUAAAAAGUUUGGUAAUUUGGUUUUUGUCCCAAGUGCAAAAUAUAGCAAUGUACUUUGGUUUUCUAUCUUUGUUUAAAAAUAGCAAUCUACUUUAGCAUCGUAAAAUGCAUGUUGAUUUGGUAGUUUUGGUUUUGUGGUGGUUAUUUGCUAAAAAGUUUGGUAAUUUGGUUUUUGUCCCAAGUGCAAGAAAUAGCAAUGUACUUUGUUUUUCUAUCUUAGUUUAAAAAGAACAAUGUAUUUUGAUGGUUUUUGUUUAUGUUUGACGAUCUAACUUAUAAGUUUAUAUAUAUUGUUAUUAAUUAUGUAGUUGGAAAAUCUUCGUGCAAUGCUCGCCGACCCGGCAUGUAGGGAUGAGCUUUAUUCGUUUUUUCAAUCCCAAAAUAAUCAAGGAAACGAUGGGAACGACGAUGAUGGUAUGUAAGGAUGGGUUUUAUUUGCAUAUGUUGUCUCGUUUUGCUACUUGGUAGAUUGUAAAAAUUUUGUUGUUUUGCUACUCGGAUAUUAUGACUUUUGAUAUUUAUUUGUAUUUGGAUGUUUGUUUGUAACUUGCAUUGACACUAUUAUGUUUGAUAUUUAAUAGGAUGUUUGUUUUUUAAUUAGCGUCCACACUAUUGGUUUUGAUAUUUAAUCGAAUAUUGUUAUUAUCGGCGAUACUUUUACCUGCCAUAUUAUCACCGGCAACCAAAAUCAUUAUUUAAAAAAAAUUGAAAAAAAAUUACCGGCGACAAAACUUAUUACCGGCGACACUUUUGCCGUCGACAGACGUCAUUACCGGCGACUAGCUUAUUAGCGGCGACAAUACUCAUUAGCGGCGACAUAGCAAUAGCGGCGACUUUUAUCAUUAACGGCGACGAACUGAUCAAUAACGGCGACUUUUAUCAUUACCGGCGACGCUUUUACCGGCGACAGAACUUAUUACCGGCGACACUUUUGCCGUCGACAGACGUCAUUACCGGCGACUAGCUUAUUAGCGGCGACAAUACUCAUUGGCGGUGACUUUUAUCAUUAACGGCGACAAACUGAUUAAUAGCGACAAAGCAGUAGCGGCGACUCAGUACCAGCGACGCGUCGCUGCUAUUAGUAUUACCGACGACUUUUGGGACUUUUACCGGCGACUUUUGUCGCCGGUAAUGUCCUUUUUCCUUGUAGCGUUCAGUGUCGCCACUAGUGUGUCCCACUCCUGAUACGUGUCACUACAAGAAAACAGAAAAUAGGGUAUACUAAAUGUAGUGCGGUUAUUAAAAAAAAAUCCAUAUUAGAUGUGGUUAUAUUGAUUUUUGUGCAUGUUUUUAUGAAAUAAAUGGGAGUGAAAGAACUUUUCCGCUUUUAAUCAUCAAAUACCGAUUCUUUUCUUUCUUUUUCACUGGUUUCCCCAUGCCACCACUUCUCUCCUCCUCACCUUGACCACAAGGUCAUCAUCUCAUCUUCCCAUUCACUCUUCCAUCCUUGUAAAUUUUGUUAAGAAGAUACAAGACUUCCUCAUGUAAAAAUAGAAUUAGUAGAAUUUUGAUAUACUGUAUGACCUAGUUUUGAGAUUUUAUUUAAAUAGAAUUCUUUUGAAUAUGUAAUUUUGAUGUAGAAGUAGAGUUUUGACAUUUACGUUUCUUCUUACACUAGGUUGGAACUAUUUGAUUUUUUAUUUGGAUUUAGUCUCCAAUUGAAGGAGCAUCUAGAUGUUUAAAUGCAAGGCAACAUUAAGUUUCAUUAAUGCUAACGAGAGUAUCACUAGCAUUGUUCUGAUCCAAUUUUAAUGGAAGGUGAUAUAAUGUUUUAAUGCAAUACUCUUACAAUUUUUUCUAUUGAUUUUCAUGGUUGAUAAUGGAGAUUGGUGUGAUUAUACUCACUUUCAUAUGGGUAUUAUGGCGAGCAAGAAACAAUAUGUUGUACAAAGGCUUGGUGAACUCGACACAUAUCUUCUUUAAUUAGAUCCAAAUGUUCUCUUAUAAUUGGAUUAGAAUAGAUAUAAAUGACGUAGGAAUGUGUCUUGUGAUCUUUGGUGCUUAGAUCCAAAAAUGUUUGUAAUGUUGUUUUCAACUAGUGUCUUGUUGGUUGCUGCCAUUUAAUAAUAUUUUUCUUGUUGUCCAAAAAAAGGAAAACAACACUGUCAAUUUGGCUACAGUUAAUAGUGAUUAUAACUGGGAUAUCUUGAAUAUUUACUUUAUGAUUGUUAUUUUAAUAUGCUUGUCCUCAAUAUCCAUUAUUGUUUCCAUUAUGUAGGAAUUACUGUCAAUUUGGCUACAGUUAAUAGUGAUUAUAACUGGGAUAUCUUGAAUAUUUACUUUAUGAUUGUUAUUUUAAUAUGCUUGUCCUCAAUAUCCAUUAUUGUUUCCAUUAUGUAGGAAUUACUGUCAAUUUGGCUACAGUUAAUAGUGAUUAUAACUGGGAUAUCUUGAAUAUUUACUUUAUGAUUGUUAUUUUAAUAUGCUUGUCCUCAAUAUCCAUUAUUGUUUCCAUUAUGUAGGAAUUAGAUGUAAAUAUUUUUAAAGGGAUGUGUGAUGCUCCGUUGUUAUGUCUGAUACUUUGUUGUUGAAAGAAGUAACGAUGUCAUUAGGGGUGUUGAACGGGUAAUUUUUUCGGGUUUCGGGUAAUUCGGGUCGGGUAAUUCGGGUUUUUCAUGUUAGAAAAAUUACCCGUUACCCUACCCAAACUAAAUUCGGGUAAUUCGGGUUUGGGUAAUUCGGGUAUCGGGUCGGGUUUGGGUAAUUUGGGUAAUACCCGAAAUAUAUUAUUUUUUUUUUGAAUUUCACCUGAAAAUAAAUUUAAUGAAAUAAAUAUGUCAUGCUUUAUUAGUCUUGUUUAUAUAAACAAACGAGACAUAAACGAAGUUACUCAAGCUUUGAACAUUGAGAUUUGUUAGUCAAUAAUACAUGAGAUAUCAUGUAAUUUUUUAACAAAUUAAUCUAAUCUAAUAAGAUGUUAAAAAAACAAAUACCUAAAGAUCUUAAUUUAAAAGUUUAAAAUGUUUAAGAUGAAUGUAGCCAUAAGUUUUGCCAUAUUCUGAAGUUUUGUCAAGAUAAUGAGUUUGUUAGUUGCAAUAAAAACUAUAAUCUAGAAAACAGUUAAGUUUUAGACAACGUGAUGAUAUAUAAAAAUUACUUUUAAUAUUGAUAGUGUCGUAUUGUCAUAAUAAAUAUAUUUAUGUUUUACAAUAAUGAUAGUUAGUUUAAGCGUGAUCAAAUACCUGCUACAUAGUACAAGCUCUACAAAAAAAAGGAAUUUUUAAAAUAAUUUGGGUAAUUCGGGUAUACCCGAAACCCAAAAAAUUUACCCUUUACCCGACCCGAAAAAAAUCGGGUAACCCGAUUACCCGGAAAAAUUUACCCGAUACCCGAUUUACCCGAUACCCGAAAAAAUUGAACGGGUAAUUCGGGUAUUUUCGACAGGGCUAGAUGUCAUAUGUAUGAUACAUGAUCUUCUUCAAUGGUUAGGGGUAAUUUGGUCAAUUUAUCUUAUGUCAAAUGAUAUUUUAUAUUUAAGGGAAAUUUGGUCAAUAUGCUUUAUUAUAAUGGUUUCAAAAUAUACUAACUAAUUCUAAGAUGUCAUAAAAUCUUUAAUUCUAUGAAAUUUAUGAAUAAUUAAAGUGUUAGAAUUUUCAUAAAUAUUUAGAAAGCAAUUAAGGUAGCAUUUUUUACUUGUCACAAGACUAGAUUAGGCUAAAAUACAAGAUGUUUUCCUAGAGUUGAAUUUGUUUCUUGGAUUAAAAACUAAACGUUAUAGAAUCAUAUUAAAAUUUUGUUUCUUACUAUGAUAUUUUACUUUGAAAAUCCUAAUUGUUGUAUCGUACUUUCAGUUUGUUACUUAUUAGGACAUUAUACUAUAAAAAUAUUUGUGUUGCAUUAUGUGCCCUGGCUUAACGGUUUCUUGUGGUGGUUCAGUCUGAGUUAACCCUGUCAUCACAACAAUGAAGAAGAAGCGUCAGUUGAUGUCCGGGAGGUGGUCCCGAGACGAAGCUCCACCGGUCUAGUUAGUGUGAGUGUGUACGAUAGAAUACAAAGGUAAGGGUUUUAGCUAUAACGAGGUCAUCCUCCUCUCUGAAGGAGUGUGAAUCCUUUUAUACCGAUCAUUUGUUGAUCCAGAUCCUAACGGUUUCCUUAGUCCCGUCUGGGCCGAUAGGAUGUAGGGAAGUCCCAUUGGUGAUUCGUCCACCACUAGUAGUCAUCUGUAAUAUUGGUGUAAUUGGAAUAAAGGAUAAAGCUCUGAGCAUUACACUUGUCACCCUAGGGAGUGGUCGAUUUUGUUUUAGCUUAUUAUAGACAGGAGAUUGUCAUCUGGAGUUAGACCUACGUGUGAGAGCGCCAAGCACAAGAGUCCUAGUGCGAGGCCGUGAGGGUGAGGUGAGGGUAUGGCAUUAGGCGGGUUACUAAUCUUUAGCUAGGUCAUCCUAAAGAUAGCAGCUCUAUUAUCUUUAACGUAUUCCUAGAGGGAUACGUUAACAAGUCCCCUAGGCAUAGGCCUAGGCAUUGGCGCAACAUGAUCUAGUUUGGAUGUUCGACUAUUAUGAUGGAACCGUUAGCGCCAAUGGUUUUAUCAUGAGGACGAUUCAAUAUUCCCACUCCUCAUUUAAACCUAUCUCAUUAAGAGUGGUUUUCUUCUCUCCUUUUCGUUCUCAACUGAUUUUGAAUUCUCUUUGCAUCCUCUUUCUUCUCUCUGUGCAGCUACGUUUUGAUUUCAGGAUGGAGCAUGGAGUGCAGCUUCCAAGGAAGAGGGCUACCAUCUAUCAGCCAUUGUCGGGCAUUCUCGAAUUCCCCAUUUGAAUCUUUAAAGUGGGGUUGUGGUUGCUGACGACUAAUUUCUUUGAUGAAAUCAUGUACCAGUAUGGCUUUUCUGUGGACGAUUUUGAAGGAUUUUGAGCAUUCUAACACUCCUAAGGUGUUCAUGCAACCCUUGUAACACCCAAAAUCCGAAAAACCAAGAAAGGAAAGGAAAGCCCUUAGCAUAAGGAGUCAACUCGACAAGUCGGAGCGGGCUCCGUGUGGAAAAGUAAGUGACCGACUCGACGAGUCAGCGAGUGGACUCGGCGAGUCUGGUCUGGGUUGGGAAACCCUAAUUCCGGGACAUGGUACCCUAUUUAAGCAUCUUAUUCUCUUCCCUAGGGUUCAUUCUAAUCCACUCUCGUCUAGAACCCAAAACCCUAGCCACCCAACUACGUUGUUUGAGCUUUUGAAGAAGAUUAAGGGCCAUUGGAGUGCAUCUUUGAGGCUUGGAGGGAAAAGGGCAAGGAAGGAAGAGUAGAUCCAGCCUCCAUAUAAAUUUGGCAACUGUUAGGAGGUAAAAUUCUAAAUCUUGAGCUUUCAAUUGGUAGAUAUCUUUCUAGCUUUGCCUUUUUUGUCACAAUUGGACCAUUUCCAAGUAGAAUCCGGGUAAUAAGCCUUUGAGGAUGGAUUGAACAGCUGAUCUGGACACUUUUGAGCUUUAGAAGCUCAAAGUGGUUGGCUUUAUCUAGUUAGGGUUCCAUUUCUUGACCUUCAUCUUCAUAAUUAGCUUGGAUUUGGUUUUCUAGCCUCAUAACACCUUUCAUGCACAUAAAGUUAGCAACUUUACAUGCAAUGCUAGCAUAAGGAGUCCAGAUCUAUGAGUUGGAGGUGUUGGGAUGGAUUGAAACCGACAGAGUAGAGAUGUCACAAGGAGGACUCGAUGAGUUAGUUCAUGGAAUCGGCGAGUCGGGUCGCAAACCCAAACCCUUAUGUUUAUAAGUCGGAUCAGUGAGUGGGGUUAAGGAGGAUUCAGUCAGUCAGGACCCAUAAUAGUUAUGAAGAUCAUAGAACUCGACGAGUUCAAUGAGGAACUCAUUGAGUCCAAGACAAUCUUCUUAGUUAUGAAAUCCGUAAAUAUAAAGAACGCCGGAAUCCGAAUUAUAACGAAGAAGUUAUCCCCCGUCGAUGUUUUUCGGCAAAACCGGCAUGGCACCGGGAGACGUAAAUAGUGAAUUUACGAUAGAGGACUUUUUAGCCGUAGUGAUCUAAACCAAAGUUGUAGUAUACGUUAAACCGACACAUACAAAAAAAGAACGCCCAAAUCUGACUUCAUAUGAGGAAGUUAUGAUUUUUCAAUGUUUCGGCUUAGCAGUGUACAGCCCGAAACUCGAAUUUUAGUUCGAGCGGUUUUUGGCUUAUGCGACCUAAAUGAGGUUUGAAGAUCUCAUUAAUAGGAACUCAUCAGUAAAAAUACAGACGAAAAUGGAGUCCGUAUGAAGGAAUUACGAAUUCUUCGUUGUCAUUUAAAAGUCUAAACUCCUCCUAGUGUUAAGUUUAAGAUCGGUCGAGAAUUAGCCGACGGAGACUAAACGAAAGUUGUAGAUCUUGUUUUUACCUACGCGUGGAAAAAACGAACGUCGAAAACGGAGCUCGUAUGCGAAAGUUACGGGGUUUAGAAGUCGGCAGGAUGCUGUUGCAAAAGGGGUGACGUGGCUGAAUAAGGGUCAAGGAUUUCUCCCCAAGGCAAGCCACCAGAGGGUGACAUCUGGCAUGGAAUCGAAGAGUAGAGCUGUUUUCUAGCCUAUAAAUAGUGGUUCCGGGCUCCCUCAUUCUUCACACCUUCCCAACUUCACUUUAUCUCUCUAAACUCUCUCUCUCUCUCUCUCUCUCUAACCCCCCAAAAAGCCUAGGGAACCUCUCUAGCACCCGAAGGAAGCCCCGAGGCUCCCAGAGUCCCGAGAGAAAGGGUCUUUCAACUCGGAAACGCUGCUCCAGCAAAGCCCAGUUUUGCGAAAAACCUGCGGUAAGUUAGCUAUGCCUAACCUAUCUUUAUUAUAACUUAUGUUUCAAUAUAGUAAUGUUAUUAGGACCUUAUAAGGAGUAUUUGGGCUAUUAUUAUGGGUUAUAUAAGUAUUGUUUAAUGCUUAUAUAAUAGUAGUAAUAGCUAGACUAUUAGUUAGUCUCGUCAAACGUUAGACUAAACUAUAGCGGUAAUGAUACUAGAUUUCCUCAAGGGAUAAUUGUUUUAAGAAUAACGAAGUGUUGUCCUAGUGCCGACUCACCACCUUACCAGGUUAGUGCAUAGUUACUUUCAUCUUACACAUAGAUAUGAGGUAUUUUAUUUAAAUUACGUGCUAUGUGUGCUUAUUAUCUGAAUACUUGUUGUCUAUGUUGGAUGAACGAUUUUAUACAUGUUUUAAAUGAUUUAAAUUGUAUAUGUAUUUUAUAUCUACGAUAAUCUUGGGGUAAAACGUUGGUAGAUGUAAUAGAUGGAGUAUGAGUUGGAUGAGGAGUUGAGAGGUGAAAUAGACCGUGAGAUGAGGGUGAGAGGUGGACGAUGUGAGAAGCCUUUUUCCCAAAUGAUGGCCCUGUCAUUCAGCAGAGUAUGGAUGACAACCACAGACUAUUCUAGACAGUCCAAUGGAACACCAGCAGGAUCGCAACCUGUAAGUGUUAUGAUCGAUGUGUUCACCCGGUGUACUCUAAACCUUGGUGAUCAUGCAGACUUAAUGCCUAAACCCUGGUGAUCAUGCAGACUUGAUGCCUAAACCUUGGUGAUCAAGCAGACUUGAUGCCUAAACCCUGACGACUAUGCAGACUUAGUGCCCGUUGUGUAAACCUUGGCAAUGAUGGACUUCGUGCCGAUUCCUUACGAUGAUCCUUAGGAAUGAGUGAAGGAGAAAUAGCUUAUUCUUAGGGUAGAUCCUUAAGAAUAAAGAAGAUAAUGGGGAUGGGUAAUUAGGUUGAUUUCUUGAUUGUUUAAACAUAAUAAUUAUAUUAUUAUGGGUUGAAAACCCUAUGUACUCACCAGGUUUCCCAACCUGACCCACUCAAUUUAUUUAUAUCACAGGUGUUGUUACGAUGUCACAUUACACUGAGAGAUUAAGGAGAUGUAAAUCACUAAUGAUAAUGAAUGUAAGUUCUGUUUAUGUUUAUGUUUCUAUAUUGACAAUGAUAUCCCAAAUGUUUUAAAAUAAAUAAAAAUACUUUUCUUCGGAAAUGCUUUGAUAACGUAUUUACCAUGUUUUACUGGGAACAUAUUCCGCAACUUUUUUAUUAAAAGAGGUAUUCUAAUUUUUAUAAAGCAUAAAUAAAAUCGGUCUUUUUUAGCUGAAUAAAUGGGGAUGUCACAGUUGGUAUCAGAGCAUUAGUUUAAGCGAACUAGGAAUUUGUAGGAUUUCUAGACUUAAACUUAGAAUGCUAAGCGAUGAUUCUGAGAUGUGAGCACUAGCUUUUUUUAGGAAUUGUCCCUAAAAAUGCUUUUAUGUGCUAAAUGCUUUGUGCCUGAUAUGUUGUUGUUUGAUCAGAUCUAUGGUUUGUCGCUGACCGGAUCUGGAAACCUUAUGUGUUUAGGAUUCCAAACGUACGAAUACGAUAUUAGAACUAGCAUAUAAACAUUUCGGAGUGAUAAUGAUGAUUUAAAACGUCAAUCCUAAAUCAAGAUCUAGAUUCACCUUAUUCGGUGUAUAGAUCAAAAUGGCAAGAACCCGCAAUGGAGCUGGGAAUGCAAAUGGGAAUAGGAAUCAACCCCCGGUGAUUCAGCAAAUACCUGUUGUAGUAGAAGAUGUACCCGAUCCAAUCACCAUGGCUGGAGUACAGGCCAUGAUUCGAGCUAUGUUAGCUGAACAAAGGGAAGAAAUGAGGCGGAUGUUGAAUAUGGAUGAACGUACCAUACCCGUUGAGCAAUCAGAGUUGAUUCCCGAGCAAUCGGAGGAAGGGAACUAUAGCCACCAAGUGAGUCAAGUUGGGAUACAAGGAGAACGAAGGAAUGGCCCAAAAAAGGGAAAUGACAAGGAUGGGCGAAUGUAUAAGAAUUUCUUGGGUGCCAAACCGCCAAGUCCUUCUAGAAGCCCGGAGCCGGUUGACAUUAUGGAUUGGAUCUCCGAGAUGGAGAUGGUGUUUGAAAGCUGCAGCUGUAGCGAGAAACAGAAGACUGUCUUCGCAGUAAGACAGCUGAAAACUGGAGUCUUGAGUUGGUGGAAGCUAUUGGCAGAUACGAUGUGUAACGACCAAAAAUUUGAGCAAAUUUUAAACAUUUUAUUUCAUUCAAAAACCAUUAAGUUCAUACAUCUUAUUUUUAAAGUAGUUUAAACAUCAAAGUAUCCCCCAGAACCAUAUCACAUGAAUCAUAAAACAUGAGGAGCGGUACGAUCACGCCUUCGCCUUGCCAUAAUCUCCUAAAGUACCUAAAACAAUACAUUAAAUUGUAUGCCCGAAACCUUAGUGAGUUACCUCCAAAAUACCAACCACAUACAACCAUAAUCAUAACAUAUUAUAUCACAAUAUAGAACAACCAUGCCUCUCAAGUCUGCAGUGUGACUGGUCCGCCCUGAACAGGCCUUUAGUUCACCUGGUCCACUCUGUGAGUCUACAGUAUGACUGGACCGCCCACACCGGGCCUUCAGUCUAUCGGGAUCUAUCUGAGCCUUCGGUAUGACUGGACCGCCAUACGUGCCUACAAUCUAACCGCUCGUACGGUAUGUUGGCCUUCAGCACAAAGCAGGACCGUCUCAACCCAAACAUCAAGCAAAUAACCAUGUGUACAUAUAACAGGAAAUCACAUAACAGUCCAUAGGCAAACAAAUCGAUGUAGCAGAUCAUAAAGCAUAGAAUCAUCCUUACCAGGAUAUCAACCUAACCGGUCACUAACAUAGCAUCAUCCUAUAUACUAGGAUACCGACCUAUACUAGGUCACUAACAUAACAUCAUCCUAUGUAUCAGGAUAUCGACCUAACCGGUCACUAACAUAGCAUCAUCCUAUAAACCAGGAUACCGACUUAAACCAGGUCACUAACAUAGCAUCAUCCUAUAUAACAGGAUACCGGCCUAAACUAAGUCACUGACAUAAUACUGUCCUAACUACCAGGAUGCCAAUCUAACAGAUCAACAAGCACAUCAACAGGACAAGUACAAAUAUCAGAUAUAACUAUCUCACAGAUCAUCGAUCAUAGCAAUCUCUCAUGACUAAGGCAUCGACUUAACCAGGUCACUAACAUACCAAUCCUAACGGAUCACAUGAGCAUAACAACAUACUGUCUAUUGUGAUACCAAUCUAACAGAUCAUAACCACAUGUAGCAUACUGUAACCAAGAUAACAACUAAAAGGGCCGACCUUGGUGCCUUAGACCCUAUUUAUAAAGUGAGGAUAACUCACCUGAAAUUGUUGACUGAAAAGAUAAGACCAAGCUGCUCCGACCUCCGGCACGAUCGCCGCCACUGAACACUACCAAAAAACCAAUUCCAUAAAUACCAAUAUUUCCAAAGUACCCUUGGAAGUUAAACUGGUCAACUCUUGGUCAAGGUCAAAGUCCUCAGUCAAAGUCAACCUUCCUGGAUGACUCUACUCGCCGAGUCACCUCGUCGACUUGCCGAGUUCCAUUACCUAGAAAACUCAAAUGACACAACUUAACUAGCCGAGUCACCCCAAGACUCACUGAGUCUAACGAUCUCUGAGUCCCAUCUUGUCCAACUCACUAAGUCGUCAAUCGACUCACUAAUCCAAGGCUUUAACCAAAAGAGGUUGGGGUUCUGUGACCUGACUCGCCGAGUCCAAGAACAGACUCACCGAGUCCAAGGCAAUCUUCAACCGACUCGCCGAGUUGUUCUUCCAACUCGUCGAGUCCAUGCACGUGUUCAUACAACUCGUCGAGUACACCCAUGUGACUUGCCGAGUCUCUCCAGUUCUCAAUCCAUUCAGAGGCUUUUUGAGCCAUGCUGAGGCUCCAAUCCGUAGAUCCACCCUUCUACAAUCUAUCCCUCACAUAAAGUUGCAAACUUUACGUGAAACCAAAGAGAUAUGGGCCAAAACACACUAGGGAUUAGGUUUUAGACAAAAGGGUUUCACCAACAAUUCAAUAACUGAUGCUUUAUGACUUUCUGGACCAAUACAAGUCUAUAUUUGAAGUAGCAACCUCAGAUCUGGACUCUAAACUCGAAGUGGAUCUCAAUCAUACCAAAAUGGCCCCAAAUCUCAUUCAAGAAUAAAUCUAGAAGCAACAAAGGAAUGGUAACAGCUCAUUACCUCCAAGAUGUGCCCAAAACUGUAGUAGAUUUUGGAUCUACACUACUUUCUUGAUGCAAACCCUUUUGAUCUUCAAGUUUCUUCCACUAGAACACCUCUCAAAGCUUCAAUCUCCCUCCAAUGGCCUUAUACACACGAGCUAGGGUUUAGUGGAUCUCAAAGGGGGCUAAGGGAGCUGAAGGGAGGACAUUAAGCCCUUUAAAUAGGGCGCAAACCCUAAGAUUACGGGUUUUCACAUCCCAGCACCAACUCGUCGAGUCCAGCUUCCGACUCGGCGAGUUGGUCACUUAAUUCGUGAUCCAAACCCGCUCCGACUCGGCAAGUAAGCGUACCUACUCGUCGAGUCCCUUCUUCAAAAUUACACUUUAAACUAUUAAAUCGUACUUCUGAAAUUCAGGAUGUUACACGAUGCCACGAGGAGAAGCCGUAAGGAUGUCAUGGGAAAAGUUCUUGGAAGAGUUGAAAAUGCAGUACUGCUCAGAGAUAGAUCUGAUAGACCUAAACAACGAGUUUCAGAACCUGAAGAAAGGGAAGAUGAGCGUUGAUGAGUAACACAUCACAUUCACUGAGAGGAUGAAGCUAUUUCCCUACUUGGUUCCUACUGAACUCUCCAGGAUUGAUAGGUUUGCUAACGGACUGCCUACAGACUUCCGCCCAAUGGUCAAAAUGGUAACUACCUUGAAAACAGCUGUUAGAGCAGCUAAGAAUGUAUAGACCGAAAUAAGAGAAAGGGGUCUAGAAAAAGACAAGGUAUGAGAAAAAAGGAAGCUUGAAGGAUCUUCAAAAUCCAACAAAGAAAGGAAAUUCUCAAAGACUAAAGAAGGAGGAGGAGAUGAAGCCAAGUGGUGCGAGAAGUCUAAAAAGAAGCACUUCGGGAAAUGUUGCGAGGAGGUGACUUGCUACAGAUGUGGAAAGACAGGGCAUUACGCCAGCAAGUGUGUGUCCAACAAGAAGGUGUGCUAUGGGUGUAACAAGGAAAAGCAUAUUUCUAGGGACUGCCCAAAGAAAAAUGAGGCAGCAAGGCCAAACACGCCACCAAGGCCAAGGGCAUUCCACAUGAUCCUUGACGAAGCAGAAAACCAUGCGAGGAAUCAAGGAUGAGGAAUUCAUACCCGAGGAUCAAGUUAUGAAGUAACCAAGGGGAUAGAAUCAUAUGAUGUAGCCUAUUAGAGGCAUAGUCUAGGGUGAACUUGAACACCUAUGUAAUAGUUUCAAGAAAUAAAAAAGCCUUCGUUUCGUUAUCUGAUGUGUUAAACUGUUAUAUGAUUUUCUUGUAUGGUGACUUGGGGACUGCGAGACAAUACUUGGGACGAGUAUGAGUAGGUGUGAAAGGUAGUAGAUGCAUAUACUACCGGAAGUACAUGACUCACGUUUGGAUCAGGGAAAGUCACAAGGUUACCAAGAAGCCAAUAAUUGAUUCCGUUAUAUUCAAGCAUGUCGUUACCAUCGUUUCGGUAAUGACUAAGAAGAUUGUUGUUAUUCUGACCCUAGUGGUCAUAUCAAAUUGAUUCCGACUACGCUAAGUAUGUUAUGCGGCUUAGAGAAUCAAGUUCGAUGUAGCAUUUGACUUAAGACGGAAGAUUGAAAUAAAAAGCAAUCAGUAGAGGUAUCGCAAAAAGUUGCUUGUAGCUAGAAAAGCUACCUUUUAAGAUGUGGUUAGAACAUGAAGGAAGGUAUAAGUUUGUUCUGGAAUUUGACUCUAAAAGACCUGAGUUCAAGCGAUGUAUCAUACGAUGAGAGGUCAUUAGAACAUGACCCAUCGGUCUAUUAUGAUAAUUGAAGGAAGAGACUUAACUCAAGUUUAUUAAUUAAGUAGUCUCAAAUAAAGAUCAAGAUCGUGACAUGAAGAUCAUGACUGAAAGUCUAACAUGAGAUUGAGAGCGGGUCAAAGAUCGGGUACCGCCUGCGGUCAGGAUGUCUUAGAGUUAGAUACUCGUUCAAAGAAACAUCAAAGUACAGUAAUUACUUAGUAUGAAGAGAUAACGUCUGGAUUCAUCAUGUGAGCCUUGUUUCGUUGAUGAUUCCGAGACGUAAUCAUCCUAAGGGGGACAUAAUUGUAAUGCCCGUAGAUCCGAGCUAGUCAAUUUACAGAUAAUAGGGGUCGAAAACGACUUUUUGAGAAAAUAUUAUUUAGAAUAAAUAAUCUUAAUGAAGUUGUAGAAUAUGUUUCAAGGGUUCCGUACAUAUAAAGAACGACGAAAUCCGAAUUAUAACGAAGUUUUUCGGCAAAACCAGCACGGCACCGGGAGAAGUAAAUAGUGAAUUUACGAUAGAGGACUUUUUAGCCUUAGUGAUCUAAACCAAAGUUGUAGUAUAUAUUAAACCGAGAACAUACAAGAAAAAAAGAACGCCCAAAUCUGACUUCGUAUGACGAAGUUAUGAUUUUUCAAAGUUUCGGCUUAGCAGUGUACAGCCCGAAACUCGAAUUUUAUUUCGAGUGGUUUUUGGCUUAUGCGACCUAAAUGAGGGUUGAAGAUCUCAUUAAUAGGAACUGAACGGUAAAAAUACAGACAGAAACAGAGUCUGUAUGAAGGAAUUACGAGCUCUUCGCGGUCAUUUAACAAUCUAAACUCCUCCUAAUGUUAAGUUUAAGAUCGGUCAAGAAUUAGCCGAUGGAGUCUAAAUGAAAGUUGUAGAUCUUGUUUUUACCUACGCGUGGAAGGAAAGAACGUAAAAAAUGGAGCUCGUAUGCGAAAGUUACGGGGUUAGAAGUCGGCAGGAUGUUGCUGCAAAAGGGGUGACAUGGCUGAAUAAGGAUCAAGGCUUUCUACCCAAGGCAAGCUACCAGAGGGUGACACCUGGCAUGGACUCGACGAGUAGAGGACCUACUCGACGGGUAGAACUAUUUUCCAGCCUAUAAAUAGAGGUGUCAGGCUCCCUCAUUCUUCACACCUUCCCAACUUCACUUUCUCUCUCUAAACUCUCUCUCUAACCACCCAAACCCCCCAAAAAGCCUAGGGAACCUCCCUAGCACCCGAAGGAAGCCCCAAGGCUCCCAGAGUCCCAAGAAAAAGGGUCUUUCGGCUCGGAAACGCUGCUCCAACGAAGCCCAGUUUUGCGAAAAACCUGCUGUAAGUGAGCUAUGCCUACCCUAUCUUUAGUGUAGCUUAUGUUUCAAUAUAGUAAUGUUAUUAGGACCUUAUAAGGAGUAUUUGGGCGAUUAUUAUGGGUUAUAUAAGUAUUGCUUAACGCUUAUACAAUAGUAAUAAUAGCUAGAUUAUUAAUUAGUCUCGUCAAACGUUAGACUAAACUCUAGUGGUCAUGAUACUAGGUUUCGUCAAGGGAUAAUUGUUUUAAGAGUAACGAAGUGCUGUCCGAGUGCCGAAUCACCACCUUACCAGGUGAGUGCAUAGUUACUUUCAUAUUACACAUAGAUAUGAAGUAUUUUAUAUAAAUUACGUGCUAUGUGUGCUUAUUAUCUGAAUACUUGGUGUCUAUACUGGAUGAACGAUUUUAUACAUGUUUUAAAUGAUUUAAACUGUAUAUGUAUUUUAUAUCUACGAUAAUGUUGGGGAAAACAUGGGUAGAUGUAAUAGAUGGAGUAUGAGUUGGAUGAGGAGUUGAGAGGUGAAACAGACCGUGAGGUGAGGGUGACAGGUGGACUAUAUGAGAAGCCUUUUUCCCAAAUGAUGGCCCCAUCAUUCAGCAGAGUAUGCAUGACAACCAUAGACUAUUCUAGACAGUCCAGUGGAACACUAGCAGGCUCGCAACCUGUAAGUGUUGUGAACGAUAUGUUCACCCGGUGUACUCUAGACCUUGGUGAUCAUGCAGACUUGAUGCCUCAACCCUGGUGAUCAUGCAGACUUGAUGCCUAAACCUUGGUGAUCAUGCAGACUUGAUGCCUAAACCCUAGCGACUAUGCAGACUUACUGCCCGUUGUGUAAACCGUGGCAACGAUGGACCUCUUGCCGAUUCCUUAGGAUGAUACUUAGGAAUGAGUGAACGAGAAAUAGCUGAUUCUUAGGGUAGAUCCUUAAGAAUAAAGAAGAUAAUGGGGAUGGGUAAUUGGGUUGACUGCUUGAUUGUUUAAACAUAGUAAUUAUAUUAUUGUGGGGUGAAAACCCUAUGUACUCACCAGGUUUCCCAACCUGACCCACUUAGUUUAUUUAAUUCACAUGUGUUGUUACGAUGUCACAUUACACUAAGAGAUUAAGGAGAUCUAAAUCACUAGUGAUAAUGAAUGUAAGUUCUGUUUAUGCUUAUUUUUCUGUAUUGACGAUGACAUCCCAAAUGUUUUAAAAUGAAUAAAAAUACUUUUCUUCGAAAUGCUUUGAAAACGUAUUUAUCAUGUUUUACUGGGAAUAAAUUCCGCAACAUUUUUAUUAAAAGAGGUACCCUGAUUUUUAUAAAGCAUAAACAAAAUCGGUCUUUUUUGGCCGUGAAAAUGGAGAUGACACAGUGGGCAAGGCCCAAGUUAGUCCGGAAUUCGGUCCGAUGCAGAGGGUAACGCCCCAGUUAGUCCGGACUUCGGUCCGAUACAUUAGGUAAGUCCCAAGUUAGUCCGGACAUUGGUCCGAUGCAGGGGGCAAGGCCGCAGUUAGUCCGGACCUCGGUCUGAUGCAGUGGGCAAGGCCCAGUAUGUGCUUUAUAUGUUAUUGUAUGGUAUGUGGUAGUUUGGGGGAGCUCACUAAGCUUUGUGCUUACAGUUUUCAGUUUUGGUUUCAGGUACUUCCAGUAGCGGAGGGAGGAGCUCGGGAUGAUCACAUAGCACACACCAUAGUUAGUCAGCCUGGGAUGUUUUACUCUGAUAAUAAGAAUAUGUUUUGAAUUAACACUUUGAUUUUAUGUUAUGAUUUAUGUUAUGGGUUGACAAUCGUGGUUUAAGUAAUGUUUUUCAAACGAAAUUUUUAGACUGUAUUUUUGGGAUGUUACAACCCUAAAUACCUUGGAUCUAUUUAUUCACUAUUAUACAUGCAAACUUGAAGUUUCCAAGGUAUUACCCUAACUGGCAUACAAAACUUUGAUACAUAGUGAAUAAAACAAGUUAGGAAACAUACCUUUUGUUGUGGCUUAUUACUUAGAGCUUUAAGAGCUUAGCACCAAUAAUGUGAAUGUCUCAAGUGGAAUCACAAAUCACCGCCAACACUUUGGAAACUUGGAAGAGAACUAUGAUGCUCACAAAAAUCAGCCUCUAUAUGUCAACACCCUAGGGGUCCAUUUUCUUGAACCAAAGGGCUUCUUAUGUAGUAUGCACAUUAGGGUUACACCAUGUAACUCAUGACUUUCCACAUUCCUCAUGAUCCAUGGGUUUUAACCUCCAUGGAGCAUCCAUAGGUAACCACAUCAUUUAAUCCCAACAUAAGGAAUCAUUGAUCAUUAGCCCACAUUAUAAGAAUCAAUGAUUUACACAAUUAAUCCCUAUAUAUUUAAUUAGUCUCUUUUGACAAAAAAAAUGAAUGAAAUGUGUAAAAGUUAGUAUGAUGGGCAUUUUAUGGUGUACUUUGUAUGGUAUUUGAAAUUAAAUACGGUAUUUGACAAAAAUAAAAAUGGGAAUUUUUAAAAUUUAAAAUUUUUAUUUUUUAAGAAAACGUAAAUAGCGACGGAGUAGCGACCGAAUUUCCGUCGCUAAAUUGGUCUGCAGGUAAGUAGUCAAUCUUGAGUUCCGUCACUAAUUCGUAGUAAUUAUGUAGCUAUACCGUAGGAAAAAGUCAAUUUUAGUCAAACUUGAAUCCCGUUGACAAUUUAUAGUAAAUUCGUAGCUAUUCUGUAGGAAAAAAGUCGAACUUUAAUCAUGUUGAUAAUCCAUAGGAAAUCCGUAGCAAUUUAAUUUCGUGGCUAUUAUAGCUACGGAAAAAGCCAUAGCUAAUCUGUAGCUAGUUCGUCGCAAUUCUGUAGUUAUAAUUUUCCGACGGCCAUUUAUGCUACAGAGCAUUUUUCGUAGCAAUUCCGUAGCUAUCACCGUAUACAUACGCAAUACCUAUGGAUUGUGCCACAGCUAAAGUCCUAGUUUUCUAGUAGUGUAUGCUUAGUAAUUUCUUAUUAAUUAUCUUUUCUUUUUAUUAUGAUUUACAAUUUUUCAACAUUGUUAUUGCUACUCAAGCGGUGCCACUUUUUACUUAAUACAAUAUCAACGAUCCAAUUAGAGAAUGAUCAUUUUUGGAAGUUUUUAUCAUUGUAGUCUCGAAUCAUUUUGCUUUUCAAACUUGCGCAAAUGGCACGGGGGCUUCCGCUAGUUUUCUAAUAAAACACCAAUAAUUGGAUCUUUAACCUAUGCUUCUUUUCACAAAUGUGCAUUUUUGGUUCUUAAUGUAUAAUGUUAUAUAUGAGUAUAAUACUUUCAUUUUUUUAUUUUAAGUUGGUCUUGAGUUUAUCAUGAACACUACCAAAGAAACAAUUCCAUAAAUACCAAUAUUACCAAAGUACCCUUGGAAGUCAAACUGGUAAACUCUUGGUCAAGGUCAAAGUCCUCAGUCAAAGUCAACCUUCCUGGAUGACUCUACUCGCCGAGUCACCUCGUCGACUCGCCGAGUUCCAUUACCUAGAAAACUCUCAUGACACAACUUAACUAGCCGAGUCACCCCAAGACUCGCUGAGUCUAAUGAUCUCUGAGUCCCAUCUUGUCCAACUCACUGAGUCGUCAAUCGACUCACUAAUCCAAGGCUUUAACCAAAAGAGGUUGGGGUUCUGUGACCUGACUCGCCGAGUCCAAGAACAGACUCACCGAGUCCAAGGCAAUCUUCAACCGACUCGCCGAGUUGUUCUUCCAACUCGUCGAGUCCAUGCACGUGUUCAUACAACUCGUCGAGUACACCCAUGUGACUCGCCGAGUCUCUCCAGUUCUCAGUCCAUUCAGAGGCUUUACGAGCCAUGCUGAGGCUCCAAUACGUAGAUCCACCAUUCUACAAUCUAUCCUUCACAUAAAGUUGCAAACUUUACGUGAAACCAAAGAGAUAUGGGCCGAAAACACACUAGGGAUUGGGUUUUAGACAAAAGGGUUUCACCAACAAUUCAAUAACUGAUGCUUUAUGACUUUCUGGCCAAAUACAAGUCUAGAUUUGUAGUAGCAACCUCAGAUCUAGACUCUAAACUCGAAGUGGAUCUCAAUCAUACCAAAAUGGCCCCAAAUCUCAUUCAAGAAUAAAUCUAGAAGCAACAAAGGAAUGGUAAUAACUCAUUACCUCCAAGAUGUGCCUAAAACUGUAGUAGAUUCUGGAUCUACACUACUUUCUUGAUGCAAACCCUUUUGAUCUUCAAGUUUCUUCCACUAGAGCACCUCUCAAAGCUUCAAUCUCCCUCCAAUGGCCUUAUACACACGAGCUAGGGUUUAGUGGAUCUCAAAGUGGGCUAAGGGAGCUGAAGGGAGGACAUUAAGCCCUUUAAAUAGGGCGCAAACCCUAAGAUUAGGGUUUUUCACAUCCUAGCACCAACUCGGCGAGUUGGUCAGUUAAUUCGUGACCUAAACCCGCUCCGACUUAGUGAGUAAGCGUACCUACUCGUCAAGUCCCUUCUUCGAAACUACACAUUAAACUCUUAAAUCGUACUUCUGAAAUUCAGGAUGUUACACGAUGCCACGAGGAGAAGCCCUAAGGAUGUCAUGGGAAAAGUUCUUGGAACAGUUGAAAAUGCAGUACUGCUCAGAGAUAGAUCUGAUAGACCUAAACAACGAGUUUCAGAACCUGAAGAAAGGGAAGAUGAGCGUUGAUGAGUAAGACACCACAUUCACUGAGAGGAUGAAGCUAUUUCCCUACUUGGUUCCUACUAAACUCUCCAAGAUUGAUAGGUUUGCUAACGGACUACCUACAGACUUGGCCCAAUGGUCAAAAUGGCAACUACCUUGAAAACAACUGUUAUAGCAGCUAAGAAUGUAUAGACCCAAUUAAGAGAAAGGGGUCUAGAAAAAGACUAGGUCGGAGAAAAAAGGAAAUAUGAAGGAUCUUCAAAAUCCAACAAAGAAAGGAAAUUCUCAAAGACUAAAGAAUGAGGAGGAGAUGAAGCUAAGUGGUGCGAGAAGUGUAAAAAGAAGCACUUCGGGAAAUGUUGCAAGGAGGUGACUUGCUACAGAUGUGGAAAGACACGGCAUUACGCCAGCAAGUGUGUGUCCAACAAGAAGGUGUGCUAUGGGUGUAACAAGGAAAGGCAUAUUUCUAGGGACUGCCGAAAGAAAAAUGAGGCAGCAAGGCCAAACACGCCACUAAGGCCAAGGGCAUUCCACAUGAUCCUUGACGAAGCAGAAAACCAUGCGAGGAAUCAAGGAUGAGGAAUUCAUACCCGAGGAUCAAGUUAUGAAGUAACCAAGGGGAUAGAAUCAUAUGAUGUAGCCUAUUAGAGGCAUAGUCUAGGGUGAACUUGAACACCUAUGUAAUAGUUUCAAGAAAUAAUAAAGCCUUCGUUUCGUUAUCUGAUGUGUUAAACUGUUAUAUGAUUUUCUUGUAUGGUGACUUGGGGACUGCGAGACAAUACUUGGGACGAGUAUGAGUAGGUGUGAAAGGUAGUAGAUGCAUAUACUACCGGAAGUACAGGACUCACGUUUGGAUCAGGGAAAGUCACAAGGUUACCAAGAAGCCAAUAAUUGAUUCCGUUAUAUUCAAGCAUGUCGUUACCAUCGUUUCGGUAAUGACUAAGAAGAUUGUUGUUAUUCUGACCCUAGUGGUCAUAUCAAAUUGAUUCCGACUACGCUAAGUAUGUUAUGCGGCUUAGAGAAUCAAGUUCGAUGUAGCAUUUGACUUAAGACGGAAGAUUGAAAUAAAAAGCAAUCAGUAGAGGUAUCGCAAAAAGUUGCUUGUAGCUAGAAAAGCUACCUUUUAAGAUGUGGUUAGAACAUGAAGGAAGGUAUAAGUUUGUUCUGGAAUUUGACUCUAAAAGACCUGAGUCCAAGCGAUGUAUCAUACGAUGAGAGGUCAUUAGAACAUGACCCAUCGGUCUAUUAUGAUAAUUGAAGGAAGAGACUUAACUCAAGUUUAUUAAUUAAGUAGUCUCAAAUAAAGAUCAAGAUCGUGACAUGAAGAUCAUGACUGAAAGUCUAACAUGAGAUUGAGAGCGGGUCAAAGAUCGGGUACCGCCUGCGGUCAGGAUGUCUUAGAGUUAGAUACUCGUUCAAAGAAACAUCAAAGUACAGUAAUUACUUAGUAUGAAGAGAUAACGUAUGGAUUCAUCAUGUGAGCCUUGUUUCGUUGAUGAUUCCGGGUAUAAGUAAUCAUCCUAAGGGGGAGAUAAUUGUAACGCCCAUAGAUCCGGGCUAGUCAAUUUUGAGAUAAUAGGGGUCGAAAACGACUUUUCGACAAAAGAUUAUUUAGAAUAAAUAAUCUUAACGAAGUUGUAGAAUAUGUCUCAAGGGUUCCGUACAUAUAAAGAACGACGAAAUCCGAAUUAUAACGAAGUUUUUCAGCAAAAUCGGCACGGCACCGGGAGAAGUAAAUAGUGAAUUUACGAUAGAGGACUUUUAAGCCUUAGUGAUCUAAACCAAAGUUGUAAUAUACAUUAAACCGAGAACAUACAAAAAAAAAAGAACGCCCAAAUCUGACUUCGUAUGACGAAGUUAUGAUUUUUCAAAGUUUCGGCUUAGCAGUGUAUAGCCCAGAACUCGAAUUUUAGUUCAAGCGGUUUUUAAAUUAUGCGACCUAAAUGAGGGUUGAAGAUCUCAUUAAUAGGAACUGAACGGUAAAAAUACAGAUGAAAACGGAGUCAGUAUGAAGGAAUUACGAGCUCUUCGCGGUCAUUUAACGGUCUAAACUCCUCCUAUUGUUAAGUUUAAGAUCGGUCGAGAAGUAGCCGACGGAGUCUAAAUGAAAGUUGUAGAUCUUGUUUUUACCUAGGCGUGGAAAAAACGAACGUCGAAAAUGGAGCCCGCAUGCGAAAGUUACGGCAUUUAGAAGUCGGUAGGAUGCUGCUGCAAAAGGGGUGACGUGGCUGACUAAGGGUCAAGGCUUUCUCCCCAAGGCAAGCCACUAGAGGGUGACAUCUGGCAUGGACUCGACGAGUAGAGCUGUUUUCCAGACUAUAAAUAGUGGUACCGGGCUCCCUCAUUCUUCACACCUUCGCAACUUCACUUUCUCUCUCUAAACUCUCUCUCUCUCUCUCUAACCCCCCCCAUAAAGCCUAGGGAACCUCUCUAGCACCUGAAGGAAGCCCCGAGGCUCCCAGAGUCCCGAGAAAAAAGGGUCUUUCAGCUCGGAAACGCUGCUCCAGCAAAGCCCAGUUUUGCGAAAAACCCGCGGUAAGUUAGCUAUGCCUACCCUAUCUUUAGUAUAGCUUAUGUUUCAAUAUAGUAAUGUUAUUAGGAACUUAUAAGGAGUAUUUGGGCUAUUAUUAUGGGUUAUAUAAGUAUUGUUUAACGCUUAUAUAAUAGUAGUAAUAGCUAGACUAUUAAUUAGUCUCGUCAAACAUUAGACUAAACUCUAGUGAUAAUGAUGCUAGGUUUACUCAAGGGAUAAUUGUUUUAAGAAUAACGAAGUGUUGUCCUAGUGCCGACUCACCACCUUACCAGGUUAGUGCAUAGUUACUUUCAUCUUACAUAUAGAUAUGAGGUAUUUUAUUUAAAUUACGUUCUAUGUGUGCUUAUUAUCUGAAUACUUGUUGUCUAUGUUGGAUGAACGAUUUUAUACAUGUUUUAAAUGAUUUAAACUAUAUAUGUAUUUUAUAUCUACGAUAAUCUUGGGGUAAAACAUUGGUAGAUGUAAUAGAUGGAGUAUGAGUUGGAUGAGGAGUUGAGAGGUGAAAUAGACCGUGAGAUGAGGGUGAGAGGUGGACGAUGUGAGAAGCCUUUUUCCCAAAUGAUGGCCCCGUCACUCAGUAGAGUAUGGAUGACAACCACAUACUAUUCUAGACAGUCCAAUGGAACACUAGCAGGAUCGCAACCUGUAAGUGUUGUGAUCGAUGUGUUCACCCGGUGUACUCUAAACCUUGGUGAUCAUGCAGACUUAAUGCCUAGACCCUGGUGAUCAUCCAGACUUGAUGCCUAAACCUUGGUGAUCAUGCAGACUUGAUGCCUAAACCCUGUCGACUAUGCAGACUUAGUGCUCGUUGUGUAAACCUUGGCAAUGAUGAACUUCGUGCCGAUUCCUUAUGAUGAUCCUUAGGAAUGAGUGAAGGAGAAAUAGUUGAUUCUUAGGGUAGAUCCUUAAGAAUUAAGAAGAUAAUGGGGAUGGCUAAUUAGGUUGAUUUCUUGAUUGUUUAAACAUAAUAAUUAUAUUAUUAUGGGCUGAAAACCCUAUGUACUCACCAGGUUUCCCAACCUGACCCACUGAGUUUAUUUAUAUCACAGGUGUUGUUACGAUGUCACAUUACACUGAGAGAUUAAGGAGAUGUAAAUCACUAAUGAUAAUGAAUGUAAGUUCUAUUUAUGCUUAUGUUUCUAUAUUGACGAUGAUAUCCCAAAUCUUUUAAAAUGAAUAAAAAUACUUUUCUUCGGAAAUGCUUUGAUAACGUAUUUAUCAUGUUUUACUGGGAACAAAUUCCACAACAUAUUUAUUAAAAGUGGUACGUCAAAAAUGAAAGUUGUAGAUCUUGUUUUUAGCUACGCGUGGAAUGAAAGAACGUCAAAAAUGGAGCUCGUAUGCGAAAGUUACGGGGUUUAGAAGUCGGCAGGAUGUUGCUGCAAAAAGGGUGACAUGGCUGAAUAAGGAUCAAGGAUUUCUCCCAAAGGCAAGCUACCAGAGGGUGACACCUGGCAUGGAAUCGACGAGUAGGAGGACCUACUCGACGAGUAGAACUAUUUUCCAGCCUAUAAAUAGAGGUGUCGGGCUCCCUCAUUCUUCACACCUUCCAAACUUCACUUUCUCUCUCUAAACUCUCUCUCUAACCACCCAAACCCCCCAAAAAGCCUAGGAAACCUCCCUAGCACCCGAAGGAAGACCCGAGGCUCCCAGAGUCCCGAGAAAAAAGGUCUUUCGGCUCAGAAAUGCUGCUCCAGCGAAGCCCGGUUUUGCGAAAAACCUGCUGUAAGUGAGCUAUGCCUACCCUAUCUUUAGUAUAGCUUAUGUUUCAAUAUAGUAAUGUUAUUAGGACCUUAUAAGGAGUAUUUGGGCUAUUAUUAUGGGUUAGAUAAGUAUUCUUUCAUACUUAUACAAUAGUAAUAAUAGCUAGAGUAUUAAUUAGUUUCAUCAAACAUUAGACUAAACUCUAGUGGUCAUGAUACUAGGUUUCGUCAAGGGAUAAUUGUUUUAAGAGUAACGAAGUGCUGUCUGAGUGCCGACUCACCACCUUACCAGGUGAGGGCAUAGUUACUUUCAUCUUACACAUAGAUAUGAAGUAUUUUAUAUAAAUUACGUGCUAUGUGUGCUUAUUAUCUGAAUACUUGGUGUCUAUGCUGGAUGAACGAUUUUAUACAUGUUUUAAAUGAUUUAAACUGUAUAUGUAUUUUAUAUCUACGAUAAUGUUGGGGAAAAACAUGGGUAGGUGUAAUAGAUGGAGUAUGAGUUGGAUGAUAAGUUGAGAGGUGAAAUAGACCGUGAGGUGAGGGUGACAGGUGGACGAUAUGAGAAGCCUUUUUCCCAAAUGACGGCCCCAUCAUUCAGCAGAGUAUGCAUGACAACCAUAGACUAUUCUAGACAGUCCAGUGGAACACUAGCAGGCUCGCAACCUGUAAGUGUUGUGAACAAUGUGUUCACCCGGUGUACUCUAGACCUUGGUGAUCAUGCAGACAUGAUGCCUCAACCCUGGUGAUCAUGCAGACUUGAUGCCUAAACCUUGGUGAUCAUGUAGACUUGAUGCCUAAACCUUGGUAAUCAUGGAAACUUGACGCUUAAACCCUGGCGACUAUGCAGACUUAGUGCCCGUUGUGUAAGCCGUGGCAACGAUGGACCUCUUGCCGAUUCCUUAGGAUGAUACUUAGGAAUGCGUGAACAAGAAAUAGCUGAUUCUUAGGGUAGAUCCUUAAUAAGAAAGAAGAUAAUGGGGAUGGCUAAUUGGGUUGAUUGCUUGAUUGUUUAAAUAUAGUAAUUAUAUUAUUGUGGGUUGAAAACCCUAUGUACUCACCAGGUUUCCCAACCUGACUCACUCAGUUUAUUUAAUUCACAUGUGUUGUUACGAUGCCACAUUACACUGAGAGAUUAAGGAGAUCUAAAUCACUAGUGAUAAUGAAUGUAAGUUCUGUUUAUGCUUAUUUUUCUAUAUUGAGAAUGACAUCCCAAAUGGUUUAAAAUGAAUAAAAAUACUUUUCUUCGGAAAUGCUUUGAUAACGUAUUUAUCAUGUUUUACUGGGAACAAAUUCUGCAACAUUUUUAUUAAAAGAGGUACUCUGAUUUUUAUAAAGCAUAAACAAAAUCGUUCUUUUUUGGCCGAGAAAUUGGGGAUUUCACAGUGUGCAAGGCCCAAGUUAGUCCGGAAUUCGCUCCGAUGCAGAGGGUAAGGCCCCAGUUAGUCCGGACUUCGGUCCGAUACAUUGGGCAAGGCCCAAGUUAGUCCGGACUUUGGUCCGAUGAAGGGGGCAAGGCCCUAGUUACUCCGGACCUCGGUCUGAUGCAGUGGGCAAGGCCCAGUCUGUGCUUUAUAUGUUAUUGUAUGGUAUGUGGUAGUUUGGGGGAGCUCACUAAGCUUUGUGCUUACAAUUUUCAGUUUUGGUUUCAGGUACUUGUAGUAGCGGAGGGAGGAGCUCGGGAUGAUCACAUAGCACACACCAUAGUUAGUCAGUCUGGGAUGUUUUACUCUGAUAAUAAGAAUAUGUUUUGAAUUAGCACUUUGAUUUUAUGUUAUGAUUUAUGUUAUGGGUUGACAAUCGGGGUUUAAGUAAUGUUUUUCAAACGAAAUUUUUAGACUGUAUUUUUGGGAUGUUACAACCCUAAAUACCUUGGAUCUAUUUAUUCACUAUUAUACAUGCAAACUUGAAGUUUCCAAGGUAUUACCCUAACUGGCAUACAAAACUUUAAUACAUAGUGAAUAAAACAAGUUAGGAAACAUACCUUUUGUUAUGGCUUAUUACUUGGAGCUUUAAGAGCUUAGCACCAAUAAUGUGAAUGUCUCAAGUGGAAUCACAAAUCACCGCCAACACUUUGGAAACUUGGAAGAGAACUAUGAUGCUCACAAAAAUUAGCCUCUAUAUGUCAACACCCUAGGGGUCCAUUUUCUUGAACCAAAGGGCUUCUUAUAUAGUGUGCACAUUAGGGUUACACCACGUAACUCAUAACUUUCCACAUUCCUCAUGAUCCAUGGGUUUUAACCUCCAUGGAGCAUGCAUAGGUCACCAAAUCGGUUAAUCCCAACAUAAGGAAUCAUUGAUCAUUAGCUCACAUUAUAAGAAUCAAUGAUUUACACAAUUAAUCCCUAUAUAUUUAAUUAGUCUCUUUUGACAAAAAAAUGAAUGAAAUGUGUAAAAGUUAGUAUGAUGGGCAUUUUAUGGUGUACUUUGUAUGGUAUUUGAAAUUAAAUACGGUAUUUGACAAAAAUAAAAAUGGGAAUUUUUAAAAUUUAAAAUUUUUAUUUUUUAAUAAAACGUAAAUAGCGAUAGAGUAGCGACCGAAUUUCCGUCACUAAAUUGGUCUGCAGGUAAGUAGUCAAUCUUGAGUUCCGUCACUAAUUCGUAGUAAUUCUGUAGCUAUACCGUAGGAAAAAGACAAUUUUAGUCAAACUUGAAUCCCGUUGACAAUUUAUAGUAAAUUCGUAGCUAUUCUGUAGGAAAAAAGUCGAACUUGAAUCAUGUUGAUAAUCCAUAGAAAAUCCGUAGCAAUUUAAUUCCGUGGCUAUUAUAGCUACGGAAAAAGCCAUAGCUAAUCUGUAGCUAGUUCGUCGCAAAUCUGUAGCUAUAAUUUUCCCACGGGCAUUUAUGCUACAGAGCAUUUGUCGUAGCAAUUGCGUAGGUAUCACCGUAUAUAUACGCAAUACUUAUGGAUUGUGCCGUAGCUAAAGUCCUAGUUUUCUAGUAGUGUAUGCUUAGUAAUUUCUUAUUAAUUAUCUUUUCUUUUUAUUAUGAUUUACAAUUUUUCAACAUUGUUAAUGCCACUCGAGCGGUGCCUCUUUUUACUUAAUACAAUAUCAACGAUCCAAUUAGAGAUUGAUCAUUUUUGGAAGUUUUUAUCAUUGUAGUCUCGAAUCAUUUUGGUUUUCAAACUUGCGCAAAUGGCACGGGGGCUUCCGCUAGUUUUCUAAUAAAACACCAAUAAUUGGAUCUUUAAACUAUGCUUCUUUUCACAGAUGUGCAUUUUUGGUUCUUAAUGUAUAAUGUUAUAUAUGAGUAUAAUACUUUCAUUUUUUUAUUUUUAAGUUGGUCUGGAGUUUAUCAUGAAUUUUCAUUCCUUUGAAUUUGCAGUUACUAAACUCAGUAAAUUACGAAACCCUUUGUAGAGAGAAUUGUAUGUUUGUAUAUAUGCUAAAUAGUUGUAAUGACUAAUGAAUCAUGCCUCAUUCUCAUGGCUAACUUAUUUGGUUUAGUUAGAAAACUGUAAAUUUAUUGUCAGUCAUUCAAGUACUCAUAGUCAUGUAUUAAGUUUGUGCAUUUCUUCACAAAUCGUUGCUUUUGGCGUUUCUAAGAUUUUACAUGGAAAGACUAUUAUUUCCCAUUACUUUUUAGGAUAUUAUUUAAUCUCUUCAUUUAUACUUUUUUAUUAUUUGUAUGCGUCUACAUAUCAAUGUCAUACACUAAAAAUGCUUAUUUUUUAGUUUACUAAUUGUCCCUGGAGACUCUUACACCCUAUUCUCGAGUGUCACUUAGCGAGGGAAGUGGAGAGAAAGGGAGGGAAUUGGAGUGAAAGAGUAGUUCAUCGUCUUCCCCAGUUUUUUUUUGGGAUAAUUUACGAAAAAAAGAACGGACAUCAGAGGAAAAUCUUCCCUCCUAAUUAAUCUUCCUCCCAAAUUCGAGAGAUUUGGAGAGAAUGAUAAUCGAUGAUAAGGAUAACAACACACGAUUAUAUAAGAUCACAUUAUCAUUAACAACAUACAAAAAAAGAUCGGUCUGCUUCCUGCUGUUUCGACGACUUUGCUGCUUCGACAACCCUGUUGCAUCUUAUUGUUCAAAUCAGUCCAUCAUCCAUCAGGUUCCAUUCUUCCAUUCUUCUCCCUGUAUUUUUUUUUUGUGAAAUCGUGUUCACAAUAUAUAUUACAACCAUUUUUUUUUCUGGUUCAUUAUGAUUAGUUUUUCUUUAUUAUAGUUUAAAGUUGAAUUGAUUCGUUAGGUUACCUGUGAUUAUAGGUUUAGAACAUCAUUAUAUAGAAGUAAAUAUGAAUGUUAAUUAUACGAAAGUAAAUAUGAAGUUAAAUAGGAGGUGUUUAUGUCAACAACAUUCUGUGAUUGUUCAUUUCAAUAGCAAAUACAUGCAUAAACUAUCGGUCAAUGCAUAAAUUGUGAGUCAAUGCAAUUCUCAAAAUUACAUUCAAAGAAAGAUGGAAAUCAGUAAACCCAUUAAUCGUAAAGAGAAGCUUUCUUGUAUGUACAUCACUUACCACAGGAAGGAAAAAAAAGUCUUGUUUUGUGUACCACAAUACCAAGAAUUUGUUUGAGGAGGUUGUAAAGGUAAUUGAUUAUGUUGAAGAGUAGACAUCUAAUUUACAUAAUCAAAAUUAAGCAUAAGUUAUUUUAUAAUAUUUCAAGAUCUUUCCUGCUGAACUAUUUUGUCCUUGCUUUUAUUUUGGGUGUGUGGAUGUUUUUUCUGCUGUUAGGAUGCCCUCUUUAUAAUCCUUCACAUUUUGUACAUAAAAUAGGUCACAUUGAUUUCAAUGGAUAAUGACCUUCCUUUACCCACUCAUAUUCUUAAAUCAAGACAAAUGCAAGUUCUGCAUCUAAUUUGCUUGUUGAUGGCUAUUUUGGCACAACGCAAAAUUACCAUCAACAAUGGUCCUAAUUUACCUACUAGAGAAACUCUUUUAAAAUGUCGACGUGUAUGUGAAGAGUUGUUACAUAACCUUUCAAAUGGUGGUCAAUGUAGUGAGCUUAUCCGUAUGAGUGUGCAAGCUUUUAAGAAGCUAUGUGUUAUCUUACGGCGUGAUGGUGGUCUUCGACCUACUCAACGGAUGUUUGUUAAAGAGCAAGUUGCAAGAUUUUUGCACAUUGUUGGUAAUGAUUUGAGAAAUACAUUUGUCUCUUGGAUAUAUCGACGCUUGAAAUCCACAACGAGUAGGUGCUUCGAUAGAGUUUUGCGCUCGGUUAUAGCAUUAGAAAGUCUUUAUAUUCAACAACCACAAGGUGAUGUUGUCUCCAAAGAAAUUCAAGACAAAAGGAGAUUCUUUCCUUACUUCAAGAACUAUGUAGGGGCAAUUGGUGGUACACAUGUUCGUGUCAAAGUACCUAAUAGACAUGCCCUAGAUACCGUGGCUGCAAGGGUUGCCCAACAAUAAAUGUGUUAGCUGCUUGUUCAUUUGAUUUAUAGUUUACGUAUGUUUUAACCGGUUGGGAGGGUACUGCAUCAGAUUGAAGGAUACUGAUGAAUGCCCUCAAUAGAGAUGAUAAACUAGUAAUUCCAAAUGGUAACUUCUAGUACCAACUUUUUAUUUUAUUUGUUUAAACUAUUAUUAAAAAACUAAUUACAAUUUAGUUAUAGGUCACUAUUCUUUAGUAGACGCAGGUUUGCCUCACUUAACUAUAUUAAUGGCGCCAUAUAGAGGUGUUAGGUAUCAUUUAAAAGAAUAUUCCACUAGGGCACCACAAAAUGCUAGAGAGUUCUUCAAUCUUCGUCACACAUCAUUACAUAAUGCUAUAGAAAGGGCAUUUGGUGUUCUAAAAAGAAAGUUCCCUAUCAUUAGAAAUACACAGGAACCUUUUUAUUCUUGUGAAACACAAUCAGACAUUUUUUUUGGUGUGUUGUAUUUCUCAUAAGUUUUUGAUAGUUGGAGAUCGUGACAAAGAUCUUGAAGAUGAGGUAUUACAGGAGGUGUUAAGUACACCAACAGAGGAAGUGAGACAUAAUUCAAGUGGUAGGCGUGAGGGUAACAGCAUGGCUGAGCUAGUGAGGAACUCAAUUGCAAAUCAAAUGUGGACUAAUUACUUAUUGAAUCCGAACAAUGAAAUAAAUAUGUCAAUAUAGUUUAAGAGUAUUUCGUUAUAUUAUGUCAUUUGCAAUUUGGUUUUUUAUUGAACAUUGUUUUGUGAAUUUAUUGAAUUGUGUUAUUUAAUUUUUUUAAUGUUAUUUUUUAUAACUUGUACACUUUAUAACCAUGUUCUUUUUAUAAUAAUGUAAACCGAUAAUGAACAAGCAAGAACCUUUUGUAAAUACCGGUAAGAAGUCACUCUUGAACUGGAUAGAACAUAUGGAUGUUGCAUUUGUUGAUGCAAUGGUACAACAACAAGAAAAAGGAAAUAGGCUUCAUGGAAAUUUUACUUCACAAGCAUAUGCGAAUAUGGUUGAGGAGCUCAAUAAGAAACUUAACAUGAAUUUAACUAAAAGUCAUCUAAAAAAUCAUUUGAAAACUUUGAAAUCUGGUUUUUCACAAUGGUAUGACAUGUUCAAUGGGAUUUCCUUGAGUAGGUUCAGUUGGAAUGCUGAUACCCAACUAAUUGAAGCAGAUGACACUACUAGAAAAACAGCCUUUAAUGACGCGCAAACAAUGACACGCGGUGAUUUACGAUACGCAAAAGCGCGCGCUCUAAAAAUAAUGUCAUCUCUUCAAACUUUUGAAGGAUAGAGGUCACGCUUUUGUGCGUGCCCUAAAAUUAAUGUCCAAGAAAAAAAAUUAAAAACACGGAGGGCACUUAAUUAAAAAUGGGCGUCGUCUAGAAAUGUCGCUUUAUAUUUUUUAAAUGAAAGGCGCGUUCUAUUUUUUUGCAGCUGGGGGGAAAGAAAAUCCCAAAAGUUUGAAAUGCCGCCAUUGUUAUCCUCUAUCUUAUUUCCAUCUUUCUUCUCUCUCUCUCUCUCUCACUCACUCUCUCUCUUUCUCUAUCUCUCUUACUCUAAUACCCAAAAAAAACCCUAAUAUCAUCACAAAUCCUCUUUUCUCCCACAACAAAAUCGCAAUAUCACCAAAUCUUUGAUCCCGCAAGUAAUCUGAGUUCACCUUUCAAUUUCAUUUGUCUCGCAAGUAAUCUGAGUUCACCGGUGGCGUUCCUGACUGUAUCAAUGGAAGCGCUGCUCAAGUCGCUGACCAAUUUCUUCACCUGCGUUUCGAGUUCCGUGAGAUCAGUUCUCGCUUCAGUAGCAGAAGAAACAACUCUCGGCCCAAAAGAUGAUCUCCGCCAUAUUUGGUUUCGUGCUCUGUUUCCAAAUCGAGGUGAAACUGCAUGCUGGGAAGCAGCAAUGGCAGCCUGAGGCUCUAUGUCUCUAUCUCCAGUGGCGAUACAAUGAUGCACGAGUUUAAGAAAUCGGAGGAGGGAUUGAGAGAAUUUGUCGCUUCCUCUGGUUUCUCUUUUGAUUCUGGUAAUGUUUAUAUUCGGUUUCUCUUUCUUCAAAAUUCUUUUUCACAUAUUUCUUCCCAUAUGAGUUUAUGAUUUCAGAUUUUUUCCAUAUGAUUUUGAUCUUAGUUUGUGAUUUAGAAUUCUCAAUCUUCGGUUUCUCCUUUAUCCACCAGUUCAUGUGCCCGAUUGGGUUAAUAGUUAUGCUAGAAUUUGAUCAAUUUCUUUGAAAUUUAGGGUGAAUUAGGUUAGGGCAUGAAUAGGAAACACUAUAAAUGGUUUGACUAAGUCGACGUCUUCUUCUCCUGUAUCAACUUGACACCUCAACUCUUCUUUUGCACUGAUCUGCAAUCUAUACUAGGUUUGAUUUUUUUUAUUUACAGGUUUUGUUAGUAGACCAUGUCUAUUGUUACUCAAAUUAAACAUGUUGUAUUUUUUUUAUUACAGGAUGUGGUUUGACAAAUGGUUGUUGAAGGAGCACAUAAGUUCAGAGCCACACAACCUCAACUUGGUUUUUUGUUCUUCUUUCUUCUUUAGCUCCUGAGGCUUGAUUUCAUUGAAGGUUUGUGCUCUACAUUCUAAGAAUGCUCUUGCAUGGAUUGAUCUUUGUCAUUUAAGUUUCAAUAGUAUCAUGCCUUGAAUUCUUCCUUAAUGUGUUUUUGACUAUGUAGGUUUGUUGGGUGCCAAAUAGCAUGGUCCAAGCAUCAUCUCGAUGACUGUUUUCCUGAUCUUCCUUCACAUCUUAUGAUCAUUUUUCCUUUUUAACAUUAUUAGUAUUUUGUAUUUCUAUCAUGAUGAAGAACUUUUUGUCUUGUUCUUUUCCCACUCAACUUUUUAUUUCAACUAGUUCUAAUUUUUUUUUUUUUUUUUUUUAUUCAGGCUGGAUUUUUUCAAGUACCUGAUUCUGAUAGGCUAGGUUCUUUCUUAGGCUGGAUUUAUUCAGGCUGGAUUUGUUCAAGUACCUGGCCAUAUAUAUUCUAGCAAAGUCGGUAUGCAUUAUUUAAGCCAAAUAAUUAUGUUUGGAAGAAGAUCCCAGCGUGCAUUUUAAUGCCAUGGUGAAGCUGAUUUUAAAAUAAUAUUAAAAUUUUCUUUUACUUUCUUUAUUCUAGUUAUUUAUUUUUGAUUAUGAAUUUGGAUGUGAUUACAGGGUGAGGCAUUAGUAAUAACUAAAAUGAACCAAGGAAAAAGCUAAACAACCUGAAAUAGGGAUCCAGCCAUGAACCAGACAGUGUCAAGCUCAUUAUACUCUUUUCUGAUGCCUUCUGCUCUUUCAACAACUUCAGCCUGAUAGGAGGGAUGUAUGUGUAAUGUGUUUGUUAUAUUCAACAACACAGGGGUGUCUAUUCUUAAAUUCAAAACUUAGGAUAGGAACAUAUAUAUACCUUUAUUGGACUUCCUGUAGAUAAUUGAGCUCAGAUUCAGACCAUAAGAGUGGUAAUUCAACAGCUAGCUGUCCCUUUCCACAUUGACGAUCAAGCUCUUUUAUAUAUGGGUACCAGAAAGAUUUUCUUACAGGAAGCAGGGGGUCUUUCAUAUCAACAUGAAAAGUACCAUGUUCCAAUCAUCCAUACAGAUAUAAGAACUAGCAACAUUCUACUUGAUAGAGAAUUGCAGCAAAAAAUAGCAAAUUUUGGGCUUAUAAGACUGCUACCAGAAGAUACGACUCAUCUUAGCACAAAAUUCUCAGGGACUUUGUAUGUUUAAAAGUACAUAUAACUUAACUACUAAUUCAAUUUGAUUAAAGUAAAUUUUCAAUAACCAAUGUUAAAUCUUUGCAGGAAUAGUGGUUAUGUAGCACCUGAACAUUUUUGCCAUUAUUUGUAGGACUAUAGCUGUUCACUUCACCAACCCAUUCCAUGUCAGCACACGUGUAGCAGAUAAAUGCAGUGAUGGCACCUUGCUUUUGCAGGUAUAUUGAUCUCAAGUCUUGUUAGGGUUAAAUGCAAAAAAAAAAAAAAAAUAAUUAUUUACUCACAUUCCCAGGUGAUACUCCACUCACAAGUGAAGGCUAACUUAACCAUACACGAUUCUUGGCUGGACCUAAAAGACGGUUUUACCCUUGCUGGUGAAAGUCAAAGUAAUGGAAGACCAACAUCCGCCUUCUUUCCACUUGUAGUUCCUUCUACAUCAAGAGCCGGAAUCUUGUUCACUAUAUCCCUACCCACAAAUGGCAAGCAUUAUUUUAUUUCUCAUUUUAUCACUCAUCUUUAGAAAAAAUAAUCAAUCUCUCUUUUUUUUUUUUACAGAUGAAGCGAAAGAUAUGAAUCCUGAUAGUGAUACGAUAUUAAAUAUAAAAUAUAAAAUAUCUGGGGAUAGAAAUCAUGGAUCGCAUACUCCUAUGUUUGAGGAUGAGUCUUCACAGAUGUUGACUUUUAAGAGUGCUCUUGUUUUACAAAGACCAGUGUUGGAACCUUGUUUGGCAGUUGGUUUUCUUCCCCUUCCUCCAGAAGGCCUUAGAGUCGGCCAGCUUUUUACUAUGAAGUGGCGAGUUGAAAGGUUGAAGUAUCUCGAGGACGAACAAUACGUAAGUUUCUAAAAUUUUUACUUUUUUUUUUGGCAAUAAAAAAGUAAAAAUGACUUAAAUGUUAAAUCAUAUAUUUGAUUUGCGAACAGGAUGAGGUAGUAUAUGAAAUAAACGCAAAUUCUGAAAACUGGAUGAUUGCUGGGAGGAAGCGAGGCCAUGCACCUCUCUCCACAAAGCAAGGUACUACUAACCUUUUAUAAUCCAAAUCCUCUUUCAAUAUCUCAACAUUUAAUAAAUUAAUAAAUUUUAUAUCUUGAUUUCGAAACCUUGUUGUCUAAAAAUAAACUUAAUGUAUACAGGUUCACGAAUAGAGAUUUCAAUCCUAUGCGUGCCAUUGGUUGCUGGGUACAUGCGGCCCCCACAACUGGAGUUACCGGACAUUGGUGAGGGUAAUAUUAGUUGCAACCCAGCUGGGCCCCACUUGGUCUGUGUUUCCCCUCCACCUCUCAGCUCCUCCUUCUGUAUUCCCAUUCCCAUUCCUGCCUAGACAUGAAAUCGUGACUUUUGUAGGUGCUUUAGUGUGGUGGUCCUAGAAAUCAUUAGUGGAAAGAGAUACAAGGAUGUUGACUACCAAUUAGUCACUCAAAAUCUCCUUGAUCAUGUAAGUAUCUCAUAAUUAAGGGUUGGUUCAUUCAACCCGUUCUUUUCAUUUAUGGUUUUAAUGAUGAAGGUAUCUCAAACACUCAAUGAUUUAUUUUGUAUUCAGUGAGACCUUAAGCUUAGGUGAGAAGUUCUUACUAGCCUUUCUGUUGUUAUGUGUAUGAUAGGCACGGGAUCUACAUGAGAGUGGAGCGCAUCUGAAUUUAAUGGAUGAGAAACUAGAUCCUAGUGAAUAUGCAGUAGAACAUGUUAUGGAGAUCAUCAAGAUAGCAUUGACUCAACCACCAUCAACUAGACCUACAACUUCUGAAGUGGUUAUAUGCUUUUAAGUGAAAAAUCUCUUCACUUAUGGAUGUAUGUAUGUAUGUAGGUAUGUAUGUAUGUAUGUAUGUAUGUAUGAUUUUUAUUAAUACCUUAUGUAUAUAUAUAUGUAGGAAUGGGAAGGAUUAAUUGAAUUGAUGGGAACUGAAUCAAGAGCUGUAGGGGGUCUUGAAUUUUUACACAAGUAAGUUAUGGUUUGCUUUUUUUUUGUUUAUAAGAAAGGGGCUAGGGGUAAAAUUGUCAUUUUACUAACGGUGCGAGUAAGAGGGACCAAAAUCACAACAAAGUGAAACAACAAGGACUAGAAGGUCAACUAAAGUCUUGCCUUUUGAAGGAUCAAAGUCUUCAGUUGAACCAACUACAAUUGUUAGUCCCUAAAUAUAGAUUUCUUUUUUCUUUUCGUCCCUACAGUUUCCUUUUUGCAUAUUUGGCCUCUUCUCCAACGAAAAUGACUAUUUUUGGGUCCAAAGUGGAAAAAAUCAGCUAUACUCAAGGACCAAAACCUUUACAAGAACCUCAAAAAUAAGGACCAAAAUUGAAACACAACUUUUCAUUACAAGGGUAAACAUGUCAUUUUCUAAUCCAAACUUUUUUCCUUUAUGUAAAUAUAAAAAUAUAUAUUUUGCCCUCCCUGAAACAAACCUCAACAAGAUGAAGAUUGGAAGCACGGUUGAGGACAAAAGCAAACUCACAAUUGUAUUGUCUCAUAGUUUUCUCAAAAGCUUCUUUAAUGCUCACAACCUGCAUGUUAAUCAAUUUUUAUAGCAUGCUCACAACGUAUCUAGAAGUUUUGGAGGAAACGAGACACAAGCAAAAAUAAAUAAGCAUGCUUAUUUAUUUAAUUUACAAUUUACAAUACAAUUGAUAGAUAUAUGAAUCCAUAUGUUACUUAAUUUUGUUCUUUUUUAUUUUUAAUAUGUGCAGCAUAGGGAGACAUCAAUGUCCUUCAAAACUAUAGAUGAUGUCCAAGUCUUACUCUAUGCAGUAAGUAUUAAAGAAAUAGCAAUGCACUUUCAUUCAUUUGUUUCAUAUUUUUUUCACAUUUCUCUAAUGAUAUUUUUCCUUGAGUCAUAGAAUGAUUGGCUCAUAUCUUGUUUUUUGAUAUUUAUACGCAGUUUUUUUCUUACGUCGGUGGUGGCGAAGUUCAAGAUUAAGGGAGACUUGUAAUCAUGUUUGGCUUUCCUUUCCAGUAAGAAACAGAGUUGUAUGAUUAUUUGUUAGUUUUAUAGGAAUGUAUAACACAUGUUAGCAAUGUAUUAUUUUUGUUUAACAUUUGAAUGAUUUUUUGUAUGACAUUAUAAUUUGUGCAAUUUAUUUUAUAUUAUGCAAUGGAUUGUAUUUUUUGUAUAUGGUAUUUUAUUUCUGUUAUAAGAAAUUAAAUGAAAAUUUAAUUUAAAAAUUAAUAAAUAUAUAAAUUUUUUUUUUAACAUUUAAAUUUACGAUACGCAAAAAUGUAUGUCAUCUUCAUUUAUGACAUGGCCUUUCUUGACAGGGGCUUUCUUGAUACGCAUUGCGUGUCAUUAACACGCGCGUCGUAAAGUUACGACACGCGAAUGCGUGUCGUCUUCCUUUAUGACAGGGCCUUCCUUGAUACGCAUUGCGUGUCGUAACCGCGCGUCGUAAAUGCGCGUCGUCUAUAGACGACGCGCAAAAGCGCGUCGUCUCUCUUUAUGACAGGGCCUUCCUUGACACGCAUUUGCGCGUCGUCUGAGCGUUUUACGACGCGCAAUGAGCGUCAUAAAAGGCCUUUUUUCUAGUAGUGUGAGCAGGUUUGGGAUAACUUAAUUAAGGUUAGUGUUCAUCUAAGGUUGUAUUUAGUUUACUUUUAUAUUAUGUUAUUAAUAAUAAUUUUAAUUUAUUUUGGGUUUUUAAACAGUCAAAGCCCGAAGCAGUUAUACUGAAGCAAAAAAAAGGUGGCCCACUUUGAACAAAUGUUGGUAUUUUGCAAGAGAUAGAGCUUCUGGAGAAAAUGCUGAAACAGCAAAGGAGAGAAAUGCUAGGUUUAACAAGAUUACGAACAUCAAAAUAGAAAGUAUUUCAGAGGUUGAUGAUUUAUUAGCAAGUAAUGAUGUUACACUGGAGAACCAACGUAUAGAUGAUGAUGAUGAAGAUGGCAUUCAAGUGGUAUCUCCUACACCUGAACAAAAUUCAAGUGCGAAAAAGUCAAAACCUAAAAAAAGAAAACUCAUAGAUGAAGAAGAAAAGGAAGUUGAACCUCAGCCUUAACCUGAACUUGAAACAAUUGAAACAAAGAUUAUGAAAUAUUGUUGGUGAUGUGGCUAAUGCAAUGAUGGAAGGUAACAAAAUCUUUGAAAGAGCUUACCAUCAUGAGUUAACCGAUGAUGAAAUUUAUCAAGAAUUUCAGCCGAUGGAAUUGGAACCCCAUGAAAUACCAGGUGCUCUCAUAUAUUUUGGUCGUAACCAAGUAGAUGCGAGAACGUUGUGUAGCACUUUGUUCCUGGUACGUAAAAAAUUUAUCUAUGUAUUUUGCAUUUUGGCCUUGGACUCGGCGAGUUGUAGGCCCGACUCGCUGAGUAGAGACGGGUUUGGGAGGACGCUUAAGUUGGCGACUCGGCGAGUCCACAUUCUGAACUCGGCGAGUCCCCGCUAUCUGAUGAAACCGUAAAUUUCAAGGAUUUGCACCCUAUUUAAACUAACGUUAUGUGCCCCAACCUCGCUCCCUUCACCCUCAGAGCUCCCAACAUCGUCCAAACCCUUAUUCCUUGAGAGAUUGAAGUGUUUUCGUGUGUUUGUUGAAGAUUUUGAGAGAAAAGAAGAGUAGAUCAAGAAGAGAAGAAGGAGGCCAGACAUCUUGGUGUUAUUUCAAGUGAUUCUCUUAAGGUAUAACUCAGUUUCCCUCUGUUUUCGUGCUUGUAGACCUUUAUAGCUCCAUUAAAGUCCUUCUUGAUCCAUUUCCAAGCUUGAUUAUGAAUUAGGGUUUGUAAUAAGUUGAUUAACCCUUAAAUCUAGGCAUGAUUGAGCUCCAGGAGCUCAGAUCUACUGCCUUUAUGGAGCCAUAUUGCAUGAAAGCCCUAGAUCUACUCUUUUAGUGCAUUUUGAGCCCUAAAACCUUCAUUGGUGUUUAUUUACACGUAAAGUUGGAAACUUUAUGUGUUAACUAGGCCCUAGAAACCCAGAUCUAUGUAUGGCAUGAGCUGGAUCCAAGCAAAAUAGAAUAUUUAGUGUUUGCAUGUGAUAGACUCGGUGAGUCGUUCAUCAGACUCGGCGAGUCGAGUCGCGAGUCCCAGAGUUUCCCCUUUUUGUGUUUGCGGAGUGGAGUAGUGAGUCAUGGGGAGUGACUCAGUGAGUCGGAAGCCAAACUCACCCAUAAAGGAACUCGGCGAGUCAAUGCCCUGACUCAGCGAGUCCAAGGCAAUCUUCUUGCCUCAAGAAAAGACUCGGCGAGUUGUUCAUGCAACUCGGCGAGUCUCAGCAUAGCAUGUUCUUCGGAUGAAGAUGAACUCGGCGAGUUGUUCAUACAACUCGGCGAGUAGGAUGAAGGACUUUUGGACCUUGGAUUAAAAGGAAAACUCGUCGAGUCAACGCCUAACUCGACGAGUAGAGACGGGGUUAUGGUCAGAUAACAGGAUAGGGACUCAACGAGUUGGCAGGCCAACUCGACGAGUCGGGUCAACUGGAAGUUGACUUUGACUUUGACUUUGACUCUUGGCUCGGUCAGGGAUAAAUGGUCAUUUUACCCUGAGGUCGGUUAGCAGUAUUUGACUGGGUGUUUUUUGGGGAUUUUAGCUGGAGGACUUCCGGGACAGCAGAAGCAGAAGACAGUCAAUUCCCACGCAGAUCAGCAGCUACUUUGAGGCGAGUUACCUUCCAGUAGCGGUGGGUCUACGGCCACAAUGCCGGCCCACCAGUAGGAGUUGUAUGUUAGAUGAUUGUCUUUGUGAUAUCAUCUAGGUUGCUACUACCUGGUAUGUUAUAUGCUGGCAUGAUAAUGUAUAUGUGGUAGUAGUAGAGUUCGGUUGUUAGGACCGAAGGGUAGGUCGGACACCCCAGAUAUGUCUGAUAGUAUGUGAUGAUAUGUUUAUAUGCUAGCAUGAUAUGUUAUAUGUGAUAAUGGUAGUUGGAGGGGAAUAGUCCCGAAGCCCGGUCGUUAGGACUGAAGGGUAGAUCGGACGCCCCAGAUAUGUCUGAUAAUAUGUUAUGUUAUGAUAUAUGUGAUAGUAGCAGUAGGAGUGAAAUAGUCCCCGAGGAUCGGUUAUUAGGACCGAUGGGUAGUCAGCACCUCAGAAUGGCUUGACAUGUGUAGUCAGCACCCCAGAACGGCUUGACACGUGUAGGUCGGCACCCAGAAUGGCCGUAUCGGGUAGGUCGGGCACCCGAGAAUUGCCCGACAGAGUGUAUAGUAUGUGAUUGUAUGGUAUGUGGUAAGAUGGGGGAACUCACUAAGAUUCAUGCUUACAGUUUUCAGUUUUCAUUUUAGGUACCUCUUCUUCGAAGGGGAAGGAGCCGGCACGGUAGCGGUACCUCAGACAUACGCUUUGUAUUCCGCACUAUGGGAUCCUCCUGGGGUUUUGUACUCUGACAGCAUUAUGUUUUAUAAAAUGGUUUCCAGACAAGCAACAUCUUUUAUGAAAUGAUAUGAUCCGUGAAUGUUUUAUUUCUAAUGUUUUGCAAAUUGUAUGUUUUAAAAAUGAAAUUUUUGGCUCCUAUUUUUGGGAUGUUACAAGUUGGUAUCAGAGCCCUGGUUUGAGGGAUUCAGACACGCCUAAGGGGGUUUCUGAACUCAAAUCAAUGGAUUUAAAAGAUUUUAAAGAAGAAAAUAUUUUUCCGAAAAGCUAAGUAAAGAGUUUUAAGAAGAAGCGAAGUGUGUGAUGUGCGCGACCGGCCGAGCUCAAGUAAAUGUUCCUCAAAGUACCCAUACCAACUUAUGUUAUGUUUAUCAGUUUCAGUAUAACAACAUGCUAGAAUAGGACUAAGGAUCUAGGAGUGAUGACUUAUGUUCCUGCCUUAUGUGCUUCGGUGUAUGAAAAUUGCAUGCUAGAAUUGAGUAGACAGCAGUAGGAUAGCCUGUUAGGGUUAUGCCUGAUAGUAUGAGUUUAGCAUUGUAUGCUAGUACAACUUUCCUCUUUGAGGACGGAUUUGCCUGAGAUUGUUUCCUUGUGUCUGAAUGCUGCUUGCUUUGUGCUACGUGGGGACUCUGAGUGAUGGGAGUUAGACAUUAGAUGCAUAUGUCACGUCACAUGUGAUCAGGGUUGAAUAAUCUUAGAGUGAUGGAUUUGGCCUUACUGUGCGGCUUUUGUUUGAGUCUAACCGUGUAGAGCCGAGUCUGUUACUCGAAGGAUUAUCUGAGCCUCACCACAUGUGAUGGUAUUCAGGUAAUGACUAAUUGGCAUUACAAGGAGGCCUUCAGCAGCUGAGGACCGGGUAGGGUGGAGUUAGAGAUUUCCUGGGGCAAGCCUAGGAUGAGUAUAGCAGUGAUCAGCGGUAGUGAAAGGGACCUGGUGGAGUCAAGGCAGUCCUUGGAAAAGGUACAGAUAUAUGUGGAAGGUAGUAUGGGCCCAUACUACUGAAAGAAGAGGAUCCGUAUCCGAACUAAGGAAGGCCAGGAUAAGACCAGGGAACUUGUGGUAAGUGUGAUCCCUCCAGAGGUGUCAGUAUCGCUAACAAUUAUUAUUUUUGUAUUUCAGAAUGGUGGUACUACACUCGAGGCCAACAGUUGGCAGUUCAGGUGAGGGAUCGGGUUUGGGAUCAGGUUCCGAGCCAGUAGAUGAGGGGCUACGGGAGUUCAUCACGUCAGAGAUCACCUGAGGCAUCCUUGAGUCGACCCCCAUUAUCUUCGGGUCGAUCAAGGAAGGGAUAUUGGAGUUGAUGGAGGGUCGCCUCAGGGCAUUCAGGAGCGACAUGGCAUCUGGCCAGUCGGGAUCUCGCACACUGUCCUCAAGGACUUCCGGGGCAAUGGUGCGCCGGAUUUUGACGGGGCGAAGGACCCCAUAGCUGCCAGACGAUGGAUUGCAGACAUUGAGUCUGCACAGAUGAUUAGCUUCUGCCCUGAGGGGUCGAAGGUGAGGUUUGUAGCAGGGUGUUUACUAGAUCGAGCUAGGGAUUGUUGGGAGUCCAUGGGUGACUCGUUGGGAGCCUCGGCUGUCGAGGCUAUGACUUGGUUGGACUUCGCGACCAGGUUCAGGGCAGAGUUUGCACCGACUGUCGAGCUUCAGUAGCUGGCCAGGGAGUUCUUGGAUAUGAGACAGACGACGGAUACUGUGGCGGAGAUCACCGCCAAGUUCCGGGAGAGGGCGUUGCUAUUGCCCCAGUACGCGGGUGAUGAGGAUAUGACGAGGACCCGCUAUCAUGACAUGCUACGAGCUGAUAUUCGGGAGCAUGUGAGUUUUUCAGCUUUCCCUUCCCUGGACUCUAUGAUUGCCAGGGCAAGGGAGAGGGAGAUAGAUCUGGAGCACAUCCGGAAGAUGAAGACAGAGGAGGCUCAGACAGGAAGGGCUUCGGGGAAGAAGCCCAAGGGACCAGAUGGUAGGCCGAAAGGCCUGUGAGGACCGAGCCGCUACAAGAAAUACGGNACGUAGGCUGGGAUCGUCGGGAUGCUAUAAGUGCGGCAAGACGGGGCACUUCAGCAAGGAUUGUACCGCCCCUGCACCUGUGAUUCAGACAUCGGAGUUGCUGUGUUUCCACUGCAACCAGAGGGGCCACAAGAAGGCCAAUUUCCCUCAGUUGACAGCAUCAGCGCCGGCUAAGGCGCCAACUCUAGCUACCCUUCGGAUUACAGACGGCCGGCAGGUCAAGGCAAAUGCUCCAGUGGUGAGGAGCCGGGCAUUUCAGCUGACUACCGAGGAGGCUCACGCCGCACCCAAUGGAGAUGAACGAGUUGAUGAUGCAACUUCAAGAGUUAUUGGACAAGGGUUUCAUUAGACCUAGUUCAUCACCCUGGGGAGCUCCGGUGUUAUUUGUAAAGAAGAAAGAUGGAAACAUGAGGAUGUGCAUUGAUUACCGAGAGCUGAAUAAGGCAACAAUAAAGAAUAGAUAUCCGUUGCCGAGGAUUGAUGACCUGUUCGAUCAACUACAAGGUUCAAGUUAUUUUUCAAAGAUCGACCUAAGGUCUGGAUAUCAUCAGCAUAAAGUAAGAGAGUAGGAUAUAGAGAAGAUUGCAUUCAGAACACGAUAUGGACACUACGAGUUUUUAGUUAUGUCGUUUGGACUAACCAAUGCUCCUGCAGCAUUCAUGGAUUUAAUGAACAGGUUUUGUAAUCCGUUCCUAGAUAAAUCUGUGAUAGUGUUCAUAGAUGACAUUCUGAUUUAUACGAAAAGCCAAGAGGAGCAUGGCAGAAACUUGCGAGAAGUGUUGGAAGUCUUGAAGAAUGAGAAGCUGUACGCAAAGUUCUCCAAAUGUGAUUUUUGGAUUCGUGAAGUCCAAUUCUUGGGUCACGUGGUCAACCAGGAAGGGAUAAUGGUUGAUCCAGUGAAGAUUGAAGCUAUGAUGAAGUGGGAACAACCGAAAAGCCCCACGGAGAUCCGAAGCUUUUUAGGAUUAGCCGGAUAUUACCGAAGGUUUAUCCAAGGCUUUUCUUCGAUCGCUACUCCAUUAACAGCUUUGACCCACAAAGGAGCUACUUAUGCUUGGAAUGAUAAGCAUAAAGAAGCAUUCGAGAAGCUAAAGAAGAAACUAUGCGAGGCACCGAUACUUUCUCUACCCGAUGGAGUUGAAGACUUCGCUGUUUAUAGCGAUGCGUCUGGGGUUGGAUUGGGUUGUGUUUUGACCCAAAGAGAAAAGGUGAUAGCAUAUGCGUCUCGACAGCUGAAAGAGCAUGAAAAGAACUACCCGACUCAUGAUUUGGAGUUGGCAGCGGUGGUUUUCGCUCAGAAAAUAUGGAGGCAUUACCUCUAUGGCACGAAGUGCAAACUUUUCACUGAUCAUAAGAGUCUCCAAUACCUCUUUAAUCAGAAAGAAUUGAAUAUGAGGCAACGACGCUGGCUAGAAUUACUUAAAGACUAUGACUGCGAGAUACUUUACCACCCCGGUAAAGCUAAUGUUGUUGCUGAUGCUCUCAGUCGGAAAGUCAAUCCCGAAAGGAAAAGGCCAAGAGCGUUGAGAAUUGAAGUUGUCUCAACUAUUUUGGAAAGUAUAAAGAAAGCUCAGAGCGAAGCUUCUGAGAAGAAUGACAGAAAGGAGGAACGUUUGGGCAAAACGUUGGUGUUCGGUGUAAACAGUCAUGGACUGAAGGUGUUCCAAGAUCGGAUUUGGAUACCUAAGACAGGAGGAGUCAGAGAUCUUCUGAUGGAAGAAGCUCACAAGACCAUGUACUCGAUUCAUCCGGGUAGCACUAAAAUGUAUAGGGACCUGAAACCCUACUACUGGUGGCCGACGAUGAAGCUUGAUGUUGCAAAGUAUGUGGCCGAGUGUGUGACUUGUGCGAGAGUCAAGACACAACAUCAGAAACCGUACGGGAGUUUAGAACCAUUGCCUGUGCCUAUGGGUAAGUGGGAAGACAUUGCUAUGGAUUUUGUCACUAAACUGCCCAGAACAAAGAAUGGUCACGACAUGAUUUGGGUGGUCGUUGAUCGAUUCACUAAGAGUGCGCAUUUCAUAGCAGCCAAGGAGAAAUGGUCUAUGGAAAAGCUUGCGAAUUCUUACGUGAAGGAAAUUGUGAGGCUUCACGGUGUUCCGUUAACGAUUGUGUCGGAUCGUGAUAGCCGUUUCACAUCGAGGUUUUGGAAAAGUCUACAAGAGGAAUUGGGUACCAAGUUGUGUUUAAGUACAGCUUACCAUCCGCAGACUGAUGGUCAGAGUGAAAGAACGAUACAAACACUUGAAGAUAUGCUGAGAGCAUGUACCCUGGAAUUCCUAGGUAAUUGGGAUGAACAUUUACCUUUGGUAGAAUUUUCCUACAAUAAUAGUUUCCACUCGAGCAUUAAGAUGGCACCUUAUCAAGCUUUGUAUGGACAGAAGUGUCGUACGCCGUCUUGUUGGCUUGAGGCUGGGGAAAAGCAGUUUAUGGGACCGGAGAUGGUUCAUCAAACUGCUGAAAAGUUGAAAAUAAUUAGGGAAAGAAUGUUAGCAGCUCAGGAUCGUCAAAAGAGCUAUGCUGACAAGAAGCGAAGACCGAUGACUUUUGAAGUUGGAGAUUCGGUUUUGCUUAAAGUCUCGCCGUGGAAGGGACUUAUAAGAUUUGGAAAAAGGGGAAAAUUAAGUCCAAGGUUUAUUGGACCAUUUAAAGUUCUUCAGAGGAUUGGGAACAAAGCUUACAAGCUCGAACUACCAGAAGAACUGAAUGGAAUUCAUAACACUUUCCAUUUGUGUUAUUUGAGGAAGUUCACGGGAGAAGUUCCCGACAUGAUUCCACUUUCAGAGCUGAGAAUCGAUGAGAACAAAAGGUUGAUUGAAGAACCAGAGGCAAUUGUUGACCGAAAGACUAAAAAGUUGCGACGCAAGAUGGUCGAGUUAGUGCUUGUCCGAUGGAAGCACACGAAUGGGCCAAAUCUCACCUGGGAGACGGAAAGUGACAUGAUGGGUCGCUAUCCGCAUUUGUUUGUUGAUGUGUGAUUCCAUGGACGGAAUCAUUCUAAGGUGGAGAGAAUUGUAACGCCUGUGUUUUUGGGUUUGUCAUUAAUGUUGAUAUAAUAGUAUAGGUUAACCUUUGUAACCCGUUUUGAAAUAAUAAGAAUGUAUUAUUUGAGUAUUAUGUGUUUCGUGCUUAAUUGCUUAAUUAUGUAAUUUGAUUAAUUAAGAAUAAAAUGAGCAUCAAAAUUUAAGUGUAAAAUAAACUCGUUAUCUUUGGAUAAUAUUGUAGUAGUUGAAACGAGGUUUCCGAAUAUAUAUAGAACGCCCAAAUCUGACUUCGUAUGAGGAAGUUAUGAAUUUCUGAAAUUUCGACUUAGCGGUAUGCAGCCCGAAUACUCAAUUUGAGAUCGAGCGGUUUUUAGUCAAAACAACCUAAACGAGAAUUGAAGAUCUCGUUGUUAGUAUCGAAACGAUGAAAAGUUAGGCAAGAACGGACGUCAAAUGAAGAAGUUAUGAAUUUAUAAUGAAGUUUUUCUGUCCCGGCCUACUAAAAAUAAAUAAUAAAAAUAAAGUCAAAAUUAGCCGAUGAGUCUAAACGAAAGUUGUAGAGCAUAGUCUCACCUACGCGUAGAUAUAAAAAACGUCGAAAGCGGAGUUCGUAUGAAGAAGAUAUGAAUUUUCAAAGUUUAUUAAAUAAUUAAUAUUUAAAUUUAAUUAUUAAACCCGGUAUUAUCCGAAGGGGAGUCACUGGACUCAUCCGAAGUACACCCAGCGUACUGGCGUACGCCCAUCGUACAGCGAAGCAUGACGCGCCUCCCACUCAAGUUCUUCAGAUGACGCACACGGUGAUGAUUUCGGAGGCGUAUGCCCCGCAUACGGCUGUACACCCAGCGUACUGCGAGGCCUCAGCCUCCUAUAAAUAGGAUGCGAGGGUUCCGGGCUUAUUUGCUCAUUUCUCCUCCUUUUUGUGCCGAAGCUCUGCGUGUAAACCCCCAAAGCCAUCCCGACACCCCGGAUCUCAUAUCCAACAUAAGAAGGAAGUUUUACGCUCCCAAAGAUCCCGAGAAGUGCGAUUCCCGAGCCGAAGCUCUUCCCGCGAGAAGUUCAAUUUUUGUGGAGAUCUUCCAGAUCUGCCGAAGAAUACUACUACUAUAAGCUGUAGUGCUGUCCGAUCAUCUUCUGAUCAAGUGAGUGUGUAGUUACUUUCUUCUAACGCAUAAUUACGAAGUAUUUUAUACGAAAUACGUGUUAUGUGUAUAAUUUUGUUGUUAUGUGUGUGAAUGUAUAUUCACUCUCUUCUAUCUCAUAGAUCUUAUUUAUUUUCUAUGAAAUACGUGUUAUGUGGGUAUGCCUCAUCUGUUAUGUGGAAUAUAUAUUGAAUGAAAAUGCUAUACAGGUUUUAAAGUAUGUAUGAAAAUAUAUAUUUUUAUCUACUAAUAUGUUGGGUAGAACAUGGGUAGAUAGUUGGUGUGUAAUAAACAGAUGAGAGGCCUCGUUGUUGUUGAUCUAGUUAUUCAGCGGAGUAUGGAUAACGACCACAAACUCUUUCUAGACAGUCAUGUGGAACGUUAGCAGGUUCAUAACCUGUAGGUGUUGUGAACGAUGUGUUCACCGGUGUACUCUAUCCCCCUCAUGGUUGCCUUUAGGAUAUCUAUUGUUGAGGAAACCCCUUAGCAGUAAUGUCUGUCCCGAUGAAAAUCCUAGAUUAGGUCCCUUGAGAUAGAUGUUGUUUUAGGGACGUAAAGUGAGGAUAACGGGAAUGGGUAAUCGGGAUAGUGAUUGGUUGGUGAAAUUAAAUAUAAUUUAUUUAUUGUGGGUUGAAAACCCUAUAUGCUCACCAGGCUCCCAAGCCUGACCCACUCAGUUUUAUUUGUAUUACAGGAAGUGGCGCAAGGGCGUAAGAUGGAUGAAUCAUCGAGUUGUUUUGUUUACAAGUCUGUAUAUGUAUAUAUUUGUUGAAUGACUUGUAAUGUUAUCGUUUAUGCUUUAUGGUCUGUAUCGGAACAUGACAUCCCGAGUUUUGAUUAUAUAAUGAAAAUGCAUCUCUUGAUGAAAUGCUUUGAUAAAUAUUAUUUUAUCAUGUUUUGUUUUGGGAACAAAUUCCGCAACUCUUUUAAAUCAAAAGGAUUUACUCUGAAAUUAUUUUAAAAAGCAUAAAUGAAAUCGGUCUUUUCUGGCCGUGAUUUUGGGGAUGCAACAUCGGCAUGUUGGAUUGCCCUUUAGAGAUAGAGAACACCGAUGAUCGACCGGUGCGAGCGUAAGCAGUAUUCAGGGAUUGUGUCCUAAGGUUAUUUGAGGAGCGCUAUUUGGUGGAUUUGGUUCCCAUCCCUUUGCGGGGGAACAAGGUGAUUAUAGGCAUGGAUUGGUUGAGCCCUAAUGGGGUGGUGAUAGAUUGCGCAUAGCAGUUAGUGCGGAUCAGGACCCCAAGUGGGGGAGAGUUGCUGAUCCACGGCGAGGGGCCACAGCAUGGACCCACAGUAUGUUCAGCAGCGAGAGCUAGGCGCUACCUUCAGCAGGGUUGCGCAGGAUAUGUCGCGUAUGUUAUGGAUACCCGGGAUGCGGGUAAGGCGACGGUGAGUGAGGUUCCAGUGGUGCGAGACUACGCUGAUGUGUUCCCGAAGGAGCUUCCUAGAAUACCUCCGGAGCGUUAGGUAGAGUUCAGGAUCGACCUAGUUCCUGGUGCGGCUCCGAUAGCCAAGGCACCCUAUCGGUUGGCUCCUCCCGAGAUGCAGGAGUUGUCUACGCAGCUGCAGGAGCUGCUAGACAAGGGAUUUAUUCGACCGAGCAGUUCACCCUGGGGAGCCCCGAUCCUAUUUGUGAAGAAGAAGGACGGGUCGCAUCGGAUGUGUAUAGAUUACCGGGAGCUGAAUAAGGUAACGGUGAAGAACCGUUACCCACUCCNNNNNNNNNNNNNNNNNNNNNNNNNNNNNNNNNNNNNNNNNNNNNNNNNNNNNNNNNNNNNNNNNNNNNNNNNNNNNNNNNNNNNNNNNNNNNNNNNNNNNNNNNNNNNNNNNNNNNNNNNNNNNNNNNNNNNNNNNNNNNNNNNNNNNNNNNNNNNNNNNNNNNNNNNNNNNCCGCAUGAACCGUGUGUAGACCGAUGCUGGAUCGGUCUGUGAUAGCUUUCAUUGAUGACAUCUUGGUUUAUUCCAAGACGCAGGAGGAGCACGAGGAGCAUCUGAGAGAGGUUUUGGAGACCUUGAAGAGGGAGAGCUUGUACGCCAUGUUCUCCAAAUGUGAGUUUUGGUUACACGAGGUGCAGUUUCUUGGGCACCUCGUCAAACAAAACGGGGUUUCAGUAGACCCGACCAAGGUAGAGGCCGUGAUGAGAUGGGAGGUUCCGAAGUCUCCAUCCGAGAUUCAGAGUUUCCUAUGAUUAGCAGGCUACUAUCGGAGAUUAAUUCAGGAUUUCUCCAAGAUAGUUGUACCCCUGACACGAUUGACUAGGAAAGUUGUGGUCUUUCGAUGGGGGCCUGAGCAGCAGGCAGCGUUCGAGACUCUGAAGCAGAGAUUGUGCGAGGCGCCAAUCUUAGCCCUGCCGAAGGGUGUAGAGGAUUUCGUGGUAUACUGUGAUGCGUCUAUCUCGGGGUUAGGCACAAUAUUGAUGCAGAGGGGACACGUCAUCGCUUAUGCCUCGAGGCAGCUGAAGCCUCACGAGGUGAACUACCCGACACAAGAUUUAGGGUUGGGGGCGGUGGUCUUCGCCCUCAAGAUUUGGCGGCGUUACCUCUACGGGGUUCGAUGUACCAUUUACACGGACCACAAGAGUUUGAGGUACCUCAUGGAUCAUCCAAAUCUGAACAUGAGGCAGAGUCGGUGGUUGGACGUGGUGAAGGAUUAUGAUUGCGAGAUACUUUAUCACCCGGGAAAGGCCAACGUGGUGGCCGAUGCGCUUAUCUGUAAUGCAGCACCGAUCAGGGAUGUGUGUAUGAGGAUGACAGUGGUGACUCCACUGUUAGAGCAGAUUCGGGAAGCUCAGCAGGAGGCUAUGAAGGAGGAGCAGCGGAAGAGUGAGAGAAUAGUGGGUCAAGUCACCUCCUUCGAUUAUGAUAGCCAAGGGUUAUUGGCACUACACUGUAGGGUGUGGGUGUCGUAUCACGGAGGCGUGCGUCAGAUCUUGAUGGAGGAGGCGCACAAAUCCGGAUUCUCUAGUUAUCCGGGGGCGUUGAAGAUGUAUCGGGAUCUUCGUCUAGACUAUUGGUGGCCCUUCAUGAAGCGGGAUGUGGCGUGGUACGUCGAGCGGUGUUUGACAUGCAGGAAGGUUAAGGCCGAGCAUCAGAGACCGCACGGCAAGAUGCAACCGUUGGAUAUCCCGUUAUGGAAAUGGGAGGAUAUUACGAUGGAUUUUAUCACAAAGCUUCCCAGGACGGCGUGUGGAGUAGAUUUGAUUUGGGUCAUCGUGGAUCGGUUGACCAAGAGUGCCCAUUUUAUUCCGAUUCAGGAGAGUAUCUCGGCCGAGAAGUUAGCCGAUAUCUACAUCAGGGAGAUAGUGGCGCGGCACGGGGUGCCAGUGUCAGUGAUGUCAGAUCGAGAUGUGUGGUUCACUUCCAGGUUUUGGAAGAAGUUUCAUGAUGAGUUGGGCACUCGUCAGCAUUUUAGCACCGCCUUUCACCCGCAGACGGAUGGUCAAAGCGGGCAGACCAUCCAAACGUUGGAGGAUAUGUUACGGGCAUGCGUGCUAGACUUCGGUGGUAGUUGGGAUACCUAUCUUCCCUUGGCUGAGUUCUCAUACAACAACAACUACCACGCGAGUAUUGACCGUCCCCCAUUCGAGAUGUUGUACGGACGGAGGUGCAGGACCCCGAUAUGUUGAGGUGAAGUUGGCCAGAGGGUCAUGGGGAGCACCGAGGUGGUGCUCAAGAUGACCAAGAAAAUCCAGCAGGUUCGAAGCAGGCUUUAGACUGCGCAGAGUCGGCAGAAAAGUUACGCCGACAAGCGUCGAUCAGACCUGUAGUUCCAGGUCGGGGAUAUGGUUCUCCUGAAAGUGUCGCCUUGGAAAGGCGUCAUUCGAUUCAGGAAGCGGGGCAAGUUGGGCCCGAGAUUCAUUGGUCCAUUCAGGUUUGUAGCCUGGGUGGGCAAGGUGGCAUAUAGGCUGGAUCUGCCAGCCGAGCUCAAUCAGAUCCACAACACCUUCCAUGUCUCCCAGCUGCGGAAGUACCUAGUGGAUGAUUCAGCGGUGGUACCGCUAGAGGAUAUACAGGUUGAUGACAGCCUGAAUUACAUUGAGCGCCUAGUCGUAAUCCUCGACCGGAAGUCGAAGGAUCUGAGGAACAAGAGGGGGAAAUUAGUAAAGGUGCAAUAGCAUCACCGAAAGGGUUUGGAAUGGACUUGGGAGCCGGAGGAAGAAAUGAUGGAGCAUUACCCCGAGCUGUUUCAGGAGAUUUUUAGCACCUGCUUCCUGGUACGUAAAAAAUUUAUCUAUGUUUUUUGCAUUUUGGCCUUGGACUCGGCGAGUUGUACGUCCGACUCGCCGAGUGGAGACGGGUUUGGGAGCACGUUUAUGUUGUCGACUCCGCGAGUCCACAUUCUGGACUCGGCGAGUCCCCGCUGUCUGAUGAAACCCUAAAUUUCAAGGGUUUGCACCCUAUUUAAACCAACGUAUGCGCCCCAACCUCGCCCCCUUCACCCUCAGAGCUCCCAACAUCGUCCAAACCCUUAUUCCUUGAGAGAUUUAAGUGUUUUGGUGUGCUUCUUGAAGAUUUUGAGUGAAGAGAAGAGUAUAUCAAGAAGAGAAGAAGGAGGCCAGACAUCUUGGAGUUAUUUCAAGUGAUUCCCUUAAGGUAUAACUCAGUUUCCCUCUGUUUUCAUGCCUGUAGACCUUUAUAGCUCCAUUAAAGUCCUUCUUGAGCCAUUUCCAAGCUUGAUUAUGAAUUAGGGUUUGUAAUAAGUUGAUUAACCCUUAGAUCUAGGCAUUAUUGAGAUCCAGGAGCUCAGAUCUACUGCUUUUAUGGAGCCAUAUUGCAUGAAAGCCCUAGAUCUACUCUUUUAGUGCAUUUUGAGCCCUAAAACCUUCAUUGGUGUUUAUUUACACGUAAAGUUGGAAACUUUACGUGUUAACCAGGCCCUAGAAACCCAGAUCUAUAUAUGGCAUGAGUUGGAUCCAAGCAAAAUCGAAUAUUUAGUGUUUGCAUGCGAUAGACUCGGCGAGUCGAGUCGCGAGUCCCCGAGUUUCCCCUUUUGUGUUUGUGGAGUGGAGUAGUCAGUCAUGGGGAGUGACUCAGUGAGUCGGAAGCCAGACUCACCCAUGAAGGAACUCAGCGAGUCAAUGCCCUGACUCGGCGAGUCCAAGGAAAUCUUCUUUGCCUCAAGAACAGACUCGGCGAGUUGGCAGGCCAACUCGGCGAGUCGGGUCAACUGGAAGUUGACUUUGACUAUGACUUUGACUCUUGGCUCGGUCAGGGGUAAAUGGUCAUUUUACCCUGAGGUCGGUUAACAAUAUUUGACUGGGUGUUUUGUGGGGAUUUUAGCUGGAGGACUUCCAGGACAGCAGCAGCAGAAGACAGUCAAUUCCCACGCAGAUCAGCAGCUACUUUGAGGUGAGUUACCUUCCAGUAGCGGUGGUUCUACGACCACAAUGUCGGCCCACCAUUAGGAGUUGUAUGUUAGAUGAUUGUAUUUGUGAUAUCAUCUAGGUUGCUACUACCUGGUAUGUUAUAUGUUGGCAUGAUAUGUAUAUGUGAUAGUAGUAGAGUUCGGUUGUUAGGACAGAAGGGUAGGUCAGACACCCCAGAUAUGUCUAACAGUAUGUGAUGAUAUGUUUAUAUGUGACAUCCCCAAAAUCUCGGCCAGAAAAGACCGAUUUCAUUUAUGCUUUUUAAAAUAAUUUCAGAGUAAAUCCUUUUGAUUUAAAAGAGUUGCGGAAUUUGUUCCCAAAACAAAACAUGAAAAAAUAAUAUUUAUCAAAGCAUUUCAUCAAGAGAUGCAUUUUCAUUAUAAUCAAAACUCGGGAUGUCAUGUUCCGAUACAGACCAUAAAGCAUAAACGAUAAACAUUACAAGUCAUUCAACAAAUAUAUACAUAUACAGACUUGUAAACAAAACAACAAGAUGAUCCAUCCAUCUUACGCCCUUGUGCCACUUCCUGUAAUACAAAUAAAACUGAGUGGGUCAGGCUUGGGAGCCUGGUGAGCAUAUAGGGUUUUCAACCCACAAUAAAUAAGUUAUAUUUAAUUUCACCAACCAAUCACUAUCCCGAUUACCCAUUCCCGUUAUCCUCACUUUACGUCCCUAAAACAACUAUCUCAAGGGACCUAAUCUAGGAUUUUCAUCGGGACGGACAUCACUGCGAAGGGGUUUCCUCAACAAUAGAUAUCCUAAAGGCAACCAUGAGGGGGAUAGAGUACACCGGUGAACACAUCGUUCACAACACCUACAGGUUAUGAACCUGCUAGCGUUCCACUGGACUGUCUAGAAAGAGUCCGUGGUCGUUAUCCAUACUCCGCUGAAUAACUAGAUCAACAACAACAACAACAUCGAGGCCUCUCAUCUGUUUAUUACACACCAACUAUCUACCCAUGUUCUACCCAACAUAUUAGUAGAUAAAAAUAUAUAUUUUCAUACGUAGUUUAAAGAAAACCUGUAUAGCAUGCUUUAAUCAACACAUAUGUCACAUAACAGAUGAGGCACACACACAUAACACAUAUCUCAUAAAGAAAUAAGCAGAUCUAUAAGAUAGAAGAGAGUGAAUACUCAUUCACACAUAACACAACCAAAUAUAUACACAUAGCACGUAUUUUUAUAUAAAAUACUUCGUAUUAUUGUAUUAGAAGAAAUAACUACACACUCACUUGAUCAGAAGACGAUCCGACAGCACUACGGCUUAUAGAAGUAGUAAUCCACAGCAGAUCUGGAAGAUCUCCUCGAAAAUCGAACUUCUCGCGGGCAGAGCUUCGACUCGGGAACCGCGCUUCUCGGGAUCUUCGGGAUCUCGGGACUUGCCUCGGGGCUAGAGUAUGAUACCGGGNNNNNNNNNNNNNNNNNNNNNNNNNNNNNNNNNNNNNNNNNNNNNNNNNNNNNNNNNNNNNNNNNNNNNNNNNNNNNNNNNNNNNNNNNNNNNNNNNNNNNNNNNNNNNNNNNNNNNNNNNNNNNNNNNNNNNNNNNNNNNNNNNNNNNNNNNNNNNNNNNNNNNNNNNNNNNNNNNNNNNNNNNNNNNNNNNNNNNNNNNNNNNNNNNNNNNNNNNNNNNNNNNNNNNNNNNNNNNNNNNNNNNNNNNNNNNNNNNNNNNNNNNNNNNNNNNNNNNNNNNNNNNNNNNNNNNNNNNNNNNNNNNNNNNNNNNNNNNNNNNNNNNNNNNNNNNNNNNNNNNNNNNNNNNNNNNNNNNNNNNNNNNNNNNNNNNNNNNNNNNNNNNNNNNNNNNNNNNNNNNNNNNNNNNNNNNNNNNNNNNNNNNNNNNNNNNNNNNNNNNNNNNNNNNNNNNNNNNNNNNNNNNNNNNNNNNNNNNNNNNNNNNNNNNNNNNNNNNNNNNNNNNNNNNNNNNNNNNNNNNNNNNNNNNNNNNNNNNNNNNNNNNNNNNNNNNNNNNNNNNNNNNNNNNNNNNNNNNNNNNNNNNNNNNNNNNNNNNNNNNNNNNNNNNNNNNNNNNNNNNNNNNNNNNNNNNNNNNNNNNNNNNNNNNNNNNNNNNNNNNNNNNNNNNNNNNNNNNNNNNNNNNNNNNNNNNNNNNNNNNNNNNNNNNNNNNNNNNNNNNNNNNNNNNNNNNNNNNNNNNNNNNNNNNNNNNNNNNNNNNNNNNNNNNNNNNNNNNNNNNNNNNNNNNNNNNNNNNNNNNNNNNNNNNNNNNNNNNNNNNNNNNNNNNNNNNNNNNNNNNNNNNNNNNNNNNNNNNNNNNNNNNNNNNNNNNNNNNNNNNNNNNNNNNNNNNNNNNNNNNNNNNNNNNNNNNNNNNNNNNNNNNNNNNNNNNNNNNNNNNNNNNNNNNNNNNNNNNNNNNNNNNGCUCUAUAUAUAUAUAUAUAUAUAUUCGGAAACCUCGUUUCAACUACUACAACAUUAUUCAAAGAUAUCAAGUUUAUCUUACACUUGAAUUUUUGACGCUUAUUUUUAUUCUCAAUUAAUCAAACCACAUAAUUAAGCAAUUAAGCACAAAACACAUAAUACUCAAAAAAUAUACUCUUAUUAUUUCAAAACGGGUUACAAAGGUUAACCUAGACUAUUACAUUGCUAAAAAUGGCAAGCUCGAAAACACAGGCGUUACAUUAUAUGUUGCAUUAUAUGUUAUAUGUGAUAGUGGUAGUAGGAGGGGAAUAGUCCCCAAGCCCGAUCGUUAGGACCGAAGGGUAGAUCGGACGCCCCAGAUAUGUCUGAUAAUAUGUUAUGUUAUGAUAUAUGUGAUAGUAGCAGUAGGGGUGAAACAGUCCCCGAGGAUCAGUUGUUAGGACCGAUGGGUAGUCAGCACUCCAAAAUGGCUUGACAUGGGUAGUCAGCACCCCAGAACGGCUUGACACGGGUAGGUCGGGCACCCCAAAAUUGCCCAGCAGUGUGUAUAGUAUGUGAUUGUAUGGUAUGUGGUAAGAUAGGGGAACUCACCAAGCUUCGUGCUUACAGUUUUCAGUUUUGGUUUCAGGUACUUCUUCUUCGAAGGGGAAGGAGCUGGCACAGUAGUGGUACAUCACACACACGCUUUGUAUUCCGCACUAUGGGAUUCUCCUGGGGUUUUGUACUCUGACAGUAUUAUGUUUUAUAAAAUGGUUUCAGACAAGCAACAUCUUUUAUGAGAUGAUAUGAUCCGUGAAUGUUUUAUUUCUAAUGUUUUGCAAAGUGUAUGUUUUAAAAAUGAAAUUUUUGGCUCCUAUUUUUUGGAUGUUACAAGUUGUUUACUUGUCCAAUGAACAUACGUAAAGAUCUACUAAAAACAAUGAUGGGCGUAGGUAACUGAUGAAUUGGUAGAAUAGAUGUUUAUUUCAUGGUUCUUUGUUCGACUUUUUUUUUGGCUUCACGAAUUGAAUUAUGGUUUUUGGAAUCGUAGUUUGAUUAAAUUGCAUUGUUUUGGAUGAUUUUUAUAGUUUGGUUUCUUUUCAAUUAAACAAAUGCAAUUAAAAGAUAUCCACAAGUGUUUUGAUUUUAAUAUUAUUUAUGUUUUGCUACUCAUUGAUAAUUUAAUUUAAUAUUUUAUGUAGGUGGUAUUUGACAAAAUAUAUAUAUGUAUGUGUGUAAACGAAUGUGAACACAACAAAAAAAAAUAAAGAUAAAAUUGUAAUGUUGUUAUUUAAAUUUCUUUUCUUUUCUUUUCCAAUCGAACUCGAUAACACAUUUUUUAAAAAACUCACUUUCCUUUCCUUCGGACUAGGGAACACGAAAAAGUUAAUCACUUCCUUCCGCUCCCUUUCUUUUAUCUCCAUAUUUUCCUUCCCUUUCUUUUCUUUCGUUUAAUGAAACUCAAUGAAACUCGGAAACAAGACGUUAAUUUGGUGCAAGAUUUGCAGGAACAAGUUCAAAAGGGAUGAAGAGAUGCAAAAUAGAAAUGCAAUGAAGACAAAUACCACUUAAAGAGUAAUUUGCGGCUUUUAUAAGAGUAUUCAACAACCCCACGAUAAUCCAUGAAAUGAUUAUUAGUUUUUCUGUUUUAAACACUUAGUAAUGUAUUUGGAAGUUUGAAUGUACAAACAAUGUUUAUUAUAAUGUUUAUUUUUGGAAAACAAUUUUUACUGGAACAUGUUAAACACUUGUAAUUUACUUGAUACUUUGAAGAUAAAUAUAAUGACUUUUUUUUUUUUUAUUUUGUAUUUUGGCAAAAAUAUAUAAAAAAAUUCUACUGCUUUUUUAAACAAAAAAUCAAUUUACUGACAACUUAGUGACGGAAAUUUCUAUCACAAAAAGUAAAAAGCAUUCAUUGGUAGUCCGUCACUAAAAGUGUCGGUCCGUAAUCCAUCACUAAUAGUGUUUGUCCAUAAUCCAUUGGAAAAUAUGGUCAAACCUGGUCAAAGAACCUUCCAUCAGUAAUCCAAUUCCCGACCUAAUUUUCCGUCUGUAAUCUGUCACAAAUUCUGUCGAAAAUGCGUCACAAUAAUGCCCACAUGGCUUUUUUUACAAUAGAUCAAAUUCCGUCAGUAUUUAGUCAGAAAUCGGCUUAACCGAUGGAUUUCCCAGGGAUAUUGCCGUUGAAAAUAGUUUUCUAGUAGUGUGAUUCCAUAUAACUGUGAGUCUUACAAGGUUAAAUUUAAUCAUUCUUUUCAUGAUUGGGACACUUUUAGUAAGCCUAAGGAAAGUUCAAUAAAAAUUAAGGCGACUUCCGCUACAAGUCUAAAGGAAUAAAAUCUAGGAAGAAGUUUUAUUGUUUUUCUGGCUGUAUAAACUAAUGCAAACAGUUUUCCUCAAACUAUAUUUUAAUAAAAAAGAUAUAAAAAGCAAAUCCCAUACACUUUUAUAUAGUAUCUUUACGUGAAAUACAUUGUUCGGUAAAAACAACUCAAACUUUGUUUUGAGGUAGUUUAUUUACGCAUACGAUACAGAUAUAAAAUGUUAAAGGGAAAAUGAAUUCAACAAUUGAUCACAUUUUAUGGUACCAAAAAACACCUUUGUGUUCGCUAGCUUGGUCAGGCUCGAUAUACAUGCAUUCUUUAGCUUCCCUCCACAUGGCUUUAAAGAUUGGAGUCCUAUCGAUCUUAUAAAACUCACCCAAAACUGGAAUGAUUGCAUCUCUUGCCUCCUUUGCAUGAUAAUGUGGAAUGUAUGAAAUCAAAUGAUGCAAAACAUGGGUGUGUGUAACGUCAUGGAAAACCCUAUUCAGAAAUCCAAAGUCCCUAUCAAUUGUUGAGAGGGCCCCUUUGAUCCAGUUCCAUUCGGUUGAAUCAUAAUGAGGCAAUGAUAGAUGAGUGUGGUGCAAAUACGUUAUAAUAACGAAAAACAUAUGAACUCCUAGCACCGGAACGCCAUAUAUGCACGUAACCCAAGCAGCUCCUUUUGCUGUUACAGCAAGCUUGAUUACGUAAAAGACGGCAAGAAGGCCAAUAUCUGAUACCAGAACCUGAAUUCGCUCACGCUCUGUGAAAAUUGGACUCAUGGGAUCAAAGUGGUUCGCAAACCUUCCGUACUUCUUUCCAGAUAUAUUAGUUAAGAGGUAUAAAGGAAAUCCUAGGGUGAACCUAAACACUAAAGUGAAUACUCGACCAGGUGGGUUGUUAAGAAUUUUUGAGUACCACCUGACUUUCGACUUCCGUUUAGGAAUAUAAACUUCAUCAUUAUCAAGUGAAUUUGUGUUGGCAUGGUGAUUUCGAUGGCUAUAUUUCCAUGAAAAAUAGGGUGUCAUGAGAGCUGAGUGGAGGAUAAAGCCGAUAGUGUCAUCAAUCCAUUGGUAUUCGCUAAAGGCAUGGUGACCGCAUUCAUGACCGAUGACCCAUAAGCCAGUGAGGAUGCUAGCUUGACAGAACCAGUAAACUGGCCAAGCUAAGUAAGCUAGAGAAGGAGGAAGAAAAGGAAUGUAUGUAUUUGCAAGGAAGUAGAAAACGUAGGCAACAAUGAGGUCGUGAACAACAUAGUAAGAUGAACGGAUGACAGAUCGUUUGAAGCAAUGGGCAGGGAUCGCUUUCUUUAAAUCACUUAACGAAAAUGGCGGACCAACCGGAACUCGUUCCAAAAUCUUUUUAUCAUCAAAUGGGUGUGACAUUCGACCACCUGCACCCAUGUUGUUGAUAGUCGAUUAACCUGCGAAAAUGUCAAAUGUAUUGUGAGAUUUAUGUAAACUAAACAUAGAUAGAAUUAAUUACAAUAACAUAUAUCUUAUCGGAAAAAAAAAGACCUUUAGAGAGAAGUUAUGUAUGAGUGAUUGAUGAGUUCACCAGGUGAUGCUAUUUGGGGUUGGCUGUCCUCUUAUUUAUAGUGUCCAAGAGUUGCGAAAUUUAACGACACACUUGCGCUACUGGGUACUGACUUUUAUUGUUUAGGAAACACCACCAUUCAAAUUUGGCGGCUCUAAAUAAUAGACCCAAUUUUUAAUAGGAGAUUCUAAAUAUAUUAAUGAAAAACUACACUUGCGUAUAUUUAUUCCAUUGACUCAUUAAAUCUCACGUGACUGAUUUUCUUAAUGCUUAUUUUUAUAUUAAGAUGAUAAGAUCCUAAUAUAUUAAAUAGUAAAUUACACGAAUGGUCCGUAUGGUUUAGGUAGUUUACGCAUUUGGUUCCUAACUUAUUUUUUUACUCGAAAAGUUUUUAUUGUUCGUUUUUGUUACGUGUUUAGUCAUUUUAUUACCUAAAAAGACAAUAUUUCCAUUGAUUUUUUAAUUUAUUUAAAUAAACACAAAAUCACCCCUAGGUGGCCAACUUACUUUAUCUAUCCAUCAUUUUUUUCUAUUUAAAUAAUAUUAUUUUAAAUAAGACAGGGACCAAAUACGUAACAAAAAGAAACAGCAGAGACCAAACACAUGAAAAAAACAAACAGUAGAGAUAUUUCAAGUUCAAAAAUAAAUUAGGGACCAAAGACGUAAAUUACUCCAAACCAUAGGAACCAUUCGUGUAAUUUACUCUAUAUUAAAAAAGGUUUUAACAUAAAGUUAUAAAUAUAACUUUAACUACAAUUUACGUCUCAAAUUUCAAUGGAAAAUUAUAUAUAUAUAUAUCUAGAUGUUGCGCAUAGUUAUAUGUCUUGAUGCUGAAAUGUUAACAUGAAGCACAAAUAUUAUUAUAUAUUUAUAGAUGGUCCAAAUGAUUGUUAGUUGGAGAAAUAUUAACUAUUUUAUUUUAUAUAUGAAUUGGUUUUUGGUAUUUGUGGUCUAGUUAUUAAAAGUAUAUUGAAUUGUAUUCCAUAUUUGUAAUAUGAAGCACCAUUUCAAGAAAUAUUGGCAGUUGCGACUACCGUUUUAGUGUCGCCACUAGUAUGUUCCACUCCUGAUACAUGUCACUAUAAGAAAACGGAAAAUAGGGUAUACUAAAUGUAGUGUGGUUAUUAAAAAAAUUCAUAUUAGAUGUCGUUAUAUUGAUUCUUGUGCACGUUUUUUGAAAUAAAUGGGAGUGAAAGAAAUUUUCCGCUUCUAAUCAUCAGAUACUGAUUCUUUUCUUUCUUUUUCACUGGUUUCCCCAUGCCACCACUUCUCUCCUCCUCACCUUGACCACAAGGUCAUCAUCUCAUCUUCCCAUUCACUCCUCCAUCCUUGUAAAUUUUGUUAAGAAGAUACAAGACUUCCUCAUGUAAAAAUAGAAUUAGUAGAAUUUUGACGUAGUUUAUAACCUAGUUUUGAGAUUUUACUUAAAUGGAAUUCUUUUGAAUAUGUAAUUUUGAUGUAGAAGUAGAGUUUUGACAUUUACGUUUCUUCUUACUAUUGGAAUCAGGCCUGUUGGUGAUUUUGUAUCAUCAAUGUGUAUUUAAGUGUAAUGGAUUGACUUGUUGACCAAAAAUCAAUCUUGAUGAAUAUUAAACUAGUAAGGAAGGUACGGAGUGCACAUUUGUUUGAGUUUAUUCAAGAUUUAAAGUAGACUGUCAUUUAGGGGCGAAGCCCCUAAACGAACGGGGGUCUGGGGGCGGCUCCCCUAGGAGCGUGGUCCAAGGGGCGGCAGCCCCUCGCGGGGUCCAAGGGGUAGAGCCCCUGGCUUGGAUUGAGCUGGUUUUUGACUUCGUUUUAUAUGAGUUAUAUUGCUAUAUAAAAAUGCCUUAUAAAUCUGAAUUUUCUAUAAAUGAACCCGGUUUUUUUACUUCAUUUUAACCCUUUUUUAAUGAUCUAGUUUUAGUGAUAGUUUGUGACUGUUAUAAACUGUUUUGACAGCUGGAGUAGGUUUUGGACAGAGAAAACUGCCUUGACAGUUUUCAGACAAAUGAUAUACUUAAUCAUUCUUUGGUCAUCAUUUUUCCGGGUACAAGAACAAUCACGAAAUCAUAACUUCAUAUUCUCUAUUUUAGAAACUCAUCUGAGUCUUAUCCGAUUAAAGGUUGGGAGUACCACCCAAAUACUUUAAUCUGAAAGUGUUUAACACGAUUCUCAGGAUUUCCAAGUCUUUCCAUACCCCAAUUUUCUAACAAAGAUUAUAGUAUUUCUGUGAUCAUGGCAAGUGGCGAUUUUGUGAAGGAUAUGACAAGCAAGUUUGACAAAUUGAACAAGUUUAAAGGGCAAGAUUUUCGUAGAUGGCAGAAGAAGAUGCACUUUCUCCAUACCACUCUGAAAGUGGUAUAUGUUCUGAGUACACUCAUGCCAGUCUUACCAGAAUCUAUUGAAGAUGAACCUUUGGAGGCAACAAGAAGGAGAUCAAAGUGGGAAAAUGAUGAUUACAUAUGUCGUGAUCAUAUUCUCAAUGGUAUGUAUGACUCUCUUUUUGAUAUCUAUCAAAAUUUCGAAUCUGCAAAUGAACUGUGGGAUUCUCUUGAAUCCAAAUACAUGGCUGAAGAUGCUUCUAGCAAGAUGUUUCUUGUCAGUAACUUUAUGGGUUACAAGAUGAUUGACUCCAGGCCUGUUAUGGAACAAUUCCAUGAAAUGUUAAGUAUUCUGGGACAGUUUGCUCAACACAAUCUGGAAAUGGAUGAAGCCAUUUUUAUGGCUGUGAUUAUUGACAAAAUGCCCCCUUCCUGGAAGGAUUUUAAACACAAUCUGAAACAUAACAAAGAGGAAUUAACUUUGACUCAACUUGGAAUCCAUUUACAGAUUGAAGAGUCCUUAAGGACUCAAGAACUCGAUAACAAUCCCAAAGGCAAGAACCAAGUUGGUUCCUCUUCUGUGAACAUGGUGGAUGGAGAAGGAUCAAAGAAUCAAAAGAAGUCUAAUGGAAAAACGAAGUUUAAAGGAAAGGAUGACAAGUCUUCCAACAAGAAGGCUAAAGUGGUGUGUCGGAAUUGUAACAAACCGGGUCAUUUCAAGAAAGAUUGUCGUUUGCGUAAAGUGAACAAGGAUGGUGCAGGACCAAGUGGAUCCAAGGAUCCAGAAAAGCAACAAGGUCAGAUUUCUGUAUUCAUGCAGAAUUCUAAAUAUAUUCAAAAUUAUAUUUCUAUGAUUUCUGAAGCAUUUUAUGUGCAGGAUGAUAAUGUUGCAUGGUGGGUUGAUUUGGGAGCAACAAGUCAUGUUUGAAAAGAUCUAUAUUGGUUUAAGGACUUUCAACCAAUUAAUGAUGGUUCUGUUGUGAAGAUGGGAAAUGUUGCAACUGAACCAAUCAAGGGCAUAGGAUAUGUUUUACUUACUUUUACUUCUGGGAAAUGUUUGUGUUUGAACAAUGUUUUACAUGUUCCAGGGAUUCGUAAGAAUCUCGUGUCUGAAAUUGUAUUAAAUAAUUGUGGUUACAAACAAGUAUUAGAAAGUGACAAGUAUAUCUUGUCAAGAAAUGGUUCUUUUAUGGGAUUUGGAUAUGUAUGUAAUGGAAUGAUUAGGCUAAAUAUUAAUUAUCCUUUUAUUGAUAAUUCUGUUUGCAUGGCUUUUACUAGUACUAGCAAUAAUUUUAAUAAAUAUGAAUUAUGGCAUGCUAGACUAGGACACAUUCAUUACAAAAGAUUAAAAGACAUGUCUAAAAUGAGUUUAAUUCCUUCUUUUGAUAUGCAAAAUAAUGAAAAAUGUAAAACAUGCAUGCUAACUAAAAUCACUAGACAACCUUUCAAAGAUGUUGUUAGGGAAAGCAAGGUGUUGGAUCUUAUACAUAGUGAUUUAUGUGAUUUCCAUGCAACACCUUCCCUUGGAAACAAGAAGUAUGUUAUUACUUUUAUUGAUGAUGCAUCUAGAUAUUGUUAUAUCUAUUUGCUNUGCUACAUUCUAAGAAUGAAGCACUUGAUAAAUUUAAAAUUUAUAAACAACAAGUUGAGCUUCAUAAAAAUGAAUUAAUAAAAGUCUUGCAUACUGAUAGAGGUGGUGAGUAUUAUGAUCCAGUUUAUUUUGAAUCAACUGGAAUAAUACAUCAAACCACAGCUCGUUAUACACCACAACAAAAUGGUGUAGCUGAAAGGAAUAAUAGGACUUUGAAAGAAAUGGUUAAUUCCAUGUUGUCUUAUUCUGGAUUAAGUGAAGGGUUUGGGGAUGAGGCAAUGUUAACUGCAAGUUACAUCUUGAACAGAACUCCAAAUAAAAGGAGUAAGAAUACUCCAUAUGAACUUUGGUCUACAAUGGUACCAAAUUUGAGUUAUCUCAAAGUUUGGGGUUGUAGAGCAGUUGUAAGGCUCACUGAACCCAAAAGGAAAACAUUAGGUGAAAGAGGUAUAGAUUGUAUCUUUAUUGGAUAUGCUGAGCAUUCCAAAGCUUAUAGAUUCUAUGUUUUAGAAUCUAAUGACUGUGUCUGUGAACACUGUUAUAGAGUCAAGAGAUGCUAUCUUUGAUGAAGAAAGAUUUACAUCUAUACCUAGACCAAGGGACAUGAUUCAGCAAUCUUUCAACAAAAACACAACUCAAACUGGAGAUGAUUCUAGGCGUACAAGUUUUGUACUUGAGCUUAAAAGAGUACUAGAGCUAGAAAAGCUAUGUCGUUUGGAUCUGAUUUUCAACUUUAUCUAGUUGAAGGAACAAAGAAUGAGACUAUAUGUCAACAUCAUUAUUGUUUUAAUAUUGAGGAGGAUCCAAAGACUUUUAGUGAAGCUAUGGGUUCUAGGGAUGUUCAUUUAUGGAAUGAAGCAAUUCAGGAUGAGAUUGAUUCUAUCAUGCAUAACAAUACUUGGGUAUUGUCAGCUUUACCUCCAGGUUGCAAGGCAUUGGGAAGUAAGUGGAUCCUUAAAAGGAAAAUAAAGGUGGAUGGCACAAUUGAUAAGUAUAAAGCCAUAUUGGUUAUCCAAGGCUUUAGGCAGAAAGAAGGCAUUGAUUUCUUUGAUACUUAUGCUCCUGUUGCUAGAAUUUCCACUAUUAGAUUAUUGUUAGCUCUUGCAGCUAUACAUAAUCUUGUGAUUCACCAAAUGGAUGUGAAAACUUCAUUCUUGAAUGGUGACUUAGAUGAGGAAAUUUACAUAAAACAACCUGAAGGAUUUGUUAUGCCUGGUAAUGAACAUAAGGUGUGCAAAUUGAAGAAAUCAUUAUAUGGUUUGAAACAAGCACCAAAACAAUGACAUCAAAAGUUUGAUGAUGUUUUCUUGUCUAAUGGUUUUGCAUUAAACCAAGCUAACAAGUGUGUAUAUAGCAAAUUUGAUACUUCUGGUAAAUGAGUCAUGAUUUGUUUAUAUGUAGAUGAAUUGGUAAUUUUUGGUACUGAUUUGGAAGAAGUUGAUAAUACUAAGAAAUUCUUAUCAUCUAGUUUUGAUAUGAAAUACAUGGGGCAGGCUGAGGUAAUUCUUGUUAUAGGAAUUAAAAAAGGAAAAAAUGGAAUUUCAAUUUCUCAAUCUCAUUAUAUUGAGAAGAUAUUGAAAAAGUUUAACUUUGAGAAUUGUUCUACUGUUAGCACUCCUAUAGAUCCUAGUAUUAAGCUUCUACCUAAUAAAGGAUCUCCAGUGUCUCAACUUGAAUACUCAAGGGCUAUUGGUUGUCUAAUGUAUGCCAUGAUUAGUACUAGGCCUGCUAUAGCUUAUGCUGUGGGAAGACUUAGUAGAUAUACUAGUAAUCCUAGUUUACAUCAUUUGCAAGCUGUGAGUAGAGUAUUCAAGUAUUUGAAAGGGACCAUAAAUUAUGGUUUAACUUAUAGUGGAUAUCCUUCUGUUUUGGAAGGUUAUUCAGAUACUUGCUGGAUUAACAACUUAGAGGAUCACUCUUCUACUAGUGGUUGGGUGUUUGUUCUUGGAGGAGGUGUCAUUUCUUGGGCAUCCAAGAAACAAACUUGUAUUACUAACUCAACCAUGGAAUCUGAGUUUGUUGCACUAUCUGCUGCUGGUAAAGAAACUGAGUGGCUAACGAAUUUGAUUUAUGAAAUUCCAUUAUGACCCAAACUGAUAUCUACCAUUUCUAUCAGAUGUGAUAGUGCUUCAACUUUGGCUAAGGCUUAUAGUCAAGUAUACAAUGGAAAGUCUACACAUUUAGGUGUUAGACAUAGCAUGAUUCGUGAGCUCAUCAUGACUAGUGUGAUAUCCAUGGAGUUUGUAAGAACUCAGUUGAAUUUGUUCGAUCAUCUAACCAAAGGGUUAGCAAGAAAUCUUGUGCACAAUGCGGCUGUAGGGAUGGGUUUAAAGUCCACUUAAAAUCUUUUAUAUUGAGAUACCCAAUUCCCAUCUAAUGUAAUAUUAGAUGCUGAAUUCAAUGUGGAAAGCUUGAUACUUGAAUAUUGGAACACAUUAUUAUCAUCAUCCCAAGGUAUGUGCUCAGUACUGCAAGUAAAGGAGGUUGAAUUUAUAUUUUUAAUAGUUCUUUUGAAAAAUUGCAUUUGCAGGUGCAAGAAUUAAAAGACUACCUGUAUAAGCAUGAAGUUUAGCUUCUUCAAGAAGUUAGGACUUGGUUUUGAUAUGCUUAUUGAAGGAUGGGACACAAGCUAGUAAAAUAUAGUGUCAAGUUAGAACUUUUGAGAAUAUAAACUGUUGUGUGUAUUAUUUUCAUGUAUUCACUAUGAAUAGAAAGGGUUUAAUCCUUAGAGACAACCUGAUAUUCGAAUAUUUGGAUUGAAUAAUAUACUAAUGUGAAAUUCAAUCAUCACGAAAUUUCAUUUAUGCAUCAGUGUGUUGUUGUUAUGUUUUGUUUUAAGUUAAUCAAGAUUACACUUAAAUGGGGGAGGUUUGUUGGUGAUUUUGUAUCAUCAAUGUGUAUUUAAGUGUAAUGGAUUGACUUGUUGACAAAAAAUCAAUCUUGAUUAAUAUUAAACAAGUAAGGAAGGUGCGGAGUGCACACUUGUUUGAGUAUGUUCAAGAUUUAAAGUAGACUGUUAUUUAGGGGCGAAGCCCCUAAACGAACGGGGGUCCGGGGGCAGCGCCCCUAGGAGUGGGGUCCAAGGGGCAGAGCCCCUGGCUGGGAUCGAGCUGAAUUUUCUAUAAAUUAACCCGGUUUUUUGACUUCGAUUUAACCCUUUUUUAAUGAUCCGGUUUUAGUGAUAGCUUGUGACUGUUAUAAACUGUUUUGACAGUUGGAGUAGCUUUUGGACAAACAAAAAUGCCUUGACAGUUUUCAGACAAAUGAUAUACUUAAUCAUUCUUUGGUCAUCAUUUUUCCAGGUACAAGAACAAUCACGAAAUCAUAACUUAAUAUUCUCUAUUCUAGAAACUCUUUUGAGUCUUAUCCGAUUAAAGGUUAGGAGUACCACCCAAAUACUUUAAUCUGAAAGUGUUUAACACGAUUCUCAGGAUUUCCAAGUCUUUCCAGACCCCAAUUCUCUAACAAGGCCCUGUAUACACACUUCUCUGUAGCAACAUACACAACACUCAAUAUGUGAUUUUCAGAAAGAGAAGUAAAGAGGAGAAGAAAAAUCUUGAUGCAAGAAAACAGCUACACAUCUUCUAUUCAGAAAAAUAAAGAAAAGGAUUUUUAUAUAGCCUACAAAACCUACUGGACCCAAACAUCUAUCAUACCCACAUUUUCCACUUUUCCUCACCAAACCUAACAGUUCUAAAGCCUCAAAAGACUUGGUCCACAUGACUCAUUCAACUCAAGACCCACUACUAUUUAUUUAAUUAACUAAAUAAAACAAAUACUAAAUUAAAACUUGAAUAAUCUGUCAAGAUUAACCUAACAUUCACCCCCUUAAUCUUGACUCGUUUCUUCAUCAAAGCAAUGCCGGUUCUUCAUCUUGGAUCAAGUUUGCUUCUUUUUCAUUAUCUUUGUCAUUCCACUUUGUACACUCAUAGCUAAAAUGUCCAAAGUCUCCACAGUUAAAGCACUGGAAGCUAUUUUUGUCACCUCGACCUCUUCCUCUUCCUCGACCUCUUCCACCUCUUUCAUAGUUCCUUCCAGACCCUCUUCCAUGUCUACUACUAUAAGCAUGCCUUGGUUCACUUGCCAUCAUGAGUUCACCUUGCUCUUCUUCCUUUUCUUCAUGACUUUGAAGCCUUUCUUCAUAGGCUUUGACCCUUCCAACCGCUUCUUCAAAUGUCAUAGUUUCAAGAUCAGAAUAUUGUUCAAUUAGAGCUACAAUUGGCAAGUACUUCCUUGGAACCGAAUUGAGAAACUUCCUUACAAUCACCUCCUCUUCAAGAGUCGAAUCAAGACUUUUAACUUGGCAACAAUACCACUUAUUUUUCCCAAAAAGAAAUUGAUUGACUCAUUGUCCUUCAUCUUAAGCAUCUCUAAUUCAUUUCUUAAGGUUUACAACCUUGCUUUUUGCACCCGUUCGGCUCCAAUAUACCAAACCUUGAUUGAUUCCCAAACAUCUUUUGCAUUCUUGUGUUUAGCAACCUGUAAAAGAACAUUCUCUGGGAGGGUUUGAAAAAUUAUGCCUUUAGUGGUAUAUUUCUUCUUCUCGUCAACUACAUCCUUGGUUAUUGCAACCCAAUGUCCAUAUGCCCUCAAAACAGUUUCAAUCAUAAUAGACCAAGUAGUAUAAUUAGUUUCAAUCAAUUUAGGACAUUGAAAUGGUACAGAAGUACCUUGAGCAACAACCUCUUUUGACCCCCCCUUGGUUGGAUCCUCCUGCCAUUCUUUCUCUUAAACUUUCCUUUCCUCACAGACUUUAUACCAGGUCUCUCUUUCUCAGGUAAAAGCCUCUUCUUUCUGACUUUCUUUCUUUCUCUUUCUUUCUUCUUUCUUUCUUCUUUCUUUCUUCUUUCUUUCCUGCUUUCUUUCUUUCUUCUUUCAUUCCUGCUUUCUUUGUUUCUUUCUUUCUGUUUUCUGUGUUUCCGUCUUUCUUCUUUCUUUCUCUUCUUUCUAUCGGUCUUUACUUCUGCAGGAUCGUGAUCUUCAAUUAUCCAUGAAAUCACCUCCGCCUUCUUCUAAUUGAGCCUAGGAUCUGAUACCAAAUGUUGGAAUCAGACCCUGUAUACACACUUCUUUGUAGCAACAAACACAACACUCAAUAUGUGAUUUUCAAAAAGAGAAGUAAAGAGGAGAAGAAAAAUCGUGAUGCAGGAAAAUAGCUGCACAUCUUCUAUUCAGAAAAAUAAAGAAAAGGCUUUUUAUAUACCCUACAAAACCUACUGGACCCAAACAACUAUCAUACCCACAUUUUCCACUUUUCCUCACCAAACCUAACAGUUCUAACGCAUCAAAAGACUUGGUCCACAUGACUCAUUCAACUCAAGACCCACUACUAUUUAUUUAAUUAACUAAAUAAAACAAAUACUAAAUUAAAACUUGAAUAAUCUGUCAAGAUUAACCUAACACUUACAAUAGGUUGGAACUAUUUGAUUUUAGUUAUAUGUAGUUUCCAAUUGAAGGAGCAUCGAGAUGUUUAAAUGCAACGCAAUAUUAAGUUUCAUUAAUGCUAACGAGAGUAUCAGUAGCAUUGUUCUAGUCCUAUUUUAAUGGAAGGUGAUAUAAUGUUUUAAUGCAAUACUCUUAUAAUUUUUUCUAUUGAUUUCCUUGGUUGAUAAUGAAGAUUGGUGUGAUUAUACUCACUUUCAUAUGGGUAUAAUGGCGAGCAAGAAACAACAUGUUGUACAAAGGCUUGGUGAACUCGACACAUAUCCUCUUUAAUUAUAUUCAAAUGUUCUCUUAUAAUUGGAUUAGAAUAGAUAUAAAUGACGUAGGAAUGUGUCUUGUGAUCUAUGGUGCUUAGAUCCAAAAACUGUUUGUAAUGUUGUUUUCAAUUAGUGUCUUGUUGGUUGUUGUCAUUUAAUAUGAUUUUUCUUGUUGUCCAAAAAAAGGAAUAUUGUAACAUCUAUAAAAUUUGCGCCAAAUUUAAACUUUUUCAAUCAUAAAUAAAGCCAAAUAGUAUUGUUUACAAAAUGUUUUCAAAUCAUUUUUCCAUCAAAGUGUCCCAAAAAUGAUAACAUAAGGAUGAUGAGUGGUACGGUCACGCCUUCGCCUUUCCAUGAUAUCCUGAAGUACCUGAAACAAUAAACUGAAAACUGUAAGCCCGAGGGAUUAGUGAGCUACCCCCAAAAUACCAAUACCACACUAACAAUACCAUGUUAGAAAUAAUCAAUCAAUCAUAAUGCAAUAAUGGGCCGUCGGCCUGACUGGACCGCCCAUCGGGCCUACAGUCUGUCUGAAUCUAUCCCGAGCCUUCAGCAUGACUGGUCCGCCACGUGGGCCUACAGUCUUCCCGGACCGCUCAUAGGGUAUGUUGGCCUGCAGCACAAAGCAGGACCGCCUCAACCUAACCACCAACAAAUAACCAUGUGCGUAUACUAUCAUAUACAUGCAUAUACAAACAUCAUACAUAUCUGUCACACUGAUCGUCAAUCAUAGAAUUCUCUUGUAACUAUAGUACCGACCUAGCAAGUCACUAACAUACCAAUCCCUAUGCAUCAUAAGAGCAUAACAUACCAUCUACCCUGAUUCUGAUCUAACAGUUCAUAACCACACGUAGCAUACAAUAACAAUAACAACUAAAGGCCGACCUUCGUGCCGUAGACCCUAUCGAUAUAGUGAGGAUAACUCACCUCGCAGAUGUCGACACGAAAGGUAAACUCCAACCCUCGGAUCACUUGACACAGGUUCCACCACCUAUCAUCAUAGCAUAACAAACGCAUAAGUCAUUAACCUUAUAAGGUACUUCAUAACCCACUAGUCAACCCCUGGUCAAAGUCAAAUUCCUCUGUCAAGGUCAACAGUCCAUGUUAACCUUAACUCGCCGAGUACCUUUAGCUACUCGCCGAGCUCCUUAACAUACAUUCCAGUCCGCCGAGUCAUCGGAGUAACUCGUCGAGUUCCUUUGAUUCUCAAUCAAACUUAAGGUCACCCAUCGAGUUCCUACCUUGAAACGCAACGGAUACACGCUCAUACAUAUCCCAGAGAAAACCCAUCCGACUCACCGAGUUGUUCUUCAACUCGUCGAGUCUUAUGACGAUCUUAAUCCGACUUGCCGAGUUGUUCAUCAAACUCGUCGAGUCCACGACCAUCUUCAUGUGACUCGCCGAGACACCUAGCGACUCGCCGAGUCCAUUCAGUCCUUUUUCUCCAUACAUACAUAUUUUGAGCCAUGCAACAGCUCCAACUCAUAGAUCCAAGCUUCUAGGGCAUGCUUAUCACGCAAAGUUGCAAACUUUACGUGCAUGCAUGACCACAAAGGCUCUAAAUGUCUAUUCUAAGUUCUUAAUGAAACUUCAUGCUUAAGAGGGACCUUAAUUUCAACCAAGACUGUGACUUUAUGCCUCUAGAAUCCAAGGAGGGUCUAAAUCUGAAGUUACAACUUCAGAUCUAGCCCAUAGCUCAUCAUCCCAAGUUGAAAAUCCAUAAAAAGCCCUAGAAACCACAAAACGAAAGAAAAAGAAGUAAGAAUGGCAAUUUGAUACCUCCAAAAGAUGCUAGCUAAGGUAAAUCUUGCUUUCCCACUCCUUCCUUGCUUCAAUUUCCUUUUCACUCUUAGUUUUCUUCCUCCAAGAUCCUCUUUUUCCAAGCUUCAACCCACAGCAAGGCACACACACACGAAUUAGGGUUUUAAGGGGCUCUCAAAGACUGUAAAGAGACCAAUGGAGGCUAAGGCUCCUUUAAAUAGAGGUGCAAACCCCGGGAUUUAGGUUUUCCACUGCCAGCUCCUACUCGCCAAGUCUAGAAUGGACUCGUCGAGUAGGUCACUUAACAUGUGAUCCCACCCCGCUACUACUCGACGAGUAGGCCAACCAACUCGUCGAGUACAGCUUACUCCAAUGAAUCUUGUUUAAGAAUUACUUGAGAAUCGGGGCGUUACAACUCUCCCUCACUCGAACUAGACUUUGCCCUCGAAGUCCGCUGGAAUAAAUAAUGUCGGGUAAUGCUCGCGCAUCUCCGCCUCCGGCUCCCAUGUCCACUUGGAUCCCUUUCCAUGUUCCCACUGUACCUUUGCUAAAGGUAUUUCCUUGUUCCGCAUAAUCUUCUUCUUCCUUUCCAAAAUAGCCACAGGCCUCUCCACAUAGUUAAGACGCUCAUCGACUUGAAUGUCAUCCAACGAUACCACUGCCUCUUGGUCCAAAAUGCAUUUUUGCAAUUGCGAAACAUGAAAUUUGAUGUGGAUCCGGCUAAGCUCCUCCGGAAGCUCUAGCCUAUAAGCCACCCUGCCAACCCUGGAAACAAUCCUGAGCGACCCAAUGUAACGGGGACCCAAUUUUCCCCUCUUCGUGAAGCGGAUCACACCCUUCCAGGGCGAGACCUUAAGAAGAACCAUGUCACCCACCUGAAAUUCCAGCUCAGAUCGGUGUCGGUCGGCAUCACUUUUCUGCCGGCGCUGAGCGGUCUGCAUUCAUUGUCUAAUUUGCUGUAUAAUCUCGGUGGUUUGCAAAACUACCUCUGUCCGACCCAUCACUCUAUACCCAACCUCGCCCCAGCAGACUGGGGUCCUACACUUCCGCCCAUACAACAGCUCGAAAGGCGGGGCGCCAAUACUGGAAUGAUAGUUGUUGUUGUAGGCGAACUCUGCAAGCGGUAGGUGGGAAUCCCAACUCCCACCGAAAUCAAUAAUGCACGCCCUCAACAUAUCUUCGAGGGUAUGAAUGGUCUGCUCACUCUAUCCAUCAGUCUGCGGAUGGAACGCCGUACUAAAAUGCAGUCGUGUACCUAGUUCCUCAUGGAACUUCUGCCAAAAACGGGAAGUAAACCUGACAUCUCGAUCGAAAACGAUAGAAACUGGAACCCCAUGACGAGAGACAACCUCUCUAACGUACAAGUCAACCAACUUCUCUGCCGACGAACUCUCCCAUUUAGCAAGGAAAUGGGCACUCUUGGUAAAUCGAUCCACGAUGACCCAUAUAGCAUCGAACCCCCUUGCCGUCUUCAGGAACUUUGUGAUGAAAUCCAUCGCAAUCCAUUCCCAUUUCCACAUGGGAAUCUCCAGAGGCUGCAACUUACCAUGCGACCUCUGAUGCUCGGCCUUGACCGUCCUACAGGUCAAGCACCUCUCAACAAACCAAGCGAUAUCUCGGUUCAUGCUAGGCUACCAAUAACUUGAACUCAAAUCACAGUACAUCCUGGUGGCUCCUGGGUGAAUCGAAAAACGAGACUUAUGAGCCUCCUCCAUCACUGUCUGUCGGACCCCUCCGGACAUCGGAACCCAAACCCGACCAUAAUGGGUCAACAAUCUGCGGCUAUCCUGAAAAAACCAGAUGCUUUCACCCUUAAUCCUCUCCAACUUCCAGUUCUCUGGUCUCAUGCCCUCAAUCUAAGCAUCCCUGAUCAAACCCACCAGUGGGGAAUCCACCGCUAUCCUCAUACACCUAGCUGAGGUCGAGGACCCAGCUGACUUGCAGCUCAGAGCAUCCGCAAACAGAUUCGCUUUACCAGGAUCUCGCAAUCAUAGUCCUUGACCACAUCCAUCCACCUGCGCUGCCUCAUGUUCAGGUUCGGCUGAUCCAUGAUGUAUCUCAAACUCUUGUGAUCCGUGUAUAUAGUGCAACGGAACCCGUACAGAUUGUGCCUCCAAAUCUUGAGAACGAAAACCACUGCUCCCAACUCAAGAUCGUGCGUGGGGUACCUCGUCUCAUGCGGCUUCAGCUGCCGCGAUGCGUAGGCUACCACCCGUCCUCUCUGCAUGAGGACUUCCCCCAAGCCAGUGAUGGAUGCAUCACAAAAUCCUCCACUCCCUCGGGGAGUGUCAACACCGGCACCUCGCAUAAGCACUGCCGGAGGGUCUCAAAUGUCCUCUGCUGCUCAGGGCCCCACCGAAAAUCUACCCCCUUCCUCGUUAGACGAGUAAGGGGUACGACAAUCUUGGAGAAAUCACGAAUGAAUCUCUGAUAACACCCUGCUAAAUCCAAGAAACUCCUGAUAUCAGAGGGAGAUUUUGGCGUCUCCCACUGCAUAAAUGCCUCCACCUUGGCCGGAUCGACCAAAAUCCCCUCCUGGUUAACGAGGUGUCCGAGGAACUGGACCUCCCGUAACUAAAACUCGCAUUUCGAGAACUUGGCAUACAACCGUUCUCACCUCAGAACUUCCAGCAGCUCCCUAAGAUGCUCCUCAUACUGCUCUCGAGUCUUGGAGUACACCAAGAUAUCAUAUAUAAACACAAUGACCGAGCGAUCAGGCAUCAGUCUGCAUACCCGGUUCAUCAGAUCCAUGAACACUGUUGGAGUGUUGGUGAGUCCAAACGGCAUCACCACGAACUCGUAAUGACCAUAACGAGUCCGAAACGUGGUCUUCUCCACGUCCUCCUCCUUCACCCAGACCUGGUGAUAUCCUGAUCUCAAAUCAAUCUUGGAAAACCAAGAUGCACCUUGUAGCUGAUCAAAAGACCGUCUAUCCUCGGAAGCGGAUAACGGUUCCUCACCGUUAACUUAUUCAGCUCCCUAUAGUCAAUGCACAUCAUGUGUGAACCGUCCUUCUUUCUGACAAAAAGGAUCGGUGCUCCCCAGGGUGAACUACUCGGACGAAUAAACUGCUUACCCAAUAGUUCCUGCAACUGAGAUGACAACUCAUACAUCUCUAGCGGUGCCAGUGGGUACGACACCUUAGCGAUAAGGGCCGCACCUGGCAUUAGGUCAAUUCUGAACUCAACCUGUCUCCCCGGACGCACUCCGGGUAACUCCUCUAGAAACACAUCAGCAAUCUCCCUCACCACCGGAACCUCAGAAACUGAGAGCUACUCUCUAACCCGCGUAUGUACAACAUACGCCAAAUAACCGACACACCUAUGCUGAAUAUACUGCCGAACCCUGGCUGCCAAACAACACCCAUAUCCCAACCUGGUGCCCUCACCAUAUACCACAAGUUCUCCCCCACUUGGGGUUCGAACCACCAACCGCUGCCCCUCACAGUAGAUCAUGGCGCCAAAAAGGCUAAGCCUAUCCAUCCCUAUAAUCACGCAUACAUCCCUCAUGGGAAUAGGAAUCAAAUCUAUCAGGAAGGACACCCCGAAAAUCUACAACUCGCAUCCCCGGAAGACCGAAUUAGCAGAGACCCCGUGCUCGUUGGUGAUCGAAACUCGCAACGGACACUCAAGAUCAUCUAUCGGCACACUGAAGCCUCUAGAGAAGGUCUGAGAUACAAAUGAUCGACUCACCCCCAAGUCAAAUAAUACCAAAGCGGGCAAAGAAUUCACUAAAAACGUACCUAAUCACUAGUACAAUCAAUAAGCAUAACACGAAUACAAUAACGAAUACAGAGAAUAGAAAACGUAUCAGCAACCACAUCCGGUGCUGACUUGGCCUCCUCGGCCGAGAGCUGGAAGGCGCGACCCUGAGCCUUUGGAGGCUCCACCUUGACUUGCCUCCCAUCUUCAAUCUGAAGGUUUUUGGUCAUAAGAACAUCCUAUGUGCUCAUACAAACCCUAAUUCUUGGAUCUAGGUUUCUCUAUUGUACAUGCAAGUUAUCCAAGACUAUAAACCCUAGAUCUAGAAUAUGAUAACCAAUAUAACAUAUAAUUAGGGUUUAGAUCAUAUCUUGAUUGUUAUAUAGGAAUAACAAUCCCAAUUCCUCCUUUUAUUGACUUUAGAAAGCUUAGAGUCACAAAUGUCACUCCUCUAAUGGUUCACAAACACCAAUGUAACACUGUAAAUUUCAAGACAAAAUUUUCAUUUUAAAUAAUCAUUUUAAUCUUAGAACACUUGUUUAAAAUCUCAUUCAUAAUCGAAUUACAAAACAUAGCUCCAUUUUCACUUGCAUAGAAAACCAGGAUCCUCCAAAAUAUGACUCUUCCUCUGGUGUGUACAAUCAAGCCGGUGCCGUCCCGUGAUACUGAAAGAAACCUGAAAACAACAUAACACAAAACACUGUAAGCACGAANAGAAACAAAACACAAAACACUGUAAGCACGAAGCUUAGUGAGUUCCCCAAAAUACCACACACAUAACACAUAUAAGCCACUCGAGGCUAUAACUCUAUGGGUCCGUGCACCCAAACUCUGUGAACCCUCAGGUUCUAACUCUGUGAACCUUCCGGUUCUAACUCUAGGAACCCUUCGGUUCCAACUCUGCAAACAUGCACAGCAUAAAUCACAUAGAAAUAAUGCAGUACAACACAUAACAUACAUAGCAUACAAAUACUCUGUCACAUAACUCUGGUUACCUACUCAAGGUAAAGUAUAGUGAGAAGACUCACCUGGCAAGCAAAAAGCAGAUAUCUCCAUACUCGGAUCUCGAACUCGCCACCGCCUAACACGUAAGGCAAAACUCUCAUGACUAUAACUCUCGAGACUAGAAUCAAUCCUCUCAAUGCACCCUCUUAAGGGUAAAAGACUAUUUUACCCCUCUCUUGGCCCAAAGGCCACAUCGCUGACCAAACCCUAAAAGUCAACGGUCAACCCUUGGUCAAAAUCAAAGUCCUCAGUCAAAGUCAACCCCUGACUGACCCUACUCGCCGAGUCAACUCUAUGACUCGCCGAGUUUCUAUAAUCAGAACUUCACUCAAUCCGCGACCUAACUCGCCGAGUCACUCCGAGACUCGCCGAGUCCAACAACUCUGAGUCCACUCGCACACAACUCACCGAGUCAUCCCUUGACUCACCGAUUCUCGACUCAACCAGGGAAUAUCGGGACUCUUCGACAAGACUCGUCGAGUCCAAGAACAGACUCGCCGAGUCCAAGACUAUCAUCAACCUACUCGUCGAGUUGUUCAUACAACUCGCCGAGUUCCAGGUCAUCUUCAACCAACUCGUCGAGUACACCCAUGUGACUCGCCGAGUACCACCGGUCUGAAUCCAUUCAGAAGCAUUCCAGGCCAUGCAAUUGCUCCAAAACAUAGAUCUAGCCUCCUACCACUCAUCCACCACGUAAAGUGGCAAACUUUACGUGAAUCCAAAGAGAUCUAGGCCAUUUGCACAUUGGGCUAAGGUUUGGGACAUGAAAGCUUCACUAAACACUCCAACACAGGGACUUUCAUGCUCUCUGAUUCUUCUCCCUUCCAGAACUGAGGUAGCAACCUCAGAUCUAACCUCUAGACUUCCCAUUACAUCCAUAGACAAGUUCCCACAAACCCCAAAAUGAGGAAACAACAUAACAACAGCCCAAGAACGAGAUAUUACCUCCAAGAGAUGCCCCUACUGCAAUGUAAUUCGAAUCCAAGCAAAGCCCCUUGCUCCAAGCCUUCAAUCUCCCAAAAUUCCUUCAACAAUUACUUCUCCAAGCUCCAAUCCACUCAACAAUGGUGCUUCUCUGCGAUUUAGGGUUUUCUGGGGCUCAAGGGGUGAUAAGGAGGCUGGGAGGAAAACAUAAUGUUCUUUAUAUAGGGCUCAACCCCGAGAAUUAGGGUUUUCUCCAAUCAGCGCCUACUCGCCGAGUCCUCCUCACUGACUCGCCGAGUCGGCUACUUAGCACACGACCCAGUCGCGACUCUACCCGCCGAGUCCAUCCAUGGACUCGCCGAGUCACUCUUUCACAACUUACUCUUUUAGCCCUUCAACUCUACUCUUGAUAUUUCGGGAUGUUACAACCAAGAGCAAAAGGAUGAAGAGGAGAGAGGAGGGAGGCUGCCCUAAAACGUGUAAAACCCUAGAAGAAGUCUUCCCCACGUUUUUGGGUCAUAAGGGAUCGAUAUAUAGGAGGCUAUUAGGGUUAUCUUCACAAGGAAACCCUAAUUUGGAUGCUUAAGCCCUAAGCAACCCAUAGAUUCCUUUCCUUAAGGGCUUGGACGAUUUCUUAUGGGCUUCCCCAUAGAAUUCGUCCACUCCUUAAUAUAAGGCAAUCCAUGGCCCAUAUUGCAAUUAUCUUAUAAUUACAAUUCCAGUCCCUUAAGUUUAGUUAAUCCCUUUUAGUCACAAAACUAAUUACUAAUUAAUUCUUGACUAAUAUUAAUUAAACAAUAUGAUUUCUCCUUUAAUAUAUUAUUCUCAUAAUAUAUUAAUAAAUCAUAUUUAAUCCUUUCUCUCCAUAAUUCAUCCUAUCAAGUUGCUUUAGUGAAGGCAACCCAAGAGGACCAUGCACCAUCGGGUCAAGUACAUACCAAAAUAGUUAUGGACUUGGACACUAAUCCAACACAAACCUCACAGUAGCUGGCGCGGAACCCUAUGCCGGCUUGGCGGCGAGCUGCGGACAGUUGGUCUUCACAUGACCAACCUGAUGACAAUGGUAACAAAUUCUCAUAUCUGCUGGAGGGGCGGACUUAUAGCAGUCCCUAGCAUAGUGUCCCUCUUUGCCACAUUUGAGCACCCACCUCCUGCUCGACAAACCCCCGAAUGAGCCUUGCCACACUUUCCAUAGGUGCAGCUCUGAUGACCCCCAGACUGUACAUCAACGAUUUUAGAUCGCUUAGGUGCCGGCUGAGACUGUGCCGGUGCUUGACGCUGCUCCUUCAGCUGCAUUUCUAUCUCCAACUCACGCCGUCGCACGGCUUCCUGAACGUCCAGGAGGGUAUCACGUCGCUGAGUAGACACAAACUGUCGAAUAUCAGUCUUGAGCAUACUUAGAUAACGAGUCAUCUGAGACUGCUCUGAUACCAACUUGUAACAUCCAAAAAAUUUGCGUCAAAUUUAAACUUUUUCAAUCAUAAAUAAACCAAAUAGUAUUGGUUACAAAAUGUUUUCAAAUCAUUUUUCCAUCAGAGUGUCCCAAAAAUCAUAACAUAAGGAUGAGGAGCGGUACGGUCAUGCCUUCACCUUUCCAUGAUAUCCUGAAGUACCUGAAACAAUAAACUGAAAACUAUAAGCCCGAGCGCUUAGUGAGCUACCCCUAAAAUACCAAUACCACAUUGACAAUACCAUGUCAGAAAUAAUCAAUCAAUAAUCAUGCAAUACUGGGCCUCCGGCUUCACUGGACUGCCCUACCGGGCCUACAGUCUGUCUGAAUCUAUCCUGAGCCUUCGGCAUGACUGGUCCGCCACAUGUGCCUACAGUCUCCCCGGACCACUCAUCGGGUAUAUUGGCCUUCAGCACAAAGCAGGACCGCCUGAACCCAACCACCAGCAAAUAACCAUGUGUGCAUACUAUCAUAUACAGGCAUAUACAUGCAUCAUACAUGUCACACCCCAAAACCAUUGAACAACGGAAACGUUCUGGGGCGGAGGACGUCAUGUACAGUAUCACAACAAUGUAAAGUAGUAAACAAGCAACAACAUCAUCCAUUGCAUUAAUGAGAUAAUUAUUAUACAAAUGUGUUCUGUCAAAUUUUGAUAAACACUAAAGCAUAAAUCAAAAUGAAAGAUGAGUCUUCAACGAGCUCCAUCUUCCCAAAUCUUUGCAUCUGUACCUGUCUAUGAUGACCUGAGGAUACAAGUAAUUUUGAAAGCGAGUAUCAGCUUUGAAGCUGGUGAGAUCAUAAGUAUUUUAGUGUCUUAAUUUGUAUGAAAAUACUUGUAUGUAUUUGAAAUGUAAGUAUUUGUAUGUAUACGAAUUGUAAGUAUUGAAAAUGUAAAUGAACUGUAUAUAUGAAAAUGUUUGUAAAACAACUGUAAAAGUUUGAAAAGCCCUAGAAAUCCCUAUGAUUCCUAUUAGUGACAAAAGGAGUCUUCUACCAAGACUUAGCUGUUCUGAAUGUAGCCUUCUACCAAGGCAUCUAGUGACUGUGCGUGUGUUUCUUGUAAGAAUAUGUAUUUUCCCAGGUAUGACUAUCAUUAACCAAAAUAUAAUUUCUACAUUUCCGUGCGUCGUGUGAAUGUUCACGAAGUGAAUGUAAAUGGGAAAAAAAACGAAAUAGUACUAUGGUGUAGUGUCGAACUACAACGGUACCAAUUUCCUUAAGUCUAGGGUAAUCAUGUAAGUACUGUAGUAUUUGUAAUAAAUAACUACAUCGGUACUCCGCUGCCUUAUUUGAUGGAUAAGGUAUAAUGUGAUGUCUAGAUCCUAGGCUAAACACUCCCCUAUCAAAGGGAUUUUGGGACCUACCCACGACCCCUGCAUAUCUGCAAGCCGUGAGCAUCCACAUUACUAUGAUCAUGUAUACUCGAUAUAACUAUCACAAUUGCGUUGUGAUUCAUCAAUAUAGUUAGAUCCUGAAUUGGGUCCAUGCUAUAGCACCUAGUGGCAUCUGUUCUAUGUAUAUGUAAGUGUACCCGUGUAAGUGUGAUCAUGUAAUUGUAUAGUAAUAUAUCGUAAUGUUCUAGUUGUAGUGUAUGUGCUCUCUAUCUAGCAAGUAUAGUAAUGUUCUGUAAUGUUCUAGCUGUAGUGUGCGUUCUCUCUAUCUAGCAAGUAUAGUAAUGUACUGUAAUGUUCUAGCAAGUAUUGACUCAUGAAUGAACUGACUCAUUGUAUGGUAUCGCUUUCUAGUAAUAGUUCUAGUAUCUUCCUAAACUACCCGCAUGGUAGUUUACUAGUAAUCUAACUGGUACGUAUGGACAUGGAUGUAUACCCUUGCUACCCAAGGGCAUGGGAUGAACUGGAAGGACCUUUAUGACUAUAUAUGUACAUGUGAUAUAUAACUAAUGUUUAAACGACCUUUAGACGAAUACCCGAUAUCCCACCAGACCACAUCUCAAGCGCGAAAAGGAAAUAGGGUGGAUAGCCUUCCUAACUCUUUUAAAUAUUUCUUAUAUAACUAUACAUAUAGAGGCAUGCAAUUUAUAAUAUAAAAACAUAAAUAAGUUUUGUAAAACCUUUGAACAUAGUUAUUAUCUUAAGAAAAGAUCGACUUGAUGUCAAUCUAUAAAACGGUAUGAAGGCAUGGGUUUGAUAAAACGGUUUAAGUAUAAGAAUACGUUUGUUUGAAACACAAUUAUAAAUAAGUUUGAAAUAAAACAUACAGAGUAAAAUUUAUAGAGAAAUAAGGAGUUUUAAACACAUAAAGUGUUUAUGAAAAACAUUUGAAGGAAACUGUUUAGUAAAAGGGAUAAUGAGUAGCCAAUCAUUUGAAUGCUGCUUAUUAAUCACAUGUGAUUGAUAUAAUAAUUAGCAUAAUUCUACUUGUAUCCUCCCCCAUAAAACAUUUAAAAACAGUUUAAAACAUUGAUUAAGGGGUAUGAACUCACCUGUAGUGAGUGGUUCUGAUGAAAAUGUUGGAUCAGUUGCUAAGUAUCAAGUGGUGACUUGAGUACACACGCGAAUCCUAUUUAGCAUAUAUUGACACAUAUAUGAAUAUAAUUAGUGUUAUGAACAACUAAUUAAUGAAUUGGGACCACCUUAGGGACUAGUAAACACUUAUAAUGAAGUGUUACAACCAUAUAUGAUUGUAUGAAGGGGGUAUAAGGCUUUACAAAGGAGUGUAUGGCCAAAAUACACACUAUAUGUGUGUGUGCGGCCAGGUGUGCGGCCUAGAGUGCUGCCAACACAUGUGUGCGGCCCUGUGUGCGGCCAUGUGUGCUGCCAGAUGGUGUAUGCUGCCAUGUGUGCGGCCAGAUGGUGUUCUUGGUGCUCUUGGUACCUUUUAUGAAGAUCUUCAAGGAGAAUGGAUGAUACUUGAGAGGGUUUUCGAGUUCUAUGCUUGAAGAAGUGAAAUAAGUGUUCAAAAAUGACUAAGUGUGGUAUAUAUAGGUGGAGUCUGCGGUUGGGAAGGGUGUGAGGCCGCAAAUACAUGUGUGUGGCUGGACACUCAAGUGUGUGGCCGCACAGUCCAUGUGUUGGAGUGUUUGGCCUCUUUUUGAUUCCUACACUUUGAGUUAACCCAUUUCCACACUCCAACAUUGAUUAUAACACAUUUAGAACGCACCAACAGACCCCAAAUGGUACUAAAAGAUAGCAAAACGAGUCUAUUAUUGAUAAGAAAUGAAGAAUGCAAGCUAGUAACUUUCGGGUUGUCACAUCAUCCCCCUAUUAAAGGGAAUUUCGUCCCAAAAUUAGAAUUUAGGCAAGGAAGUAGGUACGAAUGAUCAAAUCAUGAGAAGGAAACUUUCUAAUCAAUUGGUUCUAGCGCUCCUAAGUGAAAUCGGGUUCUCGGUUGGUAUCCCAACGAACCUUCACUAACGGGCGGUGGUGAUGCUUCGUCCGUUUGACCUCUAGGUUGAGGGUCACUACGGUUCUAGUACGAAGGCGAGGAUCUCGACGAGUAGACUUACUAGAGUCCUAACAGAAAGGUAUGGUUUCACGAUCGAGACGUGAAGAGUAGAAUGUACGUUACUGAGUUCGCGGAGUAGGUCUAGUUUGUGCGAGGCAUAGGACCGAUUCUGAUAAGAAUCUCGGAGGUCCUAACUAUACUGGAUUUAUCUUGCCAUGCGAUACGAAGCGUAUUAAGCCAUUCCCAGAGUGAGUUCUCCUAAUGAAUUUGGUCACCCACUUGGAAUCUCCAAGGUUUCUUUUUCUUAUUUAACUUCCCAGUCAAGGGCCACCCCUUGAUGGGUCAGAGUCGAAAGGGUUUCUGUGAUUUACGAGGAGUUCUGGAUGAACUAUGACAGUAGGUCUGUAAGACCUAGAAUUUGGCGAAUUUCUGUCGGUGUCUCUGGUGUCGACAAAUGCUCAACAGUUUUGACAAAUUGAAAAAGUACUCAAAACUUCCCAUAUUACUAACAGUGUCAUAGAAAUUCGACUCUUCAAUUUCAAAACUCGUGCCUAGAGAACUUCUCUAAAAGUUCCCCUGUAGGAAAUGUUUCCAUGGGUUUUCUUCUUACUACAAGGAUAGAUAAGUAAGUCAUUACAUGGAGAAAUGACGAACCGAUCCAAGUAAGAAAGACGUACCCUACUCGUUUAGCUCAUGAAAACUAUGGGUGUAUUGGUCCUAUCCGAAGGGUAUCACUAUGGAUUCGAAGUGUCCGCAUCGAGUUCGGAAGAUAGUCUUCCAUACAUCCUUCCCUAACACUCAAACUGGUGAUAUUCGGAUCUCAGAUCCAUUUCUGAAAGUAAUUCUUUCCUUGCGUUUGCUCAACCAUCUCAUCUAUGCGAGGCAGAGAUAAGGAUUUUUAUGAAAAUCUUGAUGGAGUCCUCGAUAUCCGAGGCACAUACGAUGCAAUUCCGUCGAUCUCUGGGAGCAUAAGACUGGGGGUUCUCCAGGGUGAGCAGCCUAGUCUUCUUAUUCUAUCACUGUGCAGUUCGUUAAGUUGUCUGUACUGUUCUGGCAUUUCCAUAGGUGUUUAGACUAUAGGGCGAUCUGUUUACAAGAGUCGUACUGGGUUCUGAGUUUAUUCACAUGACGAUGCGAUUACUCGUAGGCUUAGGCAGUUCUCUGUCCUGAAGUUCAUAUUAGAAUUCAUAUAUGUUUUCACAAUCACAAUCUCGUGUAUACGGGUCGUAUAUAAUUAAGAUUGAAAAGGUAGUCGAAUAACUGAUUCUUCUUUAAGAUCACAUGCCAUCGGGGAAAAAGAAGUUAAUGAGGAAUCAUCAAUUCUAAACCUGUAGAACCUUGAUUAUAUUUCACUCUUAUGUAUACAUUCCUCAGUGAUAGAUCAAUCAUAUGAAUCCUUGGAUUGAACUUGACGUACUGCACGAGUGGUACUUCGGGGAUUUCUUCGGAAAGAAGAUAUCUAAGAGGUACUCCUGGCAUGAGUACUUCGGUGUUCUGAUAUGACGGGUUCGCUGGAAAAGUAAUCUAGAAGAAAGAGACGUACGCAUGAAGGUGUUGUUGUGAGGAUCUAAUUGAAUCGAGUCGUAUGAUAAUGUCGAAAUCAUACUGAAUCUUAAAGACAUUAGAUUCGAACAUAAGACGUUUACAGACAAAACACAACUGUGCAACCACGAACAGGGUUAUAGUACUUUAGAUUUACAACAAGACCAUUGCUACGAAUAAGAUAUACUACAAAAGACAAGUAUACGCAGCACGAGCAUCCCUAUAAAGACAGGAUCUCGCAAAAGGUAAGACUCUAGUUGCACUAGUUCUGGAUAGUUUAUAAGUCUGCUACAACGAAACGCCUUAAUUACAUUAACGUGGGUUUCGGAGUAGGUUCCCCUACAGCUGUGAUCCUAAGAAUCUUCCCAUCUGCACCCGAGUUCUUCGCUAUCGGGCAAUCCCUCUUGAGAUGUCCAAUUUCACCGAAUUGGUGACAUAUAUGGACUCCACCCACAUUGGUGGUGGAAGUGAAGUGUUUAGUAGGAGAUAUGGGGACGCAGGUUCUUUCCCUUUUCGGGCAAUCUCUUUUAUAGUGCCCAAACUCACCACAAUGAUAGCAACCUAGGCUUGCCCCAGUGGUGGAGGGAGUUCUAUAGAAACGAGCAAUGUGCCCCAUCUUGUUGCAAUUAACGCAUUGCAAGGCUCGGCACACUCCCUCGUGGUGGUAGUUGCACCGAUCGCACUUUGGAGUGUUCCUUUGUAUGGUCUGCUCGGUACGGGGAUGGCAGAGGUUUCCACUUGCUGUUGUUGCAUGGCAAGUUUUCGGGGUUUCUUGCGUUCUUUCUAGGCUUGACGCUUCCGUUUCUUGUUCUUUGAUUUUCGGCUUUGCGGGCCUGUGGCCGUUACAGUUUGAUGACUUCCCGGAUGGAUAGCACGAUUGGAAACUUCAUUCCUAUCAACAACAUUGAUUGUGUUGAUAGUGUCAUGGUGCGCAAGGACAGCGGUUAUGACAACUACCAUGGCAGCUGUAACUGCUGUUUGGAAGGUAGCGGCGUCCAUAGUAAAGGCGGAGGUCUCGCUGUUCGACUGAUUGUUUGCGGGUGACGACAUGAUUCUGUAACACGAAAUAUAAGGAUUUUGUGAGCGAUUCUGGUUGACCCUUGAUGUACUUAGAUUGUUCAUGUAAAGAGUACGACUAUGUUCUCGAAAGUUUGACCUACAUCCCUAUGAUGCAGUCCUAGCACGGAUUGGAAGUAUGUUCAUGGAGGUUUGACCUACAUCCCUAUGAUGCAGUCCUAGUAAGGAGUAGAAGUAAGUUCGUAGAAUGGUCUCAAGACGUUUGUCGUUCAAGCCGAGGUAUCGUGGGUUGGUGAAUAACAAGAUCCAACCACUGAAAGAGACUUGGAAAUGUCUCCAGAGCUAAAUUACUAUAGUCCAAUGACUUGACUAAAGCAUGAUUCAGAUAGACUCCAAUAUAAGUAUGGUAAGAGUACUUGAAUAAAGAAUGACACAGAAGUUAGCCGACUGUCAAUAUCUUUAAUAUUCGUGACGUAAAAGUUCGGGAAAAUGACCUUGUAAAGGUCUUACAUCAUAUCCGGAGAAGAUAGUUCUUGACAGCAUAACGACCUAACCAAAAGUACUUACAUUACAAGGUAAUUUCAUAGAAAGAUCCACAUCGGGCAUAGACAGAAAAUGAUUCCUGUUAACAAGGAGAAAUAAAGUAAAGCGUCUACUACCGGCGAUGGUCAUCCCUCUGGUGAACUCUUAGUUCAGCCAGUUGACGUUCCACAUCAAGUAGGUGUCUUUCGUGCACCCUCUGGCGUACUCAGAGCUCUAUGACUUCGGCUCGUGAUUCAGCCAGUGCUUGCAGCAGGGUUUCAUGGUUUCUCUCAGAUCUCUCGCGAGCAUCUUCUAGACGAAUGGUGCAGAGGGUAUGCAUUCUCGUAUUGGCGACAACUUCAAUGAUCUGAUGUAGGGCUGUCCUGCCUUGAAUCUCAUUUCGGGUCACUCUGCGGACCAAGAUCGGUAAGAUUCUAUCUGCUGAGCCCCCAUUGCUCAGGUCGUAAAAGCUUCGGUCGCCAUUAAAUGGCAUGGGCUGAUCUUGUCCUUGGAUCCAUGAUUCUAAACAUUCCACCUACUCAGGCGUCGAGCCAUGAAAAGUCGGACGAGGGUUAGGAAUUGGAAAGGAGUUGCUUGGGGUAGGUUAUCAUCCUCUGGUUCGGAAUUAGCAUCGUCUGAAAGGUCUUCAUCAUGGUGAUCAUUCAAAGGGAUAGGAUGAUCAUUCUCUGGUUCUUCUCCAAACCAACCAGUUAUGACUUCGUUCGGAAGAUACUGGUUGCUGAGGGGAUGGAGCCCAGCUAUGUUUUCUAAGCGAGAAUUUAGGGUAAGAGAAUAAUUUAUUAGACGAACUAUCUAGAUCAUUAUUUAGAAAACCUUCAUCAGUUACAUCGCUAUUUGUGAAGUGCAUACCAGUUAUGUGUAAUCUAAACAGGAUAGACCUUCGAAUAAGUGACCUUAAUUCCAAAUUCACACAGAAUAGGGGUAAGGCAAAAUUUUCACAGAUUCCAAGUCUAUAACAUACUAAUUACAUAUAGCCUUAGUGUAUCCACUUAGCAACUAUCAACUUAGUAAUGGAGAUCCCGUUUUAGUUCUCAAGUAUAAAGUACUUAUAGUAACACCAAAUACUCCUAUAGUAUUUUAAAUUUUAAUGUUAUGUUCUAUUGUUCUCAUUGUGAAAGACCCUGUAUAGUGGUUUGGUCUAGGCAUAGUCGUAGAUAGCAGUAGAUAUGUAAUUGUUUGUGAAUUGUAUUGUGUUUACGGUCAGAAUGGGUUUACGGCCGUAAACUCUUUACGGCCGUAAACACCUUACGGUCAUUAGUCAGGGCUAUAAAUAUCGAGUUGUGUCAGUCAUUGUGGGUAGUUGAUGCUUUCGUAUACUUCCAAGUUGUAUCAGACGUUUUAUAGUAUUAAAGCGUAUGCAAGCUUGGACUUUUGCUUUAUAUUCGUCUAUCAAUACCAGUGUCAAAGGCGUUCAACAGCUGCGUUUUCAACUAAAUCGACAUUUAUAGCAGUAUAGAGGGAUUUAUUUCAGUCGAAAUCAAAGUUUCUAGAAGUUUACGGCCUGAGUUUACGGCCGUAAACUCCUCUUCACGGUCACAAUUGCAUUCCUCGAAAACAAUAGUUUCUCACAUCAUUCAAGCCUUCGUAAUCACAUAUUGGUUCUGGAUUUAAUUGAGUUGUUUUUAAAAUAAAAAAAAAAUAAAAAAAAUAAAAAAAUCGAACUUUUUAUUUGAAUUUCAUUGACCGUAAACUCAAGCAUUCACGAAAAAUUGAUUUUCUGUUAAUCGAAAAUUACACCAUUAUUUUUCGGAGUUUAAAUUAACAAGUAUACUUGGACCGUAAACUCGAAUUUUUGGCCUAAGGUUUACGGCCUACGAGUUUACGGCUUAAGAGUUUACGGCUAAUUUACGGUAUAAAACAGUUUACGGCCGUAAGUUUACGACCUAGUGUUUACGGCCUAGUGUUUACGGCCUAAGAUUUCACAGCAAAAUAAAUUUACAGCCUUAAAAUUUUCUAGUAAUAAUUUUUAAAAUAUGGAUACACAAAAUUCAACUCAAUACCAAGAGCUUGAUGCUGUGAUGGGUACAACCACGCGAAUUCCAAGACUUAUGUCUACUGAUGGUUUCCCCGAGUGGAAAUAUAGAAUUGAGAAGUAUAUAAAGAUGAAAGACUUCAAGAUUUGGAAAUGUGUUUUAAAGGAUCCAGUCAGAAUCACCACUACAGUUGGGGGAAAGGUGGUCGACAAGGCAAUUGAAAACUACACUGAUGAAGACUUUGAGAGUGUGGAAGAACAAGAAAAGGCAUUGGCCAUUUUGACUAUGGCUUUAUCUCCAGACAUUGCUCAAGGAUUCAGAGAGUAUACUUCUGCCAAAGCUCUGUGGGAAGCUCUCAUUGAAGUAUAUGAGGGAAAUGAAGACAUGCGGGAAAGUCGCCAAGAUAUGCUGAGACAACGCUUCAAUAUGUUUAAUUAUGUUCCCGGAGAGACUCUCGAAGCUCAACUGCAGAGAUUUACAACUCUCAACACUGAGAUGACUGUGGCAGGGAUUUUCUAUACAAAGUCAGAAAUUAAUAAGAAGCUACUAAAUGCACUCCCAAAAUCUUGGGACAUGAAUGUAGCAGUAAUCAAGAAGACUAAGGAUCUUAAUCGCCUUUCCCUAGCUGAAGUGAUGGCUGUCAUCAAAGCGUGUGAUAUUGAUGACAAGCAGCGAGAGAUCAAUCAUGUGAACUCCUACUCAGCUGCCAAUCUUGGCAUUUCAGCUAAUAAUGCUCUCUCUUCUUUCUCCUAUACUCCUGCAGGUUCAUCUUCCUCUGCACCGGUCAUUCCUUACCCACAAGGCCAGCCUAUUACAUCUACCCAAAAUGUUUCAUCCUCUAAUGUGGCUUCUUCACCAAAGGGAAAGGAGGGUGAUGAAAACCUUGUCUUUGCAGCAGGGCUUGUGAAUUGCUACAAUGCUCUUGUAGCUGGGGAACUUCUUCCUCAAUUGUCAUUUGCAGAUCUUGAUCAAAUCCAUCCAGAGGACGUUGAGGAAAUGGACAUCACAUGGCAAAUUGCCAUGGCUGUAUUUAGGGAAAAAUAGUUUGCCAAAAAGAAAGGGAAGAAUAAUUGGGGAAUGAAUGCUGACAAGAAGGUUGGAUUCAACAAAGGAAAGCUUCAAUGUUUCAAUUGCCACGAGCCAGUGCAUUUUGCUCGUGAUUACCCACACCCUGAUAGGAGGGUUAAUAAUGACAGAACAAUGGUUGCAGUUGGGAACAAUCGAAGCAGUGGUCAAGCAAACAAUGAAAAGGCUAUGGUUGCACAAUCAUUUGACUGGGAUGAUCAAAUACAAGCUCUAAAUUUGUCUGGACCAGAAAAUGCUCAUCUAGCACAAGUGAGGAAUGACGCUCAAGCAAGGACUGCAGCAGCUGAAGACAACAUGAUGAAACUUCAAUUUGGCUUGAUGGUAUCCUCCUCCCAUGAACCUAACUCAUACAAGGUAAGUCUUCCAUCAUGUUCUAAGGCUUGUAUAGAUUAUGUGAAAACUUUACAGGAUAAAAUUGAGACAUUAGGUAAUGAAGUAGAAAAUCUUAGGAUUCUUCGUGAACUCAAUGAUAAAUUAAUAAGAGACGUAGAAGACCUUAGAUAUGAAGGGUAUCGACUUCGAAAAGGACAAAAACCACUUAAAGCUCAACUAGAAUCAAAAAUUAAAGACUUUAGGAGACUCCAGGAAGACUACAGCAACAAAUGUGAAAAUUACAAUUAUGUAGUCAAACAAAAUGCUGAGCUUGUAGCUGAAGUUGAAUCCUUGAAAGGAAACUUUGAGACCGCCAAACUUGAUGUCAGAAAAUAUGAUUUCUCAAGUGAGGUGGUUGCAAAUAUGAUAGACCAAAGUAUGCAGUUUAAAAGAAAUCAAUCAAAAGGUCUAGGGUAUAAUCAUGUACCUCCUCCUUUCAAUCAUUCAUACGUGUCCAAGCCUUUGUCCAAAGAAGAGAUUGCCAAUGAAUCAUUUAUGAUUUAUGGCAAGCCCUCCGGUUUUGUUUCGGGAGGAUUUAUUAAUGUUGAAAGUACUAACAUUUCUACUUCUCCUGCAGAUCAAUCCUUGAAUCAGUCAAAGCACAAAGUUGAAGGAUGUGUUUCUGAAAAUAAAAUCGAGUCCAAACCUGAAGCUUUUGUUUUAAAUAAAGACAAUUCUUUGUUAAAUGUUUUGAGUGACAAUUUUUCUUGUGGUGUUUUAAAUUAUUCUGAUACAGUAGCUGCUAUCUCUGAUACAGUUUUGAAUGUUUCUGAUAUGUCUGAUAAAUCUUUGAACACUUUGGUUGACAAUUUAAACGUCUGUGAUAAAAAUGUUAACAUACCAUUAGUCUCACAACCCUCAAUAAAUACAGCACCCUCACUUGCCUCACAACUUGAUAAUACUGCAUGUUUUUGUGAGACAAGCAAGGGUGUUUGUGGGGAAAACAAAUCUGACAAAUGCAGCACAAGUUCUAACAAUAACUAUCAGAUUUGUUUUAAUUGUGGCACUAAGGGUCAUAUUGCUAGAAAUUGUCUUAAUCGAAUGUUUGUGAGUUAUAAUUUUCCAAGAGGUGAGAACGAAUUCAGAGGAAGAUCUUUAAAUAGAAAUUCCUCUAGAAGUCGCUCUCGAAAUGAUUAUUGGGUAGAUAAAAGAAAUAGAAAAAGGGACAUUUUUCAUAGUCAUAAAAGGUUUUUUAAUCACCUUGUUGACUGAAUUUUUCAUAGUCACGCAAAGGUCAAGCUCAUCCCAAAGCAAUAAUGGAUCUUCAAUCAAUUCUGGUAGAAGUAACACAUGCUUUAAGCANNNNNNNNNNNNNNNNNNNNNNNNNNNNNNNNNNNNNNNNNNNNNNNNNNNNNNNNNNNNNNNNNNNNNNNNNNNNNNNNNNNNNNNNNNNNNNNNNNNNUAGGUUGAUCAUCAAUCAGCAGCGCGUUUCGAACAAAGCUUUCAUUGAUUUCGAUAUCUCGUCCUUGCACCUUCGCCGCGACAGUGAAAUUUCCAUCAUCAUCCAUCUACGUCCUUGCCGUCUCCCAAAAUUCACGAACGAUGUUCUGAUAGAUCACCGGAUUGACUGUCAACGCUGAUGCAACAUAGCAUUCACGCAACCUGUGAACCAUUGAAAGCAUAUCGGAAUGAACGACAGGUGGAUCAGCAAGAACUAUCGCCAGAUUGUGCAUGUCUGCAAACUUGAGAUUUGCCAUCUUCCUGCACUCAAACACAGUUGUAAGAAACCGACACCAACAAUAAAACUUAUUUUGACCAAAAAUAUGACAAUAAAAUUAUGAUCAAAAUAAAAAUUAUUUAUUAAUGAUGUAUGUUUACUACUCUUCCAAAAAAUUAAAAAUUAAACCUUUUGACAAUUUUGGUUCUUGGGCCGUAAACUCUAGUUUACGGCCUAAGGAAACCUUUAAAAAAAACGGUUUGGUUGAUGGUUUAAGAUAGGAAAACAUGCAAUCGUUACCCAGUUAAAAUAACAGCUUGAAUCGACAAUUGUUCUUGGGCCGUAAACUCUAGUUUACGGCCUAGAAAUUACUUCGAAAACACGAUGCACAAUUAUCAUAGAGGUCUUUCAAACAAUCCAGAAUAAUUACACUCGAAUUCACGGGUUGUAAACUGGGAGUUUACGGCCUAUGAAUGUCUACACCGAAAAGAGGCUUAAAAUUGAUCUUUCUCUUUGAAAUGACGAACGGAAAGCACAUAGUCGUGAACAUAACGAGAAAUAGCAUCAUAAUAAAAUAGUUUCGAAUCCAAAUCAUCAAGUUUCAGAGUUUACGGCCUAAGCUUACUGCCGUAAACUCCUCAACUUGGGUUUAUUUAAUUUUUAAACACAAUGCGAUGUGAUUCCGUGAAACAAAAAAUAUAUUCGAGAUCUACACGAUGCUACCUUCACGAUGAUAUACUCGUUUUUCUGAAAAUCGAAGAAAUUUUUUUUGACACCUUGAGAANCUUUUGGGAGAGGUUUGCGGCCGGAAACUGUUGAGUGGGGAGAUUCCGGCCGUGAACACCCCAUUUUUACCUUUCCACCUUUCUUACCCUCCUGCCUGAUAGCUAUCCAGUCUUUCUAAUUUUUCGCCAAUUAAUUAAAUUUUUUUUUUUGAGGAUUAAUUUAAUUUUUAAAAAAAAACUUUUAAAAUAAAAACUAACACACCAUAAUUUUAAAUGCUAGAAAAAUAAAAGUAAAAUAAAAUUAACAUAAAAUUUGAAGUUGUAAAAGUUAAAUAAAAAUAAAAAUAAAAGUAAAAAUUAAAAUAAAAAUAAAAUUAAAAAUAAAAUAGAAUAAAAAUCAACGUCAAGGAAAUUAAGAGACACUUUAACUACCACUUCUUUUGUGAUGCUUGGAUCAAAGUUAUNNNNNNNNNNNNNNNNNNNNNNNNNNNNNNNNNNNNNNNNNNNNNNNNNNNNNNNNNNNNNNNNNNNNNNNNNNNNNNNNNNNNNNNNNNNNNNNNNNNNACAGAUGCAAGGAUUUGGGAAGAUGGAGCUCGUUGAAGACUCAUCAUUCUUUUUGAUUUAUGCUUUAGUGUUUAUCAAAAUUUAACAGAACACAUUUGUAUAAUAAUUAUAUUAUUAAUGCAAUGGAUGAUGUUGUUGCUUGUUUACUACUUUACAUUGUUGUUGAUAUUAUACAUGACGUCCUCCNNNNNNNNNCUUUCAUGGUUUUGGGGUGUGACAGAUUGGUAUCAGAGCAUUGUUUAUAGUGAAUUAAGUAUAUCAACCCAUAAAAGAUAUACUAACUAUAAAUACAUAAGGGAUUAAAAAUACUCUGACCAAGAGUUUAUACUUUAAAUAAUAAAAUAUUUAAGUAAGUAUACGUGCUGCAUUCAUACUAAAAUCAGUGUCACUAGGACAGUACAAAAGAAUUACGAUUGUUGGGCAAUAUAGGUGGGCUUAGAGACAUAUGGUCAAAACUGGGAAGAUAUAGCGUGAUCACCUAUAUUAUCUGAGGGUUGACUAGCAUGUGCCUAAGUUUAAUUGUGUGGUUGCAACAAUGCUAAAAUCUUACCAACCCUACCACAAUGUGUAAAGUCCCGAAAAAUAGAUCUACCAAUGAUCAAAGAUAAAAACAGAUGCAAACACGAAUUAAUAGACGAAUAUAAAGCAAAAGGCCAAGCUUACAUACGCUUUAAUACUAUAAAAUGUCUGAUACAACUUGGAAGUAUACGAAAGCAUCAACUACCCACAAUGACUGACACAACUCGAUAUUUAUAGCCCUGACUAAUGACCGUAAGGUGUUUAUGGCCGUAAAGAGUUUACGGCCGUAAACCCAUUCUGACCGUAAACACAAUACAAUUCACGAACAAUUACAUAUCUACUGCUAUCUACGACUAUGCCUAGACCAAACCAUUGUACAGGGUCUUUCAAUCUCCCCCUUGGUUUGGACUAGCUCGGCCCCAUUCCUUUCUUUACCAGCAUGACAUCCAUUUGGCCCAUAGCGCCAUUCCACAUCUUCUUGCUCAAAAUUUCAGCAACCAUCCUGGUAUACGCCUUGGCUCCCUACUCAUAGAUAUCUUCAACCACUUUAAUCUGAAAAUUGCUCAGAUAAUGAAUAUCCCAUUUCCUGAACUGCAGUAGGUCUCUUCGAUCAUACAACCGUAUGCACCCAUUCUUGCGCUUAAUGACUGCACCACAAGUACUCUCAUCAUAAACCCAACACUCCAUAGAACCGAGCGAUCCAUCUUUAUAACCUUGAACAAUGGGAAAUUGUUUAACUUGAGUCGUGGGUGGCCACAUAAUCAAUUGUAGAGGUUUAUCAGAAGAGGCUUCAAACACAUCUGGAUGUUCCAGAAUGACUGACUCAGCAGUUGGCGUUGUAGGAAAUCCCUUCUUUACUUUCUCAUCUAGAAAGAAUUUGAACUGCGAAACCUGAGGAUUGUUUAAUAGAUUGAUAAAAGGAGCUUGUGAUAACUCCGCAAGAUCAACCCUUGUCAAUGAACUAAAAGCACGAACAUCCUUAUACAACUCUGAAUUACCGCUCUUGCGAAUAAUAAUCCAAAGUCGAAGAGGAUCGUGAAAUCCCCAAGCAGCUACACCCGAUCGAUCUCCAAAAGUAUCUCUGAACCGAACAAUUUCAAGAUCAGUGACAGUGAUCAAGGAUUCCCCUUUAGAAUUGCUCUGAGUAACAUUUCACUUGAAUAAUAACUGCCCCCUUUCAGCAUCAUCUUCUUGAUUUUUCCGAAUGAUCUCUUGAAUAUGAGAAGCCAUAGGAGGAACAGCUCCAAUACGUUCAGCAGAAACAGAAGAUUGACCAACUGGCACAUCUACUGGAUAUGCUUGCACAUGUAAAUUUAUUCUUUNNNNNNNNNNNNNNNNNNNNNNNNNNNNNNNNNNNNNNNNNNNNNNNNNNNNNNNNNNNNNNNNNNNNNNNNNNNNNNNNNNNNNNNNNNNNNNNNNNNNGGACUCAUUAAGCAAAACCGAAGAGGAAAAGUUGUCUUUCGAGGGUGUUAUCCAUUGGAAAAAUUCGAAAAGUUUACAGAAUUGGAUGAGACGACAGUGUCAUACGAAUCAUCAGAACCAACUUCUUCUGAGAAAACGUCUACAGAGGGUUCGACUCCAGCAAACAUUGUGAUAGAUGUGACUGAAGAUAAUGAAGAUUCACCAACUCAGAGAGAUCAAAGUGCUUCUAGUCAUGAACAUGAGUCGAAUGAAAGACAGGAUGAAAGGGAAAUAGGUACUGGUGAUGAUGGACAUGACUCAUUUGAAGAUCUUGAUCUUACGGGGUUUGAUAAUGAUGAUAUUGCGGCUUCUUUAGCUAGUAGCGCUAAUCUUGUGUCCAACGAGAUAUUUGACACGAUUUUUCAAAAUGUCGAUGAUAGUGUUUUGCCGUCAACUGAGAUGAGGAAAUCGAGCGAAACUCUUACUCCAACUUCUGAGCAGAUGGUGUCAACUUCAAUUCCAAUGGAGGUACUUAUGGGAUGUUCCCCUCCCGUGUCUAUUUCUCCUACAUCUGAACCAUUUGUUAGUGUAAUACCUCCACAGGCUGACCAACCUCAAUCAAAGAGGAGAAGACUUGAUGAAAGACAAUCCGAGCUAAUUACUAGUUUGGUCAGUGGUCUUCCUACACCACCAAUUACUACUGCUACUACACGACUUUCCGCAACAAAGAUGUUUGCAACUGGACCUAGUUCAGUUUUUGAUGUUGGUGGCCCUUCAGCUCCGCCUGGUUUUCCUGUUCCAAGAUUCAAUAGGGAUGCCGCUUCUGAGAGACUAGCUUUGCAUAUGGCAGAAGAACAGCUUCGUUCGCCUAGUCCUCAAGGAAAGAACAUUUCUAUGAACGAAGGGGGUGCUCCUGAUGAUGAUCCAUCUGUUGAUAGUUUACGAAAGGAGAUCUCUGUAUUAAGUCAGAAGAACAUAGAGCUUGACAUUCAAGUAGCUGAACUUCGUGCUCAGAACAUUGAGCUUCGUACUCAAGUGUCUAAACUUCAGUCAGAUAGAACUUAUCUUGGCGGACAACUCGCAGAAGUUAAAAGGGAUAGGAAAGUAAAAAAUAAGCAGAUUUCUGACCUUCAAGAACAUUUCAAUCUGCUGACUUCAAGCUACUUCGAAUUGAAAAAGAAACUGGAGGAUGAUUUUGGUGAGAAGUAUAAAACAAGCGUAGAAGAACAAAGAAUAAAUUUACAUGUGCAAGCAUAUCCAGUAGAUGUGCCAGCUGGUCAAUCUUCUGGUUCUGCUGAACGUAUUGGAGCUGUUCCUCCUAUGGCUUCUCAUAUUCAAGAGAUCAUUCGGAAAAAUCAAGAAGAUGAUACUGAAAGGGGGCAGUUAUUAUUCAAGCGAAAUGUUACUCAGAGCAAUUCUAAAGGGGAAUCCUUGAUCACUGUCACUGAUCUUGAAAUUGUUCGGUUCAGAGAUACUUUUGGAGAUCGAUCGGGUGUAGCUGCUUGGGGAUUUCACGAUCCUCUUCGACUUUGGAUUAUUAUUCGCAAGAGCGGUAAUUCAGAGUUGUAUAAGGAUGUUCGUGCUUUUAGUUCAUUGACAAGGGUUGAUCUUGCGGAGUUAUCACAAGCUCCUUUUAUCAAUCUAUUAAACAAUCCUCAGGUUUCGCAGUUCAAAUUCUUUCUAGAUGAGCAAGUAAAGAAGGGAUUUCCUACAAUGCCAACUGCUGAGUCAGUCAUUCUGGAACAUCCAGAUGUGUUUGAAGCUUCUUCUGAUAAACCUCUACAGUUGGUUAUGUGGCCGCCCACGACUCAAGUUAAACAAUUUCCCAUUGUUCAAGGUUAUAAAGAUGGAUCGCUCGGUUCUAUGGAGUGCUGGGUUUAUGAUGAAANNNNNNNNNNNNNNNNNNNNNNNNNNNNNNNNNNNNNNNNNNNNNNNNNNNNNNNNNNNNNNNNNNNNNNNNNNNNNNNNNNNNNNNNNNNNNNNNNNNNNNNNNNNNNNNNNNNNNNNNNNNNNNNNNNNNNNNNNNNNNNNNNNNNNNNNNNNNNNNNNNNNNNNNNNNNNNNNNNNNNNNNNNNNNNNNNNNNNNNNNNNNNNNNNNNNNNNNNNNNNNNNNNNNNNNNNNNNNNNNNNNNNNNNNNNNNNNNNNNNNNNNNNNNNNNNNNNNNNNNNNNNNNNNNNNNNNNNNNNNNNNNNNNNNNNNNNNNNNNNNNNNNNNNNNNNNNNNNNNNNNNNNNNNNNNNNNNNNNNNNNNNNNNNNNNNNNNNNNNNNNNNNNNNNNNNNNNNNNNNNNNNNNNNNNNNNNNNNNNNNNNNNNNNNNNNNNNNNNNNNNNNNNNNNNNNNNNNNNNNNNNNNNNNNNNNNNNNNNNNNNNNNNNNNNNNNNNNNNNNNNNNNNNNNNNNNNNNNNNNNNNNNNNNNNNNNNNNNNNNNNNNNNNNNNNNNNNNNNNNNNNNNNNNNNNNNNNNNNNNNNNNNNNNNNNNNNNNNNNNNNNNNNNNNNNNNNNNNNNNNNNNNNNNNNNNNNNNNNNNNNNNNNNNNNNNNNNNNNNNNNNNNNNNNNNNNNNNNNNNNNNNNNNNNNNNNNNNNNNNNNNNNNNNNNNNNNNNNNNNNNNNNNNNNNNNNNNNNNNNNNNNNNNNNNNNNNNNNNNNNNNNNNNNNNNNNNNNNNNNNNNNNNNNNNNNNNNNNNNNNNNNNNNNNNNNNNNNNNNNNNNNNNNNNNNNNNNNNNNNNNNNNNNNNNNNNNNNNNNNNNNNNNNNNNNNNNNNNNNNNNNNNNNNNNNNNNNNNNNNNNNNNNNNNNNNNNNNNNNNNNNNNNNNNNNNNNNNNNNNNNNNNNNNNNNNNNNNNNNNNNNNNNNNNNNNNNNNNNNNNNNNNNNNNNNNNNNNNNNNNNNNNNNNNNNNNNNNNNNNNNNNNNNNNNNNNNNNNNNNNNNNNNNNNNNNNNNNNNNNNNNNNNNNNNNNNNNNNNNNNNNNNNNNNNNNNNNNNNNNNNNNNNNNNNNNNNNNNNNNNNNNNNNNNNNNNNNNNNNNNNNNNNNNNNNNNNNNNNNNNNNNNNNNNNNNNNNNNNNNNNNNNNNNNNNNNNNNNNNNNNNNNNNNNNNNNNNNNNNNNNNNNNNNNNNNNNNNNNNNNNNNNNNNNNNNNNNNNNNNNNNNNNNNNNNNNNNNNNNNNNNNNNNNNNNNNNNNNNNNNNNNNNNNNNNNNNNNNNNNNNNNNNNNNNNNNNNNNNNNNNNNNNNNNNNNNNNNNNNNNNNNNNNNNNNNNNNNNNNNNNNNNNNNNNNNNNNNNNNNNNNNNNNNNNNNNNNNNNNNNNNNNNNNNNNNNNNNNNNNNNNNNNNNNNNNNNNNNNNNNNNNNNNNNNNNNNNNNNNNNNNNNNNNNNNNNNNNNNNNNNNNNNNNNNNNNNNNNNNNNNNNNNNNNNNNNNNNNNNNNNNNNNNNNNNNNNNNNNNNNNNNNNNNNNNNNNNNNNNNNNNNNNNNNNNNNNNNNNNNNNNNNNNNNNNNNNNNNNNNNNNNNNNNNNNNNNNNNNNNNNNNNNNNNNNNNNNNNNNNNNNNNNNNNNNNNNNNNNNNNNNNNNNNNNNNNNNNNNNNNNNNNNNNNNNNNNNNNNNNNNNNNNNNNNNNNNNNNNNNNNNNNNNNNNNNNNNNNNNNNNNNNNNNNNNNNNNNNNNNNNNNNNNNNNNNNNNNNNNNNNNNNNNNNNNNNNNNNNNNNNNNNNNNNNNNNNNNNNNNNNNNNNNNNNNNNNNNNNNNNNNNNNNNNNNNNNNNNNNNNNNNNNNNNNNNNNNNNNNNNNNNNNNNNNNNNNNNNNNNNNNNNNNNNNNNNNNNNNNNNNNNNNNNNNNNNNNNNNNNNNNNNNNNNNNNNNNNNNNNNNNNNNNNNNNNNNNNNNNNNNNNNNNNNNNNNNNNNNNNNNNNNNNNNNNNNNNNNNNNNNNNNNNNNNNNNNNNNNNNNNNNNNNNNNNNNNNNNNNNNNNNNNNNNNNNNNNNNNNNNNNNNNNNNNNNNNNNNNNNNNNNNNNNNNNNNNNNNNNNNNNNNNNNNNNNNNNNNNNNNNNNNNNNNNNNNNNNNNNNNNNNNNNNNNNNNNNNNNNNNNNNNNNNNNNNNNNNNNNNNNNNNNNNNNNNNNNNNNNNNNNNNNNNNNNNNNNNNNNNNNNNNNNNNNNNNNNNNNNNNNNNNNNNNNNNNNNNNNNNNNNNNNNNNNNNNNNNNNNNNNNNNNNNNNNNNNNNNNNNNNNNNNNNNNNNNNNNNNNNNNNNNNNNNNNNNNNNNNNNNNNNNNNNNNNNNNNNNNNNNNNNNNNNNNNNNNNNNNNNNNNNNNNNNNNNNNNNNNNNNNNNNNNNNNNNNNNNNNNNNNNNNNNNNNNNNNNNNNNNNNNNNNNNNNNNNNNNNNNNNNNNNNNNNNNNNNNNNNNNNNNNNNNNNNNNNNNNNNNNNNNNNNNNNNNNNNNNNNNNNNNNNNNNNNNNNNNNNNNNNNNNNNNNNNNNNNNNNNNNNNNNNNNNNNNNNNNNNNNNNNNNNNNNNNNNNNNNNNNNNNNNNNNNNNNNNNNNNNNNNNNNNNNNNNNNNNNNNNNNNNNNNNNNNNNNNNNNNNNNNNNNNNNNNNNNNNNNNNNNNNNNNNNNNNNNNNNNNNNNNNNNNNNNNNNNNNNGUAAAACGGCUAAUGAGUAGCCAAUCAUUUGAAUGCUGCUUAUUAAUCACAUGUGAUUGAUAUAAUAAUUAGCAUAAUUCUACUUGUAUCCUCCCCCAUAAAACAUUUAAAAACAGUUUAAAACAUUGAUUAAGGGGUAUGAACUCACCUGUAGUGAGUGGUUCUGUUGAAAAUGUUGGAUCAGUUGCUAAGUAUCAAGUGGUGACUUGAGUACACACGCGAAUCCUAUUUAGCAUAUAUUGAAACAUAUAUGAAUAUAAUUAGUGUUAUGAACAACUAAAUAAUGAAUUGGGACCACCUUAGGGACUAGUAAACACUUAUAAUGAAGUGUUACAACCAUAUAUGAUUGUAAGAAGGGGGUAUAAGGCUUUACAAAGGAGUGNAUGAAUUGGGACCACCUUAGGGACUAGUAAACACUUAUAUUGAAGUGUUACAACCAUAUAUGAUUGUAUGAAGGGGGUAUAAGGCUUUACAAAGGAGUGUAUGGCCAAAAUACACACUAUAUGUGUGUGUGCGGCCAGGUGUGCGGCCUAGAGUGCUGCCAACACAUGUGUGCGGCCCUGUGUGCUGCCAGAUGGUGUGUGCUGCCAUGUGUGCGGCCAGAUGGUGUUCUUGGUGUUCUUGGUGUUCUUGGUACCUUUUAUGAAGAUCUUCAAGGAGAAUGGAUGAUACUUGAGAGGAUUUUCGAGUUCUAUGCUUGAAGUAGUGAAAGAAGUGUUCAAAAAUGACAAAGUGUGGUAUAUAUAGGUGGAGUGUGCGGUUGGGAAGGGUGUGAGGCCGCAAACACAUGUGUGUGGCCGCACACUCAAGUGUGUGGCCGCACACUCCAUGUGUUGGAGUGUUUGGCCUCUUUUUGAUUCCUACACUUUGAGUUAACCCAUUUCCACACUCCAACCUUGAUUAUAACACAUUUAGAACACUCCAAUAGACCCCAAAUGGUACUACAAGAUAGCAAAACAAGUCUAUUAUUGAUAAGAAAUGAAGAAUGCGAGCUAGAAAUUUUCGGGUUGUCACAAUACAUAUCUGUCACACUGAUCAUCAAUCAUAGAAUUCUCUUGUAACUAGAGUACUAACCUAGCAGGUCACUAACAUACCAAUCCCUACACAUCAUAAGAGCAUAACAUACCAUCUACCCUGAUUCUGAUCUAACAGAUCAUAACCACAUGUAGCAUACCAAAACAAUAACAACUAAAGGGUUGGCCUUGGUGCCAUAGACCCUAUCGAUGUAGUGAGGAUAACUUACCUCGCAGAUGUCGACACGAACGGUAAACUCCAACCCUCGGAUCACUUGACACAGGUUCCACCACCUAUCAUCAUAGCAUAACAUACGCAUAAGUCCUUAACCUUAUAAGGUACUCCAUAACCCACUAGUCAACUCCUGGUCAAAGUCAAAGUCCUCAGUCAAGGUCAACAGUCCAUGAUAACCUUAACUCGCCGAGUUCGUUGAUGUACAUUCCAGCUCGCCGAGUCAUCGGAGUAACUCGUCGAGUUCCUUUGAUUCUCAAUCAAACUUAAGGUCACCCGUCGAGUUCCUCCCUUGCAACUCGACAGAUACAUGCUCAUACGUAUCCUAGAGAAAAUCCAUCCAACUCGCCGAGUUGUUCUUCAACUCGUCGAGUCUUAUGACGAUCUUCAUCGGACUCGCCGAGUUGUUCAUCCAACUCAUUGAGUCCACGGCCAUCUUCAUGUGACUUGCUGAGUCACCUAGCGACUCGUCGAGUCCAUUCAGUCCUUUUUCUCCGUACAUACAUAUUUUGAGCCAUGCAACGGCUCCAACUCAUAGAUCCAAGCUUCUAGGGCAUGCUUAUCACGUAAAGUUGCAAACUUUACGUACAUGCUAAUGGGUUUUGGUCAUAAGACAUCCUAUGUGCUCAUACAAACCCUAAUGCUUGGAUCUAGGUUUCUCUAUUGUACAUGCUUUGAAUCCAAGACUAUAAACCCUAAUUCUAGCAUAUGGAAAUCAAUAUUAACAUAUAAUUAGGUUUAAGAUAUUACCUUGAGUGUUAUGUAGCAAUAACAAUCCCAAUUCCUCCUUGAAUUGACUUUGGAAGGCUUAGAGUCACAAGUGGCACUCCUCUAAUGGCUUAUAAACACCAUAAGCAAGAGGAUGAAGAGGAGAGUGGAUGGCGGCUACCAAAACUCGUGUGAAAACCCUAGCAAGAAGCUUGUCCACGUUUUUUGUCCUUAAGGGAUCUAUAUAUAGUGAGGCAAUUCGGGUUAUCUAACAAGGAAACCCUAAUUUGGAUGCUUAAGCCCUAAGCAACCCAUGGAGCCCUUUUCUCAAGGCCUUGGACGAUUUCAUAUGGGAUUCCCCCAUAGAAUUCGUCCACCUUAUAAUAAAAGGCAAUCCAUGGCCCAAAUUGCAAUUAUCUUAUAAUUACAAUUCCAGUCCCUUAAGUUUAAUUAAUCUCUUUUAGUCACAAAACUAAUUACCAAUUAAUUAUUGACUAAUAUUAAUUAAACAAUAUGAUUUCUCCUUUAAUAUAUUAUUCUCAUAAUAUAUUAAUAAAUCAUAUUUAAUCCUUUCUCUCCAUAAUUCAUCCUAUCAAGUUGCUUUGGUGAAGGCAACCCAAAAGGACCAUGCACCAUCGGGUCAAGUACAUACCAAAAUAGUUAUGGACUUAGACACUAAUCCAACAGUCUCCCACUUGGAUAAGUCUAAUAACUAUUAUGCGUAUGACUUCAGAUCCUGAUCUGCAAUCGUAGCUUUCCAAAGCCGCUGUCAACUCUGAUCCUAUCAGAUACGCGUGUCCUUAGAUAAGGGAUCAUAUAUUCCUCCAUUCUAGAUAUCAUAUGAGAUAUGAUUUCAAAUCAUUCUCUUUGUACUAUAUCUCGAUUCCCGAUUUAUGACGACUGACUAAUUGAACAAAUCAAAUUAGCCCUAGCCCGGCCGAGCAUUUACGUUUGUCAUCACAAAAUCAUCGAGGGGCCCAAAGAUAUCGCUUUUAUCCUACUUUGGAUAAAAGGAACGGAUAAACUUUGAUACAAUGCUUGCUUGCACUCACUCACCGAAUCACACACAACAAUAUGUUUUAUAACACCAAGUUACUAGUGCGUUUACAUAUUAUCAAUGUGCAACCGAUUUGCAAGAUACAACUCACACAUCUCGGUUUCAAGAAUAUAAGAUGUUAUCGUCUCACCAAUCACUCGUGAUACAAUUCAUGGAGUGAUCCAAGUGAGCGUGGGUUUAAUCCAAUGCUCAAAUCAUAUUCAUAAGCACUCAUGAACGUUGCAGCAAACAUUUGCUUAUGUCUAAUACUCUUUAGACAAUCCACACACCAAUUCACGACAGUCUUCAUUCAUAUCUACUUCCAACAUAUGAACGACUGUGGCCCGUUCGAAUAAUUCGAUUAUUCUUAAUAAACUCAAUUAUUCUGGAAGUCAAAACAUGCAAAUGUGAAACACAAGAAUAAUACUAAUCCCAUAUGGCCUCAAACCUUUGAGUAUAAAUAAAACACCUUUUAUUUAUCACCAUAUCGAUUACUCAUUAUUUGUCGUUUCGGGUAAUCAACUUCUUACUUGAAUUAUUACACUUGUCCCAUGCUCCUAGCAUGCACACAAUGUUUACCUAUGGUUCUUACUUUGUGAAAUAGAUCAAAUUGAACACAUUUCCAAUCAUUCUCAUUUCACAACUCCAAAUCCUUUUUCAUAAGUGUAAGAAUAUCAAAUUCUUGCCACUUAUAGAAUAUGCUAGAUUCUAACAUUUUAUGCAAUGAUCCUUUCGUAAUGUCACUGCACCAAAGUCACAAAGACUAUUGCCAAUGAUAUUACAAAGUCCUCUAUCGGAGAUUGUUACAAGACAAUUCCAUAGACGUGAUGUCUCUCACUCAAAGUACAUUCUUUGAACAUCCUUUUGCAUAGAAGUUUCUAAUCUAGUCAUAGAUUUCUCAAUAUUCAAUUCCCAAUAUGGACACACUUCCAUAUGUUCCAUAUGACAACUCAUUCUUAAUAGAAUCUUAUCUAUUCGUAAUGAUGUCGAUAUGGUCCAUCCAAUAUGGAAACAUUUCCAUAUUUUCCAAUACUAUACUUCCAACUACUCACAAGCGACCAAUCCUCGUCGAACUUUGGAUUGUCCUUUGAUAGUUGUUUAAUUAUUUUAGUCAAAACCGAUUCUAGUCCUUUUUCCCUCUAAAUGCGCUAGACAUUUGGAAAAUUUUAGAAUGGUCAAACAUUAAAGCAUUUGCAAUCGAUCCUAUACCCGAAGCGUAUGGGACACGACGCAUAAUGUUUUAUUUGCUAUGUUCUCAAAAUUCGAAUUGUGAAGAGGGAUGCCGUAAUCAUAAUCGAAAUUUUAAGAACACACUAUGUACCUUUGACUAAAUUUAUUAACAUUUCUCAACCUAAUCCUUUAGAUUUGAAAUGAAGCAUAAUAUUCUCUCCCUUAAUUAUAGCAAAACAACUUUUCAACUCUUACAACUUUGCAAAGUAUGACUCUUGUUUUCUAUAAUUAAUAUUGCUAACCUUGCAAUACUUUCCUUAAUAAUCAUACAAUCAUAACAUUUAUGCUCCCACUAUCAUGAUGAUUAUUAUAAAACAUAACACUUAUGCUCCCACUAGCUUCGACAUGUAUUCAUAAACAUCUUAACUUUCAGAAAACAAUACUUAUUGAAUUUCUUAAGUUCAUGUUUCUAAUACUUAGUGCUUUGAUAAUCCUUUAUCAAUGCUUCUUGAACUUAUACACCUUUGCCUUCGAUAGUUCAUAUGUGUGUCUAAACAAUUAAGACUAAUUGCCAAACCUCACAAUUCAAAUUAUGGAAAGGGAUGCCGUAACCAUAAUUGAAUUUGAGAAUGCAAUUUUACAAUCACUAUCUUCUUAAAAUCUCUCUUAGUGAAAGCAUUUCUUCACAAUCAUUUUCAUGAAGGAGGAAAUCUUAUGACACUUAGAUUUGAGCGGUGUAUGUGUUCCUAUCCAUGUGAAUUUGUUAAAACCAAAGUUUACGACAAAUUCAAACUCAUAUGGACCGAACUUUCUUAAUCUUGAUUUCUUGCCUUAUGGUAGCACAGCUGCCCACCAUGUCUUCCAAGUAGUUAAGCAGCUCACCUUUUCCUAUCAAUGUACCUUUCAUUGAUUAAGGUGCUUUGCCUUUUAUGCGUUCAAAAUGAGAACUCAUAGAACUCACAUGCAUAAUUAACUCAAUUGGAACAACACAUAAACAAAAUAAUGUCAACACGAUAGGUUGUAAACCUCAACUCGUGUGCUAGUGAUGAUCGAUAAGGUUUAUUUGAUUUGUUCUUGAAACCUUUCAAGACCAUUAAGACUCCCACUUACUCCUUGUCAUAUAAUAUUCUCUUGUCAAUAAACAUUUUUUGACAAAAAAAUAUUCAAGAGUUAGUGUAGCUUUUAUCAAAACACUUCAUAAAUUGGUCCUAGUUGGUCUUUGUCUUAUCCAAGACAUCACAACUUUCCACAUUUGAUGAAUGUUAUAAACCUUUUUAAUACUUUUCACUCAAUGUCACAAUCUUAACUUUAAGACUUGUUAUUGGAACGAAGUAUGAUUGACUUCUUGAUUUAACCAUUUCUUCAAUUCUUGAUUCCUCUUCUUAGACAUACAAUUGUACUAAGACUCACUUAGAGGAUCAAUUGAGAUAUGGUUCUUAAUCAUUAAGACCUAUCAUAAAGCAUAAAAGGUACUCUCCCUUCUUCUUAGAAUGGAGAAACUUUUAUCUUUCUGCCUACUUGAUUCUUCUUAUUCGUUCUGCUAUUGAUUUAAACUUUUUCAAUCAAUUCAGAAUUACACUUAAUCUUGUAAGUAUAAUCAUAUUUACUAAACCUUUAGUAAAUCAUGACGAAUAUCUUUGUUACUCUUAUGGUGGACUUGAUCAACACGCAACUUUGUGUACUCGAUCUCCUAGUCCUUCACUUGACACUUUGUCAAUGAAUUAGUCUAAUUUCCAAAUAUGAAAUUUCUCAUUCAUCGUGCAACCAAGUUGCAUGAUUCCAAGUUUCUGUCCAAUUGAAACUUGGGCGAUGAGAAACUCUCCCUAUUUGGUAAAUUCUCGACUUUCCAUAAAUAACAUAAUAAGAACCAAAUCCAUUAUUGCUAAUAAUAGAAACAUUUUAACAUCAAUUUUUCAUACACGCCAUUGUAAGGAUAAAUAAAUAAAAUUUAAAAUCAAAAUUUAUUUUAUUGCGGAAAAAUUUGUCCUUACAAUGCAACUCAUUGAAAAACUUAUGCUAAUACAUCUUUCUUAGCAAUCUAAUUCUAACUCUAAGUAGUAGCUCAAGAAUCUAAUCUUCGAGAAAUGCGAUCGAAAUCCAUUCCUUCACGGUUAGAUUCUGCUCACUUCUUCCCUUAAGCUUCCUUUCUUUUCUUCGAUCCUACAAAACAUCAAUUGUAAUCUUAUCACAUUAUGUAUUAAGAAUCUAGAAUAGAAGCUUAAAAGAGUUAGUUAAUGGAUUUUACCUAUAUUAGAGCCAUACGUUUCGACUCUCCCAUCUCUUAGAUCUCUUAGGUAAAUGGGGCAGCUUCGUCUCCAAUGCCCUUUCUCUUGGCAAUAAAAGCAAAUUGACUCUUUUGGAACAUGACAUGGAACUACUUCAGACAUUGCCUUUCUCUUAUGAUCAAACUUUUCGAUCAUAGCAUGUCUUUCGUUGCCAUUGUCUAUAUCCAUAGAGGUCUUGAAGGCAGAUUCACCAAUCAACUUUGCUUUUCUAUUGCGCCAAACCAUUGCUGAUUCAGCAGCAAUAAGCAUAUAGGUGAGAUCUAUAAGGGUCACGUCGCGGUUCAUCAUAUAGUACUCUCUUACGAACUCACUAUAUGAGUUAGGAAGUGACUGAAGAACCCAAUCAACAGCCAUUUCCUCACAGACAACGGAUCCCAACAUUCUUAACCUAUCAAUGUGUGACUUCAUCCCUAGGACGUGUGCACACACCGACUUUCCUUCUUUAUGUUUACUUGCCAAAAGGGCUUGAGUGAUCUUGAACUUUUCAAGCCUUUGAACUUGUGGGUUAGGGAGAAUAAUUGGAGGAGGUGGAGGAAGUGAAGCAUGAUUUCUUGUUCCUCGAUCGAAUCGUGGAAUAUCAUCUUCAUGUGGAAAGCUUGUUCCACGGGAUUUGGGAAGACCAUAGUUGUCGAACUUUGACAUCUACAAAACGGGAGAAAACGAAUUCAAGUUAGUUGAUUGAUUGAGUCCUUAGUAAAUCACCCAAAUGAGAUACUAAGGCUAGGACCCAACACAAUAUUCUACAACUCGGGAGAGGGAUGCCGUAACCCUAAUUGCAGAAUAUUUGAAGGUAAGUGAAUGACGAUUCACUAAUUUCCACCACGAAAAACGAAAAAGAAAUUUAAGUUUUAAAUCUAUGAAAACUCCUAGAUCCUUUGAGAUUCAUUGAACUUUCAAUGGCAUGUUUAAAUCUCGAUAUGCCCCUCUUGUUUGUGACUGGGAUGCCGAGGAUCACAAAGCGGGUGUGAAUAACCAUGCAAACUUACAUGGUGCCCUCACAUGUUACAGUCACCUAUUCGAUGUGCCGGUAAACCACACACGCUCCACCGAACUAUGACAAACAUUGAGUCACCCUUUGCUACCUUUGCUUAGAACCAUUUAGUGUGCCGGUAAACCACACACGCUCCACUAACGUCUUCGCAAGGGCACAAAGUGUAAUUUCAUGGAAUUGCAUCAAUUCACUUUUGCCUAAGUAACUAAGAUUGGGAAUUUUAUGAAAACAUUUAGUUACUUUUAUACUUCAUUAUACUUAUAAUGGAAGGUUUCGUCCUAUCCUACCCGUUCGGCUAACGACCCUCCACUAGUCAAGAGUGCGGUGGGUAAGAGUGGAUACCCAUUCAAUCGCCAUUUUAUAGGCAAUUUCCUUAAACACCCCUUAUAGACCAGCUUCGUGAAUGAGGCCUACUAACGGUAAGACUGACUUUUACUCAUACAUAUAUAUAAUGUUAGACUUUUAAUGUUAUAUAUAGUAUAGGGUGUAUUUUACACUUUUAAAAUACUAGGUGGUCAAAUUUAACAAUUAUACUUUUAAUUCAAUUAAAUUGUAAACCAAAACUUUUAUGGAUUUAUUAAACCUCUUUUAAUUAUACACCUUAAUUAAUUAAUAAAACCAUAAGGGUGUGAUUUGAACUUUUUCAAAACAAUACUAGAGUUUUAGAAUUUAACAUUCCUAAUUAAACUUUUAAUCAACUUUUAAAUUCCAAAACUUGAGGGCAAGUUUUGAAACAUUUCAACACAUUAGGGUUUAGAAUUUAAAUAUACAUCAAAAUUAAACCAUUUAAUCAAAAUUUAAAUUCUAAAACUUGAGGGCAAGUUCUGAAACCUUUUUGAAAACAUUAGGGUUUCAACUAUUUAAAUUUCAAAACAACAAAACUUUUGGGUUCAAAUUUAAACUAUAAAACCUAAGGGGAAAAUAUGAAACUUUUCAUAACAACAAGGAUCAAAUAACAAAUAAUUUAAAUUAACAUUUAAUCACAUAAAUAUCCAUAUUUGAUUUGUUUAAUGAUUUCUUGCAAAAGAAUUUAUCAAUUUAGUCAAAAUAAUUAAUCAAUUAUCUUAUAAGGAAACAAUUAUCUUAUUAAUUGAUAAAUAUCUUCAAUUAGAUCAAAAUUAUAGUCAAAUAUAUCAUAUAAUCGGAUUAAUAUUGAUCUAACAUGAUAAGGUAACUAUCCCAAUGCAAAAACAGAAAGAAAUCCCAAGAUAACCUCCAUCUGACGAGUUGACUAGUCGAGUCAAGCCUGGACUCAUCGAGUCACCUUGGACUCGGCGAGUUCAGCUAUGGACUCGGCGAGUCCAGCCUCCAGAAACCCAAAAAACGAAUUUUCCAGUUAUACAAUGCAUCAAUACAAUUGAAACCAAGCUAGGCUCUGAUACCACUGAUGGGUUUUGGUCAUAAGACAUCCUAUGUGCUCAUGCAAACCCUAAUGCUUGGAUCUAGGUUUCUCUAUUGUACAUGCUUUGAAUCCAAAACUAUAAACCCUAAUUCUAGCAUAUGGAAGUCAAUAUUAACAUAUAAUUAGGUUUAAAAUAUUACCUUGAUCGUUAUGUAAUAAUAAAAAUCCCAAUUCCUCCUUGAAUUGACUUUGGAAGGCUUAGAGUCACAAGUGUCACUCCUCUAAUGGCUUACAAACACCAUAAGCAAGAGGAUGAAGAGGAGAGUGGAUGGAGGCUACCAAAACUCGUGUGAAAACCCUAGCAAGAAGCUUGUCCACGUUUUUGGUCCUUAAGGGAUCUAUAUAUAGUGAGACAAUUAGGGUUAUCUAACAAGGAAACCAUAAUUUGGAUACUUAAGCCCUAAACAACCCAUGGAGCCCUUUUCUCAAGGCCUUGGACGAUUUCAUAUGGGCUUUCCCCAUAGAAUUCCUCCAACUUAUAACAAAAGGCAAUCCAUGGCCCAAAUUGCAAUUAUCUUAUAAUUACAAUUCCAGUCCUUUAAGUUUAAUUAAUCUCUUUUAGUCACAAAACUAAUUACCAAUUAAUUAUUGACUAAUAUUAAUUAAACAAUAUGAUUUCUCCUUUAAUAUAUUAUUCUCAUAAUAUAUUAAUAAAUCAUAUUUAAUCCUUUCUCUCCAUAAUUCAUCCUAUCAAGUUCCUUUGGUGAAGGCAACCCAAAAGGACCAUGCACCAUCGGGUCAAGUACAUACCAAAAUAGUUAUGGACUUAGACACCAAGGCACACAUACACGAAUUAGGGUUUUAAGGGGCUCUCAAAGACUGUAAAGAGACCGAUGGAAGCUAAGGCUCUUGUAAAUAGAGGUGCAAACCCGAGGAUUUAGGGUUUCCACUAUCAGCUCCUACUCACUGAGUCCAGAAUGGACUCGUCGAGUAGGUCACUUAACAUGUGAUCCCACCCCGCUGCUACUCGACGAGUAGGCCAACCAACUCGUCGAGUAGAGCUUACUCCAAUGAAUCUUGUUUAAGAAUUUCCUAAGAAUCGAGGCGUUACAAAUACAACACUGUUAAUUUGGCUACAGUUAAUAGUUGAAACAAUAAUGGAUAUUGAGGAAAAUCAUAUUAAAAUAACAAUCAUAUAGUAAAUAUUCAAAAUAUCCCAGUUAUAAUCACUAUUAACUGUAGACAAAUUGACAGUGUUGUAUUUGUAACGUAUCGUACUUUCAGUUUGUUACUUAUUACGACAUUAUAUUAUAAAAAUCUUUGUGUUGCGUUAUGUGCCCUGCUUAACGAUGUGUUGUGGUGGUUCAAUCGAGUUAACCCUGUCAUCACAACAAUGAAGAAGCAGCGUCAGUUGAUGUCCGGGAGGUGGUCCGGGGAUGAAGCUCCACUGGUCUGGUUAGUGUGAGUGUGUACGAUAGAAUACAAAGGUAAGGGUUUUAGCUGUAAGGAGGUCAUCCUCCUCUCUGAAGGAGAAUGAAUCUUUUUAUACCGAUCAUUUGUUGAUCCAGAUCCUAACGGUUUCCUUUGUCCCGUCUGGGCCGAUAGGAUGUAGGGAAGUCCUAUUGGUGAUUCGUCCACCACUAGUAGUCAUCUCUGAUAUUGGUGUAAUUGGAAUAAAGGAUAAAUCUCUGAGCAUUACAUUUGUCGCCCUAAGGAGUGGUCGAUUUUGUUUUAGCUUAUUAUAGACAUGAGAUUGUCGUCUGGAGUUGGACCUACGUGUGAGAGCGCCAAGCACAAGAGUCCUAGUGUGAGGCCGUGAGGGUGAGGGCCCGGGUAUGGCAUUAGGCGGGUUACUAAUCUUUAGCUAGGUCAUCCUAAAGAUAGCAGCUCUGUUAUCUUUAACGUAUUCCUAGAGGGAUACGUUAACAAGUCCCCUAGGCUAGUAGGCGUAGGCGUUGGCGCAACGUGGCCUAGUUUGGAUGUUCGACUAUUAUGAUGGAACCGUUAGCGCAAAUGGUUUUAUCAUGAGGAUGAUUCGAUAUUCCCGCUCCUCAUUUAGACCUAUCUCAUUAAGAGCAGUUUUUUCCACCCCUUUUCUUUCUCAACUGCUUCUGAAUUCUCUUUGCAUCCUCUUUCUUCUCCCUCGUGUUUUCUCUAAAACAACAAUGGUGAUUGUUUGAUUUGGAAUCAAGCCAACUCUAGAGGAGCUUGAGUCUUUGCAGCUCCAUUUUGAUUUCAGGAUGGAGCAUGGAGUUCAGCUUCCAAGGAAGAGGGUUACCAUCUAUCAGCCGUCGUCGGGCAAGGUCACAUUCCCCAUUUGAAUCUUUAAAGUGGGGUUGUUGUUGCUAACGACUAAUUUCUUUGAUGAAAUCAUGCGCCGAUAUGACUUUUCUGUGGACGAUUUUGAAGGCUUUUGAGCAUUCUAACACUCCUAAGGUGUUCAUGCAACCCUAAAUACCUUGGAUCUAUUUUUCACUAUUAUACAUGCAAACUGAAGUUUCCAAGGUAUUACCCUAACUGACAUACAAAAUUUUGAUACAUAGUAAAUAAAACAAGUUAGGAAACAUACCUUUUGUCGUGGCUUAUUGCUUGGAGCUUGAAGAGCUUAGCACCAAUAAUGUGAAUGCCUCUAGUGGAAUCAUAAAUCACCGCCAACACUUUGGAAACUUGGAAGAGAACUAUGAUGCUCACAAAAAUUAGCCUCUCCUUGUUAAUACCCUAGGGGUCCAUUUUCUUGAACCAAAUGGCUUCUUAUAUAGUGUGCACAUUAGGGUUACACCAUGUAACUCAUAACAAUCCACAUUCCUCAUGAUUCAUGGGUUUUAACCUCCAUGGGUUACCACAUGGGUUAAGCCCAACAUAAGGAAUCAUGGAUAAUUAGCCCACAUUAUAAGAAUGAAUGACUUACACAAUUAAUCCAUAUUUAUUUAAUUAUCCUCUUUUGACAAAAAAAUGAAUGAAAUGUGUAAAAGUUAGUAUGAUGGGCAUUUUAUGGUGUACUUUGUAUGGUAUUUGAAAUUAAAUACGGUAUUUGACAAAAAUAAAAAUGGGAAUUUUUAAAUUUUUAAAAUUUUAUUUUUUAAUAAAACGUAAAUAGUGACCGAAUAGCGACCGAAUUUCUGUCGCUAAACAGGUCUGUAGGUAAGUAGUCAAUCUUGAGUUCCAUCACUAAUUCGUAGUAAAUUUGUAGCUAUUCCAUAGGAAAAAGUCAAUUUUAGUCAAACUUGAAUCCCGUUGACAAUCUUUAGUAAAUCUGUAGCUAUUCCGUAGGAAAAAGUCGAACUUGAAUCAUGUUGAUAAUCCAUAGGAAAUCCGUAGCUAUUAUAGCUACGGAAAAAGCCAUAUCUAAUCUGUAGCUAAUUCUUCGCAAAUCCGUAGCUAUAAUUUUCCCACGGGCAUUUAUGCUACAGAGCAUUUUUCGUAGCAAUUCCGUAGGUAUCACCGUAUACAUACACAAUACCUACGGAUUGUGCUGUAGCUAAAGCCCUAGUUUUGUAGUAGUGUAUGCUUAGUAAUUUCUUAUUAAUUGUCUUUUCUUUUUAUUAUGGUUUACAAUUUUUCAACAUUGUUACUGCUACUCGAGCGGUGCUUCUUUUUACUUAAUACAGUAUCAAUGAUCCAAUUAGAGAAUGAUCAUUUUUGGAAGUUUUAAUCAUUGUAGUCUCGAAUCAUUUUGGUUUUCAAACUUGUGCAAAUGACACGGGGGCUUCAGCUAGUUUUCUAAUAAAACACCAGGAAUUGGAUCAUUAAACUAUGCUUCUUUUCACAAAUGUGCAUUUUUGGUUCUUAAUGUAUAAUGUUAUAUAUGAGUAUAAUACUUUCAUUUUUUUAUUUUAAGUUGGUCUUGAGUUUAUCAUGAAUUUUCAUUCCCUUGAAUUUGCAGUUACUAAACUCAGUAAAUUACGAAACUCUUUGUAAAGAGAAUUGUAUGUUAGUAUAUAUGCUAAAUAGUUGUAAUGACUAAUGAAUCAUGCCUCAUUCUCAUGGCUAACUUAUUUUGUUUAGUUAGAAAACUGUAAAUUUAUUGUCGUCAUUCAAGUACUCAUAGUCAUGUAUUAAGUUUGUGCAUUUCUUCACAAAUUGUUGCUUUUGGCGUUUCUAAGAUUUUAGAAGGAAAGACUAUUAUUUCCCAUUACUUUUUAGGAUAUUAUUUAAUCUCUUCAUUCAUUCUUUUUAAUUAUUUGUAUGCGUCUACAUAUAAAUGUCAUACACUAAAAAGGCUUAUUUUUAGUUUACUAAUUGUCCCUAGAGACUCUUACACCUUGUUCCCGAGUGUCACUUAACGAGGGAAGUGGAGAGAAAGGGAGGGAAUCGGAGUGAAAGAGUAGUUCAUCGUCUUCCCCAAUUUUUUUUUUGGAAUUAUUUAGGAAAAAAGAAAGGAAAUCAGAGGAAAAUCUUCCCUCCUAAUUAAUCUUCCUCCCAAAUUCGAGAGAUUUGGAGAGAAAGAUAAUCGAUGAUAAAGAUAAAAACACACGAUUAUAUAAGAUCACGUUAUCAUUAACAACAUACAAAAAAAGAUCGGUCUUCUUCCUGUUGUUUCGACGACUUUGCUGCUUCGACAACCCCGUUGCAUCUUAUUGUUCAAAUCGGUCUAUCAUCCAUCAGGUUCCAUUCUUCCAUUCUUCUCCUUGUAUUUUUUUUUUGUGAAAUCGUGUUCACAAUAUAUAUUACAACCUUUUUUUUCUGGUUCAUUAUGAUUUGUUUCUUCUUCAUUAUAGUUUAAAGUUGAAUUGAUUCGUUAGGUUACGUGUGAUUAUAGGUUUAGAACAUCAUUAUAUAGAAGUAAAUAUGAAUGUUAAUUAUACGAAAGUAAAUAUGAAGUUAAACAGGAGGUGUUUAAGUCAAAAACAUUAUGUGAUUGUUCAUUUCAAUAGCAAAUACAUGCAUAAACUAUCAGUCAAUGCAUAAACUGUGAGUCAAUGCAAUUCUCAAAAUUACAUUCAAAGAAAGACGGAAAUCAGUGAACCCAUUAACUAUAAAGAGAAGCUUUCUUGUAUGUACGUCACUUACCAAAGGAAGGAAAAAAAGUCCUGUUUUGUGUACCACAAUACCAAGAAUUUGUUUAAGGAGGUUGUAAAGGUAAUUAAUUAUGUGGAAGAGUAGACAUCUAAUUUACAUAAUCAAAAUUAAGCAUAAGUUAUUUUAUCAUAUAUCAAGAUCUUUCCUAUUGGACUAUUUUGCCCUUGCUUUUAUUUUGGGUGUGUGGAUGUUUUUGCUGCUGUUAGGAUGCCCUCUUUAUAAUCCUUCACAUUUUGUACAUAAAAUAGGUCACAUUGAUUUCAAUGGAUAAUGACCUUCCUUCACCCGCUCAUAUUCUUAAAUCAAGACAAAUGCAAGUUCUUCAUCUAAUUUGCUUGUUGAUGGCUAUUUUGGCCCAACGCAAAAUUACCAUCAACAAUGGUCCUAAUUUACCUACUAGAGAAACUCUUCUAAAAUGUCGACAUGUACGGGAAGAGUUGUUAUAUAACCUUUCAAAUGGUGGUCAAUGUCGUGAGCUUAUCCGUAUGAGUGUGCAAGCUUUUAAGAAGCUUUGUGUUAUCUUACGAUGUGAUGGUGGUCUUCGACCUACUCAACGAAUGUGUGUUAAAGAGCAAGUUGCAAGAUUGUUGCACAUUGUAGGUAAUGAUUUGAGAAAUACAUUUGUCUCUUGGAUGUGUUGGCGCUCGAAAUCCACAAUGAGUAGGUGCUUCCAUAGAGUUUUGCGCUCGGUUAUAGCAUUAGAAAGUCUUUAUAUUCAACAACCACAAGGUGAUGUUGUCUCCAAAGAAGUUCAAGAGAAAAGGAGAUUCUUUCCUUACUUCAAGAACUGUGUAGGGGCAAUUGAUGGUAAACAUGUUCGUGUCAAAGUACCUAAUAGAGAUGCCCUAGAUACCGUGGCCGCAAGGGUUACUCAACGAUAAAUGUCUUAGCUGAUUGUUCAUUUGAUUUAAAGUUUACGUAUGUUUUAACCAGUUGGGAGGGUACUGCAUCACACUCAAGGAUACCGAAGAAUGCCCUCAAUAGAGAUGAUAAACUAGUAAUUCCAAAUGGCAAUUUCUAGUACCAACUUUUCAUUUUUUUUAAAUUAUUAUUAAAAAACUAAUUACAAUUUAAUUAUAGGUCGCUAUUAUUUAGUAGACGUGGGUUUGCCUCACUCAACUAUAUUAAUGGCGCCAUAUAGAGGUGUUAGGUAUCAUUUAAAAGAAUAUUCCACUAGGGCACCACAAAAUUCUAGAGAGGGCAUUUGGUGUUCAAUCUUCGUCACAUAUCAUUACGUAAUGCUAUAGAAAGGGCAUUUGGUGUUCUAAAAAGAAGCUUUCCUAUCAUUAUAAGUACACAAGAACCUUUUUAUUCUUGUGAAACACAAUCAGACAUUUUUUUGGCAUGUUGAAUUUUACAUAACUUUUUGAUAGUCAGAGAUCGUGACAAAGAUCUUGAAGAUGAGGUAUUAUAGGAGGUGUUAAGUACACCAACAGAGGAAGUGAGACAUAAUUCAAGUGGUGGGCGUGAGGGUAACAACAUGGCAGAGCAACUGAGGAACUCAAUUGCAAAUCAAACGUGGACUAAUUACUUAUUGAAUCCAAACAAUGAAAUAAAUAUGUCAACAUAGUUUAAGAGUAUUUCGUUAUAUUACGUCAUUUGCAAUUUGGUUUUUUACUGAACAUUGUUUUUUGAAUUUAUUUGUGUUAUUUAAUUUUUUAAUGUUAUUUUUUAUUACUUGUACACUUUAUAACUAUGUUCUUUUUAUAAUAAUGUAUGUUUCUUUUUAUGUUAUGUAGAAACCGAUAAUGAACAAGCAAGAACCUUUUGUAAAUACCGGUAAGAAGUCAGUCUUGAACUGGACAGAACAUAUGGAUGCUGCAUUUGUUGAUGCAAUGGUACAGCAACUAGAAAAAGGAAAUAGCCUUCAUGGAAAUUUCACUUCACAAGCAUAUGCGAAUAUGGUUGAGGAGCUCAAUAAGAAAAUUAACAUGAAUUUAACUAAAAGUCAUCUAAAAAAUCGUUUGAAAACAUUGAAAUCUAGUUUUUCACAAUGGUAUGACAUGUUCAAUGGAAUUUCCUUGACUUGGUUCGGUUGGAAUGCUGAUACCUAACUAAUUGAAGCAGAUGAGCAGGUUUGGGAUAACUUAAUUAAGGUUAGUGUUCAUCUAAGGUUGUAUUUAGUUUACUUUUAUAUUAUGUUAUUAAUAAUAAUUUUAAUUUAUUUUGGGGUUUUUAAACAGUUAAAGCCUGAAGCAGUUAUACUGAAGACAAAAAAGGUGGCCCACUUUGAACAAAUGCUAGUAUUUUACAAGAGAUAUAGCUUCAGGAGAAAAUGCUGAAACAACAAAGGAGAGAAAUUCUAGGUUUAACAAGACUACGGACCUCAAAAUAGAAAAUAUUUCAGAGGUUGGUGAUUUAUUAGCAAGAAUUGAUGUUACACUGGAGAACCAACGUAUAGAUGACGAUGAUGAAGAUGACAUUAAAGUGGUAUCUCCUACGCCUGAACAAAAUUCAAGUGCGAAAAUGUGUAAACCUAAAAAAAGAAAACUCAUAGAUGAAAAAGAAAAGGAAGUUGAACCUCAGCCUCAACCUGAACUUGAAACAAUUGAAACAAAGAUUAUGAAUGUUGUUGGUGAUGUGGCUAAUGCUAUGAUGGAAGGUAACAAAAUCUUUGAAAGAGUUUACCAUCAUGAGUUAACAGGUUAUGAAAUUUAUCAAGAAUUGCAGCCAAUGGGUUUGGAACCCCAUGAAAUACCAGAUGCUCUCAUGUAUUUGGGUCGUAACCAAGCAUAUGCGAGGACGUUGUUUACUUGUACAAGGAACAUACGGAAAGAUCUACUAAAAACAAUGAUGGGCGCAAAUAAAUGAUGAAUUGGGAGAAUAUAUGUUUAUUUCUUGGUACUUUGUUCGACUUUUUUUUUUGGCUUCACGAAUUGAAUUAUGGUUUUUGGAAUCGUAGUUUGAUUCAAUUGCAUUGUUUUGGAUGAUUUUUAUAGUUUGGUUUCUUUUCAAUUAGACAAAUGCAAUUAAAAGAUAUCCACAAGUGUUUUGAUUUUAAUAUUAUUUAUGUUUUGCUACUCAUUGAUAAUUUAAUUUAAUAUUUUAUGUAGGUGGUAUUUGACAAAAUAUAUAUGUAUGUGCAAACGAAUGUGAAGACAAAAAAAAAAUAAAGAUAAAUUUGUAAUGUUGUUAUUUAGCUUUCUUUUCUUUUCUUUUCCAUCGAAAUCGGUAACACAUUUUUUAAAAAACAUCAUUUCUUUUCCUUCGGACUUGGGAACACGAAAAAGUUAAUCACUUCCUUCUGCUCCCUUUCUUUUCUCUCCAUAUUUUCCUUCCCUUUCUUUUCUUUCGUUUAAUGAAACUCAAUGAAACUCGGGAACAAGGCGUUAAUUUGGUGCAAGAUUUGCAGGAACAAGUUCAAAAGGGAUGAAGAGAUGCAAAAUAGAAAUGCAAUGAAGACAAAUACCACUUAAAGAGUAAUUGGCGGCUUUUAUAAGAGUAUUCAACAACCCCACGAUAAUCCAUGAAAUGAUUAUUAGUUUUUCUGUUUUAAACACUUAGUAAUAAUGUAUUUGGAACUUUGAAUGUACAAACAAUGUUUAUUAUACUGUUUAUUUUUGGAAAACAAUUUUUAUUGGAACAUGUUAAACACUUGUAAUUUACUUGAUACUUUGAAGUUAAAUAUGAUGAUUUUUUUUUUUUUGUAUUUUGGGCAAAAAUAUAUAAAAAUAUUCUACUGCUUUUUUAAACCAAAAAUCAAUUUACUGACGGCUUAGUGACGGAAAUUUCUGUCACAAAAAGUAAAAAGCAUUCAUUGGUAAUCCGUAAUCCAUUGGAAAAUAUGGUCAAACCUGUUCAAUGAACAUUCCAUCAGUAAUCCUGUUCCCCACGUAAUUUUCCGUCGGUAAUCCGUCACAAAUUCCGUCGAAAAUCAGUCACAAAUAAUGCCCGCAUGGCUUUUUUCCAAUAGAUCAAAUUCCGUUAGUAUUCAGUCAGAAAUCGGCUUAACCGAUGGAUUUCCGAUGGAUAUGGCCGUUGAAAAUAGUUUUCUAGUAGUGUGAUUCCAUCUAACUGUGAGUCUUACAAGGUUAAAUUUAAUCAUUCUUUUCAUGAUUGGGACACUUUUAGUAAGCAUAAGGAAAGUUCAACAAAAGUUGAGGCGACUUCCGCUGCAAGUCCAAAGGAAUAAAAUCUACGAAGAAGUCUUACUGUUUUUUCUCACUGUAUAAGCUAAUGCAAACAGUUUUCCUCAAACUCUAUUUUAAUAAAAAAAGAUAUAAAAAGCAAAACCCAUACACUUUUAUACAGUACAAUCAAGACCCAUCUUUACGUGAAAUACAUUGUUCGGUAAAAAAAACUCAAACUUUGAUUUGAGGUACUUUAUUUACGCAUACGAUACAGAUAUAAAAUGUUAAAGGGAAAAUGAAUUCAGCAAUUGAUCACAUUUUAUGGUACCAAAAAACACCUUUGUGUUCGCUAGCUUGAUCAGGCUCGAUAUAUAUGCAUUCUUUAGCUUCUCUCCACAUUGCUUUAAAGAUUGGAGUCCUAUCGAUCUUAUAAAACUCACCCAAAACUGGAAUGAUUGCAUCUCUUGCCUCCUUUGCAUGAUAAUGUGGAAUGUACGAAAUCAAGUGAUGC